Molecule: long non-coding RNA, 100279 nt
Filed under: Setaria viridis
Lineage: Eukaryota; Viridiplantae; Streptophyta; Magnoliopsida; Poales; Poaceae
Description: long non-coding RNA (SVIR_LNC008613)
Source: RNAcentral
ACCACGGCACCUGAGCUUGCCAUCUUUUCCUGCUCUAUCUCACUCAUUUGUCCCGUAGCUACUAGCUAAGCCACCAUAUCAUCCAUGGCUUCUGGUGCCUCCACCACGCUGAAGAUGGCCUCUAUCGCCGCUUGCAUCCUGCUGGUCCUGCUGUCCAAUGGCCACCCUACCGCGGCGGCCGUUGAUUGUAUUGCGGCUUGCAAAGAACCGUGCCAGGGUUUUUCUAACGGGCUCUGCGCGGGUGGAGCCACCAGCGGUUGUACGACUACGGCAGCAGCUACAGCAUGCCGCAAUUUGGCGUUCUCGCAGUGUGCGAACACCUGCUUCACAGUUUGCACUGCUGUGAGCAUCGCGCCUUGCACUUGAAGAUGCAUUCGUGUUCCUACUUCCACAUUAUUGUUACUGCAGAAUAAUAUGGGUCAGUGCACACAAGCAUACAUGAUGAGCCACUGUCGUUUUUCCAUUUUGUCAUUUAUUUAUUGAAGGCAAUGUACGUUUUUCCAUUUGAUCAUUUACUUAUUGAAGGCAAUGUACGUGUCUAUCUCCUGUGUGGUUGAGCAUGUCAUCUUGGAAUUCUGUCCAAAGUUUUACAUACCACCUUGUAUUGUUGUGUGUGGGUAUCAAUAUAAUUUAUGAACUAUCUUCCUUUACCAUAGACAUAUCUAUGUUUAUUUGCAAGCGUUAGCUAAAUUUUUCCUUGAUUGUGUAUUAACCCAUACUGAACAGAUCAACUUUCCACUGCAAGAAACUAUUUAAUCUGUGACGAAACAAAAUUGUCACGUAUCACUAAAAAAUCGUCAUAAAGCAAUGCCUGUGAUGAUUUCAGAUAACGUCAUGUAUUGAGCAUCACAGAUUAAAUCGAUGACAUGGAGAGGCUUCACCAUAGUAUUUUGUAUCGACGUUAGACCUAUCGUUUAUUUCCGCUGCUUUUGAACUCUGAACACUACUUUUAUGCAUGUGAACUAUCGGCUUGUAAUAACUUAAUGUGGGACCUGUAAUAAUUUAUCUGGAUUGUUGUAAUCUUUGGACUCGUCUUCGUGCGAGUAUACUUUGUUUCGAUCCGAAACACGUGGUUGCAUCGGGUGAAACCCGACAGACUACCAGUUUAAUUCGAUUAAAGUGUCUAUUCACAUUUAAGGCAAUGUUGAAUAUACUUUAGCCGGGUUAACUUGGAUGGUUCUACCACACUGGCGCAUCCCUGAGGAUUCCUAUCUGCUUGCUCGAUGUCAUCUGUAUCUGGCCCUGUGAUAAGGGUGAAGAGUUCAUUGUCUAGAGACAGGCUUCCAGAACUUUGGGUGAUGACUUAUGUAGAGUCAUGAAGCGUGAUUCGUUGUCCUGGGCGAGGGCAGGUAGCCUCAUGCCAGGCCAGUAGAUGAAUCUGCCUUGAGGGGUUGAGGUGAUCACCAGGCCCUGCUGCGAACCUGUUAGUGGAGUCUCCUCGUCGGAAUCCAAGUAGUGAUCGUAGUUGUGGUCCUUAAUCGGACAUGAGUUAGAUUGCAACCCGGAUAAGGCUGCUUGAUAGGUGGAAGCUGCGUUACGGAGUCCGAAUGGGAGUUUGCUCGGAAUUUGACUUGAUUCGGACGAUGCAGAACCCGAUGGGAUAACCUACUGGGGUAUUACGUCAAUAGAUCAACCAAAAGAAUGCGCAAUAAUAUCUACCACCAAAGGCAACCCAAAAGCAUUAUCUACCUUCAGUGCCAGAUCAGUCAUCAACAAAGAUCUAUGGAGACCUUGUUUUCUCUUGCUUUGGAUUUGGAGAUAGCAUAGAACAAAAGCCUUGAACCUAAAUAAACAAAGAAAAAAAGUACUGCAGUGCUAAAAAUAAGAAAUACCUCGUAGAAAAAUACCAGUAAUGGGUUUAUGGGUUCCCACUCAUCCUUGGGUAGCCACUUCUCUAGAGAGAUUCUUGUGUGUUCCGGUGUUGUAGUUUUCUGCGCAUGAUACAUAGCAACAUAAGGGCUAUUCCCCAACCUCAUAAUCGAUAGUAAUGUACAUCUUCUGGAAAGGACCUCUUUCUGUUGCAAGUGUGACUGCCACGCUCAUGCCAUUAAAGAAGUUAGCAGUUCGGUUAGGCAAUUAGUUGCCCACAGGAGGAAAGUAAAGCAACCGUGGAGAGUGAAGAGGCGUCUUUCUAGCUCCAGCACCAAGCACACCACACCAGUCAUCAGCUAAUCUGAUGACAUGGCAGGAAAUUUAAGAGGGGAGAGAAGGAAUUAGUUUCAUCUAGAUGAAAUUCUUCUCGCACAAAACCAACUCUGAAUGUGUCAUGAAAUUAAAUGUACCCCAUGCCGCUUUUUAUGCGCUCUUAUUAAUGUUGCUUUGUCUAAGUUCAAUACACUUAUCAAGACUAUCGCAUUUGGUGACUGGCAGUCCACCUAAGGGUACCAAGAUGGUUGAUUUGUAAACAGAGAGGAUCACAAGACCAUGAACUACUUGAUGGUAAUGCAAGGCACAAGACAUAGAGAUUUAUACAUGUUCGAGCCGUUAGUGUAGCGUAAUACCCUACGUCCUGUUUUGGGGGAUUGUAUUGCGCUCUGCACUUGGGUGUUGGUUGUUAAGUUGAGGGAUUGGCCGUCCUCCUAGGGGUACCCCUACGUACCCUUAUAUACUCCCCUAAUAACUCUUCUUAAUAGGAUAGAUUACCAAGUAGAAUUAAUUAUGCAUGCACGCUUGCAGUAAUUGUCGCACCUAUUAGCCUUCCUUAUUUAGCGAGACUUCCUCGGGCAUCGAUGGUGUGCCGUUUCUAUAGUGAACGGUAAUGAAUGUGGACACUUUUAUGAGUGCUGACAUGAAAGGUUCAAUUUGUAUGAAUGAUCUUCUAUAGGUACACUAACCGCGCUUAGGUUACGUUAACAAAAGGUUAGAGAAUUGACUAGUUAUUAUAGGAAGAGCCGUAAACUGUUGCCUCGCCACCAGCACUAACCCCGUAAGUCCAAGUAAUUGGCAGUUUUUUCAUUUGUGAGGACGCAUAGGUCAUGCAUGCAUCAUGUUAAAAACUUGCAAAUUGGAAAUUGGAACAACUUUCCUAUAGAUGAUUGGGAGGACUAAUGUCACUCUCAAAAAAAAUUUUGCCAAAUCACCUAAGGAUUUUCUAGUUGUCUCGAACUGCAGCUAACUACUGUCAGAAUUUUUUUUCUCCGAGCUCUUAAAUGGUCUUGGUUCCAGAAUUUAGUAAAUGAUAUGCUGUAAAAAUUUCAUAAAUUUUGGUCAAGUGAAACUCGAGUUAUGCUUCAAUAAAUUCCCGGGUUGACUCGUACCCAAAGGAGGAAGUUGCAGAGGUUAAGGCUGCAGGAGAAGAGGGAACAGAAGCUGGAGAAGCGAAGGAAUGAGGCAUUCAACACGAAUAGACCCAUAGUCCCUCAGAAGAAGGAGUGGAGAGUUAAGGCCGAUACUCCCAACUCCACCAGUCAGACCUGCAGAAGGACCGGUCGGACCUAGUGCGGUCGGCACGGUCAGGGCGGUCACUGGCGCAGUCGUCGUGGUUGAUGACUCGGUCGGCGCGGUCGUCGGCGCAGUCAGACCGGUCGAGGGGUCGGCGAGGAGCGGCAGCGGGGUGACAAAGUAACUGCGAGCGCGGCGGGGCGGAGCUUGAGCGGCGGAGGCGGAUGGGAGGGGUGGAGGUGGCGGUGGAUGUGGAGGGGAGGUAGCGGAGGGGGAGGAGGAGGAGGAGGCAGAGGAGGCCGGCGGUGGGCGGAGGAGGUGGAGGAGGGUGAGGAGGAGGAGGAGGCGGAGGGAGGUCAGGGCUGGCGGGGGAAUUUUCUUUUUUUAAGAACGUUUAGCCUUAUUAUCACCUAGCGGAGGCGGAUGGAGUUCCACAACAUGGUGUAUCGGACGGGCAUUUCAUUGAAGUCCCUAGGGGCGUCCAAUGGGUGGCUGUAGUGGGUGUACAUCACGACGAGCGUCUGUAGCCAUUGCGACAGCCUAGAGCACGACAACGAGGCGGAAGACCCCGUCACGGGUGCAGAUGGCCAGCGUUUUUUUAAAAAAAAACUUACAGGUGGCCAGUGUGGUGGGCGUGAUUGGGCUUAUCACCAGUGGCGGAGGAGGCGGACGCACGAAGCGACAGGAAUGGCGCCGAGUUUGGUCGAACCAUCUGGAAACUAGAGUUGUAACGCUUGCACUGGACGGCUGAGAUUUACGAUGCUCGAUAUCUGACAGGCGAAAAAGGGAGAGACUUGGCCCAAUCAUUGCAGAGAAACUUCACCGGAGUUAGGUCUUUAAAGAAGAUUGUAAGGCCUGAUUGGUUUGGGGAUCAAAAUGUAUCAAACCAAAAUCAGGGUAAGCCUAAUAAUUUUGGCAGCUGUGUAUAUUUAGAUGCAUAUAAACAUUUAUAAACCUAAAAAAUUAAAACGACCUGCAAUUAAAAAUGGAGGGGUAAAAAAGAAGGCCCCGACAAACGCGUCAGCACAUUCCUGCCUUUCUCCCCCGAAUGAGUAAACUCCAAUCCAAAAUUUGACUGUAUUUUGUUAACGGUUAUAUAUCAUAAGUUUCAUAACAAUAACCAGCUAGGGCUAAUGAUGAUAUGAAUUUGGCCACAAUUUUUGUUCUUGGGAGGUAUCUGUGAGGUGAGAAAAUGGGCAACAUGUGUGGAAAAUGCUAAUACGCCUACUGUGUGGCAUAUUUUGCGUUGUAUCAUAUACUUUCCGGAACAGUUGUAAUUACCACAUCUUUUUUCCCCAGCGGAGUCGCCAAAAUGUGUUGGCGCCUUUUCCGACCAACACAUGAGUGCGCUAGCUCGCGUGUAGAUUGGAAUUCUCCUCGUUGAAGCUCCUGCACCUGGCCGGUCAGAUCGGUCAGGGGGUCCGAUCGGGCCGGUCCUCGUAGGGGCACCAUGAAAACCUACGUCCACCACCUCGGGAGGGACCCUUUCGGAGAUGGCGAACCUAGGGUUGCUCUGAGAUCGGCAGGCCAAUUUAAACGUUCUCAAACGCCGCCGGGACAAAAGAUGAAAGCAAGUGGGUUGGAAAAGCUAAGGUUUUGAGAUAAAAGGGUAAAAAGAUAUGUUUGACGAUUAGGUGAUGCCCCUCAAUCCAACUUACCAAUAUUGAUACAAGAUAUGCUCAACUUGUGAACUUAACUGAGGUAUAUGCUUCCUAUGUUCGUCCGUUCCAGUAAUUGUCUAAGGCAACGCGAAAUCCAGUUACUGUGGGCUAAUAACAACCUAUCUGUUGGUGUUUCUUGGUGUCUAUGGGUGUGCUUCUGAUUUGCAUGCUUUUUUUGUUUGUUGUGUGAUGAAAUAAGGCACUAUGUACAUCUUUGCUUAUUAUUUCCCACUGAUAUAUGGGUACGGACGUGUAAUCAUUAAUUGUGCUAUUCAUUCAGCUGACGACAGUCAGUUGACAUCACUUGAAAGUAUGCUUGAAUUCGUAAGGUGUCCCGUGCAAGUAGCGUGGCUACAACCGCAGCAAUAUUUUUUUCUGAUCAAAAUCGAUCGUCCUUUUUUGUUGAAAACAUAAGUAUGAUAUACUUCACGUGAUGUUAGACUUGAAAAUUUUUGAGUGCAAUAUAUGAGUAAGUAUUCAAUACUAACAUUUUUUCUCUAAACAUUAACUACCAACAUAGCUUAUCAGAUAAUGCAGCAUUGUUUAUCCGACAUGCAUAACCUCCUAACACUCAGACACUGAGACACACCAUCCAUUACCGUCACUGAAUCUAUGUCAGCGUGCUGAGCCAGGGUUAGGAACCUCCACUAACUCGUUAGAGGCAAACCCAAGAUCUAGACUGCUUCUGCUUAAUUCCAUCACUAGCUUAAUCCACUAUGAAAUGUAAAUGCACAACACUCUUAGCAAUUCGCUCAUAAGAUUCUUGAAUUUGGCAAAUUUUUGGUGCAAUCUUCACUGCGAGAAAAACGACCUUUUGUCCAACAUAUUAGUACCGGCCACAUUUCAACCCGUACUAAUACCAACAUUAGUAUCGGAUCCAAUUUAGUAGCCACCGGAGACCUUUUAGUACCAGGUCAUAACACCACCCAAUACUAAAAUGUUGAAGAUAGGUUGCCAAUGGUGAGGUGGAGCGUGGGGUCGAUGACGGUAAUAGCGGCGGGGAACUUCAACCCCCAGCCGAAGGGGCCAUGGCAGGUGGCAGGGAGAGGUUGAGGCUGUAGAGGAGAGGGUGUUUGAGCUUUGGGGGUGGCGAUUUGGAUUUGUUGAAGGAUAGCGGUGGGAUUUGCUGCUCAUUGUGGUUCAGGUGGAGGAACAAAGUAGAAAGAAAGAGACGAAAAUGUGGCCAACACUUUCAAGGAAAAGCAUGAGGUGACAUGGAGGAAUGCAUGAGCGAGGGUGUGGAUAGGCAACCCUUGAAAUGGAUUUCCAAGGACGGAUCACGGGAUGAACCAUCCCUGGAAAUGGGGCUAUUUUUAGGAGCGGAGGGAAACAUGGCCUGCAUCUAUAAAUAAGUAUUUUUAGGGGUAGGUCUUGUUUCUGUUCGUUCUAGGAAAUGUACAUUUCUAGGGGUACCCCACCCCAUAAUUGUAACACCUGGUUUUAAAACAAAACCAAGUGUUACCUAUAUGUAUGCCAGGAUCUAGUUUCAUAUAUAUAGUGAUAUCAUCAGUGAAUAAUAGUAACAAUAUCACGUAAAAAAAUAUAAAUAAUGACUUACGAGUCUAUCAGAGAUAUACAACUUAAUCAUGGAAAUCAAGGCUCCAAACUUCACAAGCAAUCGACUGUGGGUUGCGUACAUCUAGAACUCAGCAUCAUCUUGAGAAAACAUCACACACCUUCUUCUGAGCAGCAGUAAGUAAGGGUGAGUACACUUAUGGUUGGUACUCAGCAAAACCAUAUUGUGCCAAUCAUGCACUCAUCACACUACCGAGGUGUGACUACAUAGGGACACUACAAGAUCUUUACAAAGAUUCCCUAAUAAGUGGUAACCCGCUAAGGUUUCAUGUCGAAGUAGAGCAUAAACCUCUCUCAAGAUUGCGAAGCUAACAUAGAGCAGAUCAGACUGAGGGUCGGGUUACACCUCAUCAACGCCUCCCCUCUUGUCCUUUCGGUAAGAUUACCUCAAGCUGGAGUCUCUAAUUAAUUAGCCAAGACCAGAGCCAUAUAGUCCUUGUAGUUGCACUAUUUUCCUGGGUGGUUCUUCAUGUUCCAAUUAAUGCAUGGUAUUCUUGUAAAAUAAGAAUAGAUAGAAGGAUGGUUAAGGACACCUACCUUUAUCCAACGAAAAGUUACUCUUACUGCUCUUUAGCUCUUGCUCUCUUGAAACUCUUAAUCUUCAAAUCUUUUGAACAACUAUCCUUCUAUUUGAAGAAAUCAUCGGCACAAACAUAUAAGCAAACAAAAAAAGUACAAUUAAGAACAAUACACCAAAACAAAAAAAAUCUUGAAAAGAGUAUAAAGGAUAUGGCUCAAUUCUAAGAUCGCGAGGAUGUAAGAAACGCUUAAAACCAAACUAAGGUUGAAAAGACAAAGCUAUUGAGAGAUUUGAAUUAUAAAAGAAAAAGAAAAGCCUACGUGCUUCAUAUAUUUUAAUAAAGAAAACAAUGUAAAGAUAUUUUAGAGAAAAAUCCUUAUCAAGUUAUAUUUAUAUAUGAAAAGAUCAAGGUAGAACUUCGUCAAAUUUUUAUUUAUAAACAUUAAAGUACAAUUUAGGCAAAUUAAACAUUUAAUUUGAAAAUAAAGUAAGAGCCGCAAGACUCAAGGAACAAGCUAAACCAUUCAGUGGAUCUUCGGGGGUCUAGAUGCAAAAAGCUCAGAGCUUUCUUCCUCAUGGCCGACGGUAGCUUGUACUGCCAUGAACGCCGCCAUGCAUACCGCUCAACCAGCCGCCGGCGCCAUAGAUGGUGGCAUUCCGGUUCUUUCCCCAGUGUGGCAGGCCGCCGUACUUGCCCAUUGCCAUCUGCAUCUUGAUCUCGUCCACGACGUCCAAGUUUUGCACUGCACCAUGGACAAAAUAGUGCCCAUUAUCGUGCAGGGUUUUCCAUGUGAAUUGGCCCAAGGUACAUUCAACUUAUUUUGGCUGGCUUGGUCCCAUAGUUUGAACCCAGAUUUUGGAUCUUUCCGCAUUUAAAUUGGUGCUGCUGCUGCAUUUAUUUGAUAAUGGUGCAAGAUAUGGAACCAUACAACAAAGGUAACUCAUCAUUAAUUUAGAAGGGUGCACAGAUUCAUGUAAUAAAUAAUCUACACCACCUAAGAUGUGUCUCUACCUCUAUAUAAACAAGAGCAAUCAAAGCAAUAUGUGCAUACUGGAACAAAAUAUCUACAGGCAUACCAAUAGUGUUCCUUUUCAUAUGGCAGUGAUCAAGAGCAACGCAGUGAGGUCUAUGUGUGCUGCACUUUGCAUUCUUUUGAUAAUGUCUUCAGCCCUCUCGGAGCUGGUGGAAGUUGUGUAUCUAACUGCUUUUCUACUUCCCAUGGUUUCAUUAUAUUCGUGGGGUUUACUAGGUGCGAUGUGGAUUUCAUGCACAUGAUCACGCUGAGUGUGACCCUAUGGACUGAUGCACUGAUCCGAAAUGCUAGGAUGAAUGUCAGAACAAAAAUACUGACCUACCUAUUGAACCUGAGUGCACCACACCUAAGGAGUGUUGCUGCACAUUUUAUUGGGAGGAAGAUAAUUCACUUCUUUGAAUAGAUUAAAAUGGUUGCCGAUGGCUAGAUUCAUUUCAUGGAUGCAGCCGAUACCAGAAUACUACGCUUGCAUGUAAUGCAUCCAUAAUAUGUUUCUACCCAAAUCUAAUAAAAUAAAUGUGUCCCAUUUGUCCUCUUUUCCUCUAGUGUUUUUUUUACUCCCAAAUUCCAUGCUAAUAAAUGCUGUAUACAUGAUUUUAUUUUAAAAACAUUUCUGAAUACAUUUAAUUUGAUAAGUUCAAACACCGAGUGAGUCUUCUAUCUAUUGUAGGCUUAUGUUUAGUGAAGUGUGCCGGGCCUACUACUUCGGUGUUGGGCUGAGCCCACAUGAGAGCAGCUCCAGCGUUGCUCUUUUGAGGGUGCUCCAAGGAGAGAGAAAAAUAUUCUCCGGCAGCUUCACGCUGGAUCAGAGGGUGCUAGGGAGGUGCUAGGGAGCAGCUGAUGAUGAGUUUUGCACCAGGCGCUACGCAUUCAAUAUAUUUUCUGAAGUAACGUGGUUGGAUGGAUAGGUGAGAUAGUGGGAAGAAAAGCUAGAUCAAUGAUUCUUUAUUCAGCUGGAUCAAUGAUUUCUGAGAUGAGGUACUAAGCAGAUUGAACCGCCACAAGUGCCCUUCUCUUCUUAUCAGCCCGGUGUGCCUUGGUAUUGUCUUCCUGAAUAAUGGCCUUAUUAACCAGAUUACUAGAGCUGUCGUAGUAACAACCAAACGAACUGCAGCUUAGUACCGAGGCCCCUUCUCAAGCAAGCCUACUUUUUAGCAUGACAACUGGCGUACCGAGCAAGUUGAUUAACACUAUUAGCAUAUUGGAACACAGUUUGAUUUCUUUGUUUAAGUGACAUGACCUCUGACGGUUUUCUUUAGGCUGUGGAAAACGGCUCGUACCAACUCUGCCCGUUGAGAUGACCACACCCUGUUUCCAUUACCCCGUUAGGAAUGGAAACACAAACCAUUAUCUUGUACCCUAUCUUAACUCUGAAGUCUUCUUGGAAUAAUUUUCCGAUAAGGGCAGUUUUAUUGAUUUAAUAAAUGUUACAUCACGGUGAUAUAAUAAACUUGAAAUCCUCCCAGCAUGUGCAAGCACAGAGCCUUACAGGCAGAAACAAAUGCAGAUGCGCUAAUGACCAUCAAUCCGAGGACUCCGCCACCCAUGCACUUAGGUAAAAAAAUUCCUCGACCACUUUCACCAAGCACUGAGAUGAGAUGCCGCUGCAACGGAAACAUAUGCCGUAGACUUUUGGAGCAUAGCCCAUGUACGAAGCUAGUGGAUAACUCUAAAGAUAACCUGCAUUGGAUGAGAUAAGGGUUUGUUUUCAAAUACCAUAGCAUUCUUGCAGAGCAACAAUAACAACAUAGUAGCAAUCACCCCAAGUAAAUAAUGCCCGUCAACCAAGUGCCGAAAAUAUUUUCUAGGCUAAGGGGCUUGAGAAAGACUUCAGUUGCAAACAUAUCCGUAUUAUCCUCACUGAAUGGUCAUAAGUGUUUCCCUUCCGUUGCCGACACAAGACCAUCCGACGGCGAAGGGUGACUAACGCCACUAGCUGGUAAACUAAGUAUGCUGGAACUUGUCCACUAAGGUUAGAGUCUAGCUAACUCAGCAUGGGUGCCCAUAUUUCUUAAUUAUGUUUCCGUUGGUUGAUAACAUACCCAUCGGCAUCCUAUCGUCAUGACUUAAUGAAUCCCAAUAUCUUCUAGACUAACGUUUACUUACAUGAGUAGGGUGUGUAUGCAUGUGUGGUUAACAGGUAUUUACUUUAAGGUCGGCUGGGCCGGCUUUCUCGAUGUGUCUAAUUAUGCUUAAGAAAAAGAACCACUAGUGGAAAACUGAGUUUUAGUCCCGGUUGCAGACACGCAUAGAUCUCAAAAAUCCAACCGGAACUAAUCAUUCGGACUGUAAUAAUAAAAUUUGUUUGAAAUUAAAUACAUUGCAUUUAAAUUUUCAUGGGCAUUUAAACCUUUUUCAAAAUAAAUUAAUGAAUCAUAGGAGUUCGUUGUUGCAUUCACGAUGGUGCAUUAUUUUUGGUUGCUUGAAUUCAAAUUUGUGUUUGAAUUCAUCUGUUUGACUCUUUUAAACAAAUAGGAAACCCCUUUUCUUUUCCCUCCCUUUUCUUUUCUUCCUUUCAGCCUGUUUCUUUCUUUGGGCCCACUUCCUUCUCUUUCGCCCAGCAGCAAAACUGAAUAUGCACUUUGAAGAUAAACAUGCGAACCAUCAAAGGGCAGCAGACAACUUACAUACGCGACGGAGCGUUGUAAAUGGCAGAGUAGCCUUGCUGCCACGAUCCACUGAGAUUCAGCCCCACGUCGCACGAAUUCCUCCCUCCCCCCUCCACCCCCGACAACGGCUUCAGGCUUGGACCCGCUACGACGACCAAGGACAAAUGCGCUCAAGGCUUGGGAAGAAAUUAACUUCCAUUGUCGGAACACUUGUUAAGGAUUACAAGAGACCAUAUCGCAAGUUUAUCUUCUUAGGUAUGGUCCACAAUGGAAGAGAGAUCUCCUAACUUGACCAAGCGGAUGUACACACUAUCAUUUGGCACGAAUCAGUCCAAGUCAGAUAGGUGCUAGUGGAGUUCCAUAUUCCACUACGUCCGGUAUGUAACUCAUAAUCGACCACCGGGGAGGGACAUGUGUGGGAUGGAUCGAAGACAAGACAAUGGCCAACAAACGCGUGGACAUACCGGCCACAGGGUACCAUUACGUGUUUGUUGGACCCAACACAUGAAAAUAGGUGCGUUGGCCAUGAAAAUGUUUCCUAUAGGUCACACCUAGUGGCAUCAAAACCAUUUAGUGCCACUAACUGGUUGUGAUGAUUGAUGUCACAAACGGUUCUUUGUGCGUAGCCAGUUUAUAGCUGUAAUUCAAUUGAACCUGUUCUAGUACCUUGAACAACUAGUUCUUGAUGAGUAGCCAGGAGUGACGUUCCAUUUGUAACUAUUUAUUCUCUAUUAGUCUAAUGUUGUGAUAAAUGAUUUGCGUUGUCAGUUUAUGCACUUUGGCAGCCUGGAUGUAUGUCUUUUGAAGUAUGUGUAACUUUCUCUAGAAUUGAGGAACUUUAAUUGACUAAGUGGUCUUGGAUUUACAGCAUCAACCACUAUAAUUAGCCAUUGCUCCAAUGGCACAUUUUUUCCGUUAAUGCUAUAUGAUCCGACACCAAUAUGUGUACAAACAUAAGAGCAUCUGACGAGUAUCAUUUUACGGUGAAGACAUUGGAUCCCCACUCGCACUAACACAUUGCAAAUGCGAAAAGCAGGACCGGGUCUCCCCCCUGCAAUAAAUGCCAUUUUAACUGGUCCUAUAAACUGUUUUCUAGUGGUGUGAUGUAGUCUGUUGGAAUCAGCACCGUGGAACCAUCUGACAUUCAUACAUUAGCUUCACCAAACAAAUAUUCUUCUGUGCAUUAAAGCUUCAUACUUCAACAUGUACAAGUUCUCUAUGUAGGAUAUUUCAGCUUGAAGAUCUUCCCUUUCUUGAACUAGCCAUUUGAGCAUUAUUCAUUCUCAGGCCCAUUGUUCCAACGGCUUGCACGUUCUUGGAAUGUGUUAUCAUGGAAUGCUAGGGGUAUCGAUUCGUAGACAAGAUGGAAUGUCGUCAAGAGCAAAAUAUCUGAAUCCAACUGUGAUAUUGCCUGUUUACAAGACACCAAAAGGGAGUUUUUUUAUGCUAGAUAUAUUAGGAACUUCUAUCUCCCACAGUUAGAUUCUUUCGAUUUCAUCCCAUCUAUUGGCAACUCAGGGGGAACUAUUAUAGUGUGGAAUGGUUCCAAAUUCAAGGGGGAACCUAUCUUUCAAAAUCUUUAUGCCCACUUUGUAGAUUUUCAGUGCAAGCUAUCAGGGGAACGUUGGAUCCUCACGAAUAUCUACGCCCCAUGUACUCCGGAGGGGAAGCUAUCCUUUAUUGACUGGUUCAAAAGGGUUGAAAUACCAGAGGAAAAAAAUUGGCUAAUCCGGGAGGAAAUGUUCAGGAAAUGCUUCUCUUCAAUGAAGCUAUUAGCAGGCUUAAACUCACAGAAAUUCAGCUAAAGGAUGCAAGUACACUUGGUCCAACAAACAGCAGAAUCCUCUUCUGGAGAGGCACGAUUGGUUCUUCAUAUCUAACCCUUGGACCAUCUCCUAUCCCAAUACUUAUACCUCAUCGCUGUCUAGUGACUCCUCAUAUCAUGUUCCUUGUGUAGUCUCGAUCUCUAAUAGCAUUCCAAGGCCACAAGUUUUUAGAUUUGAGAAUUAUUGGCUAGAACAUGAUCGGUUCCCAACCAUUCUCCAACAAGGUUGGGCAACUCCACUUCUAGGCACAGAUAGGGCAAAGAACAUCGGGGCCAAGUUCAAAAACCUGAGGAAGGUUUUCAGGAUCUAGAAAGCAUAGCUCCCCAGUCUGGCGAAAGCAAUCCAGAGCACCAAAGACACCAUUAAACUCCCUGACAUCAUCAAAGAACUUAGAGAUCUUACCCUGCAAGAAUGGAACUUUAGAGAAGUCAUCACAUCACAUCUGAAUAGCUUGCUCCACCAACAAAAAGUCUAUUGGCAGCAAAGAAGCUCCAUCAAUUGGGCCAAAAUGGGGGAUGAAUGUACAAAAUUCUGCCAUGCAAGGGCCUCAGUCAGAAAUAGAAUCAAUUAUAUCACUUCUUUAGUUGAUGCCAAUGGACAAAUUGUCUCUAAACAUGAAGCUAAAGCCAGGAUUCUUUGGGAAGCUUAUAAGGAAAGGAUGGGGAGAUUUGAAUUUACACAUGUACUUUGAUCUUUCUACUAUCUUGACAUCAGAUCCAAAUUUGGAAUGGCUAGAAUCUCCCUUUAUGAAAGCAGAGAUCGACACAAUUACAGGGGAACUUCCAAGUAACAAGUCCCAAGGCCCAGAUGGCUUGAAUGGAGAGUUUCUCAAGAGAUGUUGGGACUUGAUAGCUUAAGAUUUUUAUAGACUGUCUGAAGGUUUUCAUGACAUAAGUGUGUGUGUUCAGAGCAUGAAUGCUUCAUACAUCACACUAAUCCCCAAGAAAGAUUGUCCCUCUCAAGUGGGAGACUUCAGGCCAAUCUCCCUCCUAAACUCAACCAUCAAGCUAAUAACUAAAAUUCUAGCAGAAAGGUUACAACAGGUUAUGUUAAGACUAGUGCAUAAAAAACAGUAUGGUUUCAUAAAGUUUAGAUCCAUACAAGACUGUUUAGCACGGGCUUUUGAAUAUCUUCACAUCUGUAAAGCCUCAAAGAGAGAAUUAAUCAUCAGCAAGCUGGACUUUGAAAAAGCCUUUGAUAGGAUUGAGCACCAAGCCAUUUUGGAUAUCUUAAAACAUAAGGGCUUUGGGGACAGAUGGAUUGGGUGGAUAAAGGACAUUCUCAACACUAGAACAUCUUCAGUACUCCUCAAUGGUGUGCCAGGGAAAGUUUUUCAUUGCAGAAGAGGUGUCAGACAGGGGGAUCCUCUAUCCCCACUUCUAUUUGUGCUAGCAGCGGACCUUUUUCAGUCAAUCCUAAAUAAAGCCAAAGAAGAAGGAAGCUUACACCUACCGAUCCCUGAAAGAGCUGGACCUGACUUCCCAGUUAUACAAUAUGCAGAUGACACCCUUCUGGUCAUGGAAGCAGAUCCUUCCCUGUUGUUGCAUCUCAAGCAUCUGCUUAAUUAGUUUGCGGAGUCAACUGGUCUUAAAGUAAACUACAACAAGACUGUUAUGGUACCUCUGAACACUUCUGAGGAUAAACUUCGACAACUUUCGUCAAUGUUCGAUUGCCAUGUCGGAAGCUUGCCACUCACCUACUUGGGGCUACCACUUGGUGCAACAAAGCCUGACAUUGAGGAAUUCCUUCCAUUAAUACAGAAGGUGGAGCGAAGAUUGGGAGGCAUCUCUAACAUGUUAUCUCAAGGGGGCAAACUCGAACAGGUAAAUUCAGUCUUUUCUUCCUCACCAACAUUUCAUAUGGCAACCUUAAAGCUUCACAAGGGGGUUAUCACACAAUUAGAUAAAUAUAGGAAACACUAUCUCUGCAGAGGAUCUAAUUUGAAUUCUAGGAAACCCUCCAAGGCAGCUUGGCCUAUGGUGUGCCUACCAAAACAGCAAGGAGGACUUGGGGUUAUUAACCUAAACAGUCAAAAUGAUGCCCUUCUUCUCAAGUUCUUACACAAGUUCUUCACUAGAGCUGAUACUCCCUGGGUUCAUUUAUUCUAGGAUAACUAUUAUUCUAAUGGGAAACUGCCUGGACAGCACAAAAAGGGCUCAUUCUGGUGGAGAGAUUUAGUCAAGCUACUGGACAAAUACGAAGGAAUAGUGUCGGCAUGGGUAUCGGAUGGCUCUACUGUAUUGUUCUGCAUGGACACAUGGAUUGAGCAGGUCCUCUACCUGGAAUUCCCCCAGUUAUUCUCUUAUGCCAAAAACAAACUGGUAUCAUAUAAGGAGGCUACAAGCAGAAUAUCACUGUCUCAAAAUUUUCACCUGCCACUUUCAGAAGAAGCUCAUCAGCAGUUGCUGAUUCUGCAGAAUAGAUUGAGGAAUACUGUGAGAGCUCAAGGCAGAGAUAAGUGGACUUACAUUUGGGGAAGGCCCCCGCUUUUCGGUAGCAAAAACUUAUAAAGUCAUAACGGGCACAAGAACCAUACAUCCAAUUCAUAGAUGGAUAUGGAAAUCUAAAUGCCAAAAGAAGCACAAGAUAUUUUUCUAGCUAUUAAUUAAAUUCAGACUGAGCACCAAAGACAUUCUAAGCAGAAAAACAAUGUAUUUGGAUACUUAUACUUGUGUGCUUUGCAUCCUCCAGGAAAAGGAGACAAUGCCGCACUUAUUCCUGAGAUGCAACUUCUCGAAAGCUUGUUGGAGCACUUCCUCCAGGCCACCCUUUCGGAUUUUUAACUCAAUCAAGGAUAAACUGAACGUUCCCUUCUACAUGGAGAUCAUCAUUUUAAUGGCCCGGAGCAUUUGGUCCGUGAGGAAUGACUGGACCUUUCAACAAUGUCCCCCCUCGGUACAGAGCUGCAAAAGGAAAUUCAUGGAAAAAAUGAAUACCGUCUGUCUACAUAGAGCGAAAUCUUCCCUAGCUCUUGCCAUGAUGGAAUGGUUGUAAUCUUUUCUUUCUUUUUUCUUCCUUUGUUGUUGCCUUUUCUACCUUCUACUUCUGUUGUUUCUUGGACUCGCCUUUCAUUUAAUAUAUUUCAGUAGGAGCUUGCCCCUCCUGUUCCUUCAAAAAAAAACUUCGAGCACUUCUCCAUGGGCUUCAUCACCAUAGUUUCGAUUUGGGCAAUUUUAUUGCACCGAACCUUCCAGCUUGCAUUUUCUUAACUGAAUCUCGAGCAUGGGGCAAUAUUCUGGCAUCUACAACGGACCUGCCAUCAAGCAUUCCAAUGUAUAGAUCUAUCCUGUUUGUUUGCCUAAUAUUCGGAUGCAAUACUCCGCCGUGUGUAAAAAAAUCCAAGGCCAACGGACCAUACCGUGUUAACAAUUUUAGUGCCUAAUCCAAUACAAAAUUAGUCCCAGUUUGUACGGCUACUCAUUCAUUGCAGUCUUCAGACGAACUCUACGGUGACACAUUUUUGGAAUACUCUGGCAUGUGCAACUGACCUGCCAUCAAGCACUCCGAUGCAUGGUUCUAUCCUCUUUGGUUGCCUUAUAUUCUGUAAAAAAAAAUAUUCAAGGCCAACAGACCAUACCGUGUUAAAAAUUUUAGUGCCCAAUCCAAUACAAAAUCAGUUCCAGCACCUCCACAGUGAUUAUAUUGUAAUUCAAUCACCAAAAUCCGAAACUAUGGUCUAGUGAAGCUAUACUGUGUACGAAAUAUCAAUUCAUGGGAUUUGUCAACGAUUUUAUGAAGCUGUAUAUAUGAUACCUUCCACUACGGGAUUUGUGUACAAAAUAUUAAUUCAUGAGAUUUGUCCAUGAUUUUAGGAAGCUACAAUAUCUUCAACUACCGGAUUGCGUAUAUAAGAUAAUCUUCACCAGUUAUCACAGGUGGAAGCACGCGUUAAAUAAUAAAUGACUAAUGCUGAUUCAACUCUGAGAUGAAAAGGAUUCUGUUCUCAAGAAUCGAAAAAAAGGUAACGUGCUCAUAACAAUGUCGACUCUUCACAUCUGAGAACUACCUACCGUAUGUUAUUAAAACAUUUUUGCUGCCUAUAAAUUGGGCAUCAUUUCAGCAGGCCACCACGGCACCUGAGCUUGCCAUCUUUUCCUGCUCUAUCUCACUCAUUUGUCCCGUAGCUACUAGCUAAGCCACCAUAUCAUCCAUGGCUUCUGGUGCCUCCACCACGCUGAAGAUGGCCUCUAUCGCCGCUUGCAUCCUGCUGGUCCUGCUGUCCAAUGGCCACCCUACCGCGGCGGCCGUUGAUUGUAUUGCGGCUUGCAAAGAACCGUGCCAGGGUUUUUCUAACGGGCUCUGCGCGGGUGGAGCCACCAGCGGUUGUACGACUACGGCAGCAGCUACAGCAUGCCGCAAUUUGGCGUUCUCGCAGUGUGCGAACACCUGCUUCACAGUUUGCACUGCUGUGAGCAUCGCGCCUUGCACUUGAAGAUGCAUUCGUGUUCCUACUUCCACAUUAUUGUUACUGCAGAAUAAUAUGGGUCAGUGCACACAAGCAUACAUGAUGAGCCACUGUCGUUUUUCCAUUUUGUCAUUUAUUUAUUGAAGGCAAUGUACGUUUUUCCAUUUGAUCAUUUACUUAUUGAAGGCAAUGUACGUGUCUAUCUCCUGUGUGGUUGAGCAUGUCAUCUUGGAAUUCUGUCCAAAGUUUUACAUACCACCUUGUAUUGUUGUGUGUGGGUAUCAAUAUAAUUUAUGAACUAUCUUCCUUUACCAUAGACAUAUCUAUGUUUAUUUGCAAGCGUUAGCUAAAUUUUUCCUUGAUUGUGUAUUAACCCCAACUGAACAGAUCAACUUUCCACUGCAAGAAACUAUUUAAUCUGUGACGAAACAAAAUUGUCACGUAUCACUAAAAAAUCGACAUAAAGCAAUGCCUGUGAUGAUUUCAGAUAACGUCAUGUAUUGAGCAUCACAGAUUAAAUCGAUCGACGUUUUCUUCGAAAUCGUCACAGAUCAACACAAUCUAUGAUGUUUUUUACCUGUCACAAAACACCCUUAGGCCCGUGCAGCAGCCCAGGCCUAGUGUUUGUGACGAAAAUAAACAUAACAGAUGGUUGCCACGUGGCUGGUGACGUGGUUGAUGACGUGGACGAUGACAUGGCUAGUGACGUCAUUGAUGACAUGGCCAGUGACGUCGAUGACAUGGAGAGGCUUCACCAUAGUAUUUUGUAUCGACGUUAGACCUAUCGUUUAUUUCCGCUGCUUUUGAACUCUGAACACUACUUUUAUGCAUGUGAACUAUCGGCUUGUAAUAACUUAAUGUGGGACCUGUAAUAAUUUAUCUGGAUUGUUGUAAUCUUUGGACUCGUCUUCGUGCGAGUAUACUUUGUUUCGAUCCGAAACACGUGGUUGCAUCGGGUGAAACCCGACAGACUACCAGUUUAAUUCGAUUAAAGUGUCUAUUCACAUUUAAGGCAAUGUUGAAUAUACUUUAGCCGGGUUAACUUGGAUGGUUCUACCACACUGGCGCAUCCCUGAGGAUUCCUAUCUGCUUGCUCGAUGUCAUCUGUAUCUGGCCCUGUGAUAAGGGCGAAGAGUUCAUUGUCUAGAGAGAGGCUUCCAGAACUUUGGGUGAUGACUUAUGUAGAGUCAUUGUCUUCAUGGAUAGAAGACAAAGGUGAUCCCUCCUAGUACGGAAGAACGUUGAGAUGGGCCAUGAAGCGUGAUUCGUUGUCCUGGGCGAGGGCAGGUAGCCUCAUGCCAGGCCAGUAGAUGAAUCUGCCUUGAGGGGUUGAGGUGAUCACCAGGCCCUGCUGCGAACCUGUUAGUGGAGUUUCCUCGUCGGAAUCCAAGUAGUGAUCGUAGUUGUGGUCCUUAAUCGGACAUGAGUUAGAUUGCAACCCGGAUAAGGCUGCUUGAUAGGUGGAAGCUGCGUUACAGAGUCCGAAUGGGAGUUUGCUCGGAAUUUGACUUGAUUCGGACGAUGCAGAACCCGACAGGAUAACCUACUGGGGUAUUACGUCAAUAGAUCAACCAAAAGAAUGUGCAAUAAUAUCUACCACCAAAGGCAACCCAAAAGCAUUAUCUACCUUCAGUGCCAGAUCAGUCAUCAACAAAGAUCUAUGGAGACCUUGUUUUCUCUUGCUUUGGAUUUGGAGAUAGCAUAGAACAAAAGCCUUGAACCUAAAUAAACAAAGAAAAAAAGUACUGCAGUGCUAAAAAUAAGAAAUACCUCGUAGAAAAAUACCAGUAAUGGGUUUAUGGGUUCCCACUCAUCCUUGGGUAGCCACUUCUCUAGAGAGAUUCUUGUGUGUUCCGGUGUUGUAGUUUUCUGCGCAUGAUACAUACCAACAUAAGGGCUAUUCCCCAACCUCAUAAUCGAUAGUAAUGUACAUCUUCUGGAAAGGACCUCUUUCUGUUGCAAGUGUGACUGCCACGCUCAUGCCAUUAAAGAAGUUAGCAGUUCGGUUAGGCAAUUAGUUGCCCACAGGAGGAAAGUAAAGCAACCGUGGAGAGUGAAGAGGCGUCUUUCUAGCUCCAGCACCAAGCACACCACACCAGUCAUCAGCUAAUCUGAUGACAUGGCAGGAAAUUUAAGAGGGGAGAGAAGGAAUUAGUUUCAUCUAGAUGAAAUUCUUCUCGCACAAAACCAACUCUGAAUGUGUCAUGAAAUUAAAUGUACCCCAUGCCGCUUUUUAUGCGCUCUUAUUAAUGUUGCUUUGUCUAAGUUCAAUACACUUAUCAAGACUAUCGCAUUUGGUGACUGGCAGUCCACCUAAGGGUACCAAGAUGGUUGAUUUGUAAACAGAGAGGAUCACAAGACCAUGAACUACUUGAUGGUAAUGCAAGGCACAAGACAUAGAGAUUUAUACAUGUUCGAGCCGUUAGUGUAGCGUAAUACCCUACGUCCUGUUUUGGGGGAUUGUAUUGCGCUCUGCACUUGGGUGUUGGUUGUUAAGUUGAGGGAUUGGCCGUCCUCCUAGGGGUACCCCUACGUACCCUUAUAUACUCCCCUAAUAACUCUUCUUAAUAGGAUAGAUUACCAAGUAGAAUUAAUUAUGCAUGCACGCUUGCAGUAAUUGUCGCACCUAUUAGCCUUCCUUAUUUAGCGAGACUUCCUCGGGCAUCGAUGGUGUGCCGUUUCUAUAGUGAACGGUAAUGAAUGUGGACACUUUUAUGAGUGCUGACAUGAAAGGUUCAAUUUGUAUGAAUGAUCUUCUAUAGGUACACUAACCGCGCUUAGGUUACGUUAACAAAAGGUUAGAGAAUUGACUAGUUAUUAUAGGAAGAGCCGUAAACUGUUGCCUCGCCACCAGCACUAACCCCGUAAGUCCAAGUAAUUGGCAGUUUUUUCAUUUGUGAGGACGCAUAGGUCAUGCAUGCAUCAUGUUAAAAACUUGCAAAUUAGAAAUUGGAACAACUUUCCUAUAGAUGAUUGGGAGGACUAAUGUCACUCUCAAAAAAAAUUUUGCCAAAUCACCUAAGGAUUUUCUAGUUGUCUCGAACUGCAGCUAACUACUGUCAGAAAUUUUUUUCUCCGAGCUCUUAAAUGGUCUUGGUUCCAGAAUUUAGUAAAUGAUAUGCUGUAAAAGUUUCAUAAAUUUUGGUCAAGUGAAACUCGAGUUAUGCUUCAAUAAAUUCCCGGGUUGACUCGUACCCAAAGGAGGAAGUUGCAGAGGUUAAGGCUGCAGGAGAAGAGGGAACAGAAGCUGGAGAAGCGAAGGAAUGAGGCAUUCAACACGAAUAGACCCAUAGUCCCUCAGAAGAAGGAGUGGAGAGUUAAGGCCGAUACCCCCAACUCCACCAGUCAGACCGGCAGAAGGACCGGUCGGACCUAGUGCGGUCGGCACGGUCGGGGCGGUCACUGGCACAGUCGGCGUGGUUGAUGAUUCGGUCGGCGCGGUUGUCGGCGCAGUCAGACCGGUUGGGGGGUCAGCGAGGAGCGACGGCGGGGCAACAAAGUAACCGUGAGCGUGGCGGGGCGGAGCUUGAGCGGCGGAGGCGGAUGGGAGGGGUGGAGGCGGCGGUGGAUGUGGAGGGGAGGUAGCGGAGGGGGAGGAGGAUGAGGAGGCAGAGGAGGUCGGCGGUGGGCGGAGGAGGUGGAGGAGGGUGAGGAGGAGGAGGAGGCGGAGGGAGGUCAGGGCUGGCGGGGGGAUUUUCUUUUUUUAAGAACGUUCAGCUUUAUUAUCACCUAGCGGAGGCAGAUGGAGUUCCACAACAUGGUGUAUCGGAUGGGCAUUUCAUUGAAGUCCCUAGGGGCGUCCAAUGGGCGGCUGUAGUGGGUGUACAUCAGGACGAGCGUCUGUAGCCAUUGCGACAGCCUAGAGCACGACAACGAGGCAGAAGACCCCAUCACGGGUGCAGAUGGCCAGCGUUUUUUUAAAAAAAACUUACAGGUGGCCAGUGUGGUGGGCGUGAUUGGGCUUAUCACCAGUGGCGGAGGAGGCGGACGCACGAAGUGACGGGAAUGGCGCCGAGUUUGGUCGAACCAUCUGGAAACCAGAGUUGCAACGCUUGCACUGGACGGCUGAGAUUUACGAUGCUCGAUAUCUGACGGGCGAAAAAGGGAGAGACUUGGCCCAAUCACUGCAGAGAAACUUCACCGGAUUUAGGUCUUUAAAGAAGAUUGUAAGGCCUGAUUGGUUGGGGGAUCAAAAUGUAUCAAACCAAAAUCAGGGUAAGCCUAAUAAUUUUGGCAGCUGUGUAUAUUUAGAUGCAUAUAAACAUUUAUAAACCUAAAAAAUUAAAACGACCUGCAAUUAAAACUCGAGGGGUAAAAAAGAAGGCCCUGACAAACGCGUCAGCACAUUCCUGCCUUUCUCCCCCGAAUGAGUAAACUCCAAUCCAAAAUUUGACUGUAUUUUGUUAACGGUUAUAUUUCAUAAGUUUCAUAACAAUAACCAGCUAGGGCUAAUGAUGAAAUGAAAUUGGCCACAAUUUUUGUUCUUGGGAGGUAUCUGUGAGGUGAGAAAAUGGGCAACAUGUGUGGAAAAUGCUAAUACGCCUACCGUGUGGCAUAUUUUGCGUUGUAUCAUAUACUUUCCGGAACAGUUGUAAUUGCCACAUCUUUUUUUCCCAGCAGAGUUGCCAAAAUGUGUUGGCGCCUUUUCCGACCAACACAUGAGUGCGCUAGCUUGCGUGUAGAUUGGAAAUCUCCUCGUUGAAGCUCCUGCACCUGGCCGGUCAGAUCGGUCAGGGGGUCCGAUCGGGCCGGUCGUCGUAGGGGCACCGUGAAAACCUACGUCCACCACCUCGGGAGGGACCCUAUCGGAGAUGGCGAACCUAGGGUUGCUCUGAGAUCGGCAGGCCACUUUAAACGUUCUCAAACACCGCCGGGACAAAAGAGGAAAGCAAGUGGGUUGGAAAAGCUAAGGUUUUGAGAUAAAAGGGUAAAAAGAUAUGUUUGACGAUUGGGUGAUACCCCUCAAUCCAACUUACCAAUACUGAUACAAGAUAUGCUCAACUUGUGAACUUAACUGAGGUAUAUGCUUUCUAUGUUCGUCCAUUCCAGCAAUUGUCUAAGGCAACGCGAAAUCCAGUUACUGUGGGCUAAUAACAACCUAUCUGUUGGUGUUUCUUGGUGUCUAUGGGUGUGCUUCUGAUUUGCAUGCUUUUUUUGUUUGUUGUGUGAUGAAAUAAGGCACUAUGUACAUCUUUGCUUAUUAUUUCCCACUGAUAUAUGGGUACGGACGUGUAAUCAUUAAUUGUGCUAUUCAUUCAGCUGACGACAGUCAGUUGACAUCACUUGAAAGUAUGCUUGAAUUCGUAAGGUGUCCCGUGCAAGUAGCGUGGCUACAACCGCGGCAAUAUUUUUUUCUGAUCAAAAUCGAUCGUCCUUUUUUGUUGAAAACAUAAGUAUGAUAUACUUCACGUGAUGUUAGACUUGAAAAUUUUUGAGUGCAAUAUAUGAGUAAGUAUUCAAUACUAACAUUUUUUCUCUAAACAUUAACUACCAACAUAGCUUAUCAGAUAAUGCAGCAUUGUUUAUCCGACAUGCAUAACCACCUAACACUCAGACACUGAGACACACCAUCCAUUACCGUCACUGAAUCUAUGUCAGCGUGCUGAGCCAGGGUUAGGAACCUCCACUAACUCGUUAGAGGCAAACCCAAGAUCUAGACUGCUUCUGCUUAAUUCCAUCACUAGCUUAAUCCACUAUGAAAUGUAAAUGCACAACACUCUUAGCAAUUCGCUCAUAAGAUUCUUGAAUUUGGCAAAUUUUUGGUGCAAUCUUCACUGCGAGAAAAACGACCUUUUGUCCAACAUAUUAGUACCGGCCACAUUUCAACCCGUACUAAUACCAACAUUAGUAUCGGAUCCAAUUUAGUAGCCACCGGAGACCUUUUAGUACCAGGUCAUAACACCACCCAAUACUAAAAUGUUGAAGAUAGGUUGCCAAUGGUGAGGUGGAGCGUGGGGUCGAUGACGGUAAUAGCGGCGGGGAACUUCAACCCCCAGCCGAAGGGGCCAUGGCAGGUGGCAGGGAGAGGUUGAGGCUGUAGAGGAGAGGGUGUUUGAGCUUUGGGGGUGGCGAUUUGGAUUUGUUGAAGGAUAGCGGUGGGAUUUGCUGCUCAUUGUGGUUCAGGUGGAGGAACAAAGUAGAAAGAAAGAGACGAAAAUGUGGCCAACACUUUCAAGGAAAAGCAUGAGGUGAGAUGGAGGAAUGCAUGAGUGAGGGUGUGGAUAGGCAACCCUUGAAAUGGAUUUCCAAGGACGGAUCACGGGAUGAACCAUCCCUGGAAAUGGGGCUAUUUUUAGGAGCGGAGGGAAACAUGGCCUGCAUCUAUAAAUAAGUAUUUUUAGGGGUAGGUCUUGUUUCUGUUCGUUCUAGGAAAUGUAUAUUUCUAGGGGUACCCCACCCCAUAAUUGUAACACCUGCUUUUAAAACAAAACCAAGUGUUACCUAUAUGUAUGCCAGGAUCUAGUUUCAUAUAUAUAGUGAUAUCAUCAGUGAAUAAUAGUAACAAUAUCACGUAAAAAAAUAUAAAUAAUGACUUACGAGUGUAUCAGAGAUAUACAACUUAAUCAUGGAAAUCAAGGCUCCAAACUUCACAAGCAAUCGACUGUGGGUUGCGUAUGUCUAGAACUCAGCAUCAUCUUGAGAAAACAUCACACACCUUCUUCUGAGCAGCAGUAAGUAAGGGUGAGUACACUUAUGGUUGGUACUCAGCAAAACCAUAUUGUGCCAAUCAGGCACUCAUCACACUACCGAGGUGUGACUACAUAGGGACACUACGAGACCUUUACAAAGAUUCCCUAAUAAGUGGUAACCUGCUAAGGUUUCAUGUCGAAGUAGAGCAUAAACCUCUCUCAAGAUUGCGAAGCUAACAUAGAGCAGAUCAGACUGAGGGACGGGUUAUACCUCAUCAACGCCUCCCCUCUUGUCCUUUCGGUAAGAUUACCUCAAGCUGGAGUCUCUAAUUAAUUAGCCAAGACCAGAGCCAUAUAGUCCUUGUAGUUGCACUAUUUUCCUGGGUGGUUCUUCAUGUUCCAAUUAAUGCAUGGUAUUCUUGUAAAAUAAGAAUAGAUAGAAGGAUGGUUAAGGACACCUACCUUUAUCCAACGAAAAGUUACUCUUACUGCUCUUUAGCUCUUGCUCUCUUGAAACUCUUAAUCUUCAAAUCUUUUGAACAACUAUCCUUCUAUUUGAAGAAAUCAUCGGCACAAACAUAUAAGCAAACAAAAAAAGUACAAUUAAGAACAAUACACCAAAACAAAAAAAAGCUUGAAAAGAGUAUAAAGGAUAUGGCUCAAUUCUAAGAUCGCGAGGAUGUAAGAAACGCUUAAAACCAAACUAAGGUUGAAAAGACAAAGCUAUUGAGAGAUUUGAAUUAUAAAAGAAAAAGAAAAGCCUACGUGCUUCAUAUAUUUUAAUAAAGAAAACAAUGUAAAGAUAUUUUAGAGAAAAAUCCUUAUCAAGUUAUAUUUAUAUAUGAAAAGAUCAAGGUAGAACUUCAUCAAAUUUUUAUUUAUAAACAUUAAAGUACAAUUUAGGCAAAUUAAACAUUUAAUUUGAAAAUAAAGUAAGAGCCGCAAGACUCAAGGAACAAGCUAAACCAUUCAGUGGAUCUUCGGGGGUCUAGAUGCAAAAAGCUCAGAGCUUUCUUCCUCAUGGCCGACGGUAGCUUGUACAGCCAAAUCACUGGCGCUACGGCGGCUGGGGUCUCCAGCGGACGGCACAGGAGGUGGAGGAGGUCCAGGGGAUCUAGUGGAGGCUCUUACCGGUGGGGGAGGUGAAGGGGGGCGGCCGAAAUUCGGAGGCGACAAUGACCGCAGCGGUGGCUCGAGCUCCGCGCGGUGGCAACGCUCCGGUGAUGGAGGGGCGUCGAGGGCUGGCGUCAGUUCUUCAUCUUGGAAGGAAAAUAAUUUCCCGUGGAAGGAAAAUCCAGAUAAAUCAAGAUAAUUCAAUAAAAGCUACAAAAAAUACUCUAAAAAUUCCCAAAAAUUUUAGGAAAAAUCCUAGUCGUAGAUUGGGACAUGAGGAAUCCAAAUAAAAUACUUGGAGCCCAUGAAAAAGGAAUUAGAGCCUUCUACUAAAUAGAUUUAUUUCUAGGAAAAUGAGAAUAAAUACCAGAAAGAUCUGGAAAAUUCUCAGGAGAAUUUGGUCGUCGUCUAAAUGCAUUUUUGAAACUUUUUCACUCAUGAAAUACUAUAAUGCAUCGGCAGGAAUGCAAAACACGUAGAAACAUUUUAUUUCUUUCAAAAUCAAUGAAUUGUUUUUCCUAUACUACAUUUCCUGUCAAAAAAAUAAAUGUUGAAAUUUUUUUAAAAUUAUGAGAAAAUCAUUGUUUAAUUAUUAUUUUUAUUUAAUCACAUCCUAAAAUCUAAAAAUUUCAGGGUGUGAAUAAUCCACCCCUAUAAAUCCAUUUUUAGAGGUGGAUGAAUUGCUACAGUAACACCUAUUUUUGGUUGGGGGGCUUCUCAUCCAGCCAAAAAAAUCAAGUGGCACCUAAAAAUCAUUUUUUAGUAGUGAUCGUACACGCGCUUCACUGCCAUGAACGCCGCCAUGCAUACCGCUCAACCAGCCGCCGGCGCCAUAGAUGGUGGCAUUCCGGUUCUUUCCCCAGUGUGGCAGGCCGCCGUACUUGCCCAUUGCCAUCUGCAUCUUGAUCUCGUCCACGACCUCCAAGUUUUGCACUGCACUAUGGACAAAAUAGUGCCCAUUAUCGUGCAGGGUUUUCCAUGUGAAUUGGCCCAAGGUACAUUCAACUUAUUUUGGCUGGCUUGGUCCCACAGUUUGAACCCAGAUUUUGGAUCUUUCCGCAUUUAAAUUGGUGCUGCUGCUGCAUUUAUUUGAUAAUGGUGCAAGAUAUGGAACCAUACAACAAAGGUAACUCAUCAUUAAUUUAGAAGGGUGCACAGAUUCAUGUAAUAAAUAAUCUACACCACCUAAGAUGUGUCUCUACCUCUAUAUAAACAAGAGCAAUCAAAGCAAUAUGUGCAUACUGGAACAAAAUAUCUACAGGCAUACCAAUAGUGUUCCUUUUCAUAUGGCAGUGAUCAAGAGCAGCGCAGUGAGGUCCAUGUGUGCUGCACUUUGCAUUCUUUUGAUAAUGUCUUCAGCCCUCUCAGAGCUGGUGGAAGUUGUGUAUCUAACUGCUUUUCUACUUCCCAUGGUUUCAUUAUAUUCGUGGGGUUUACUAGGUGCGAUGUGGAUUUCAUGCACAUGAUCACGCUGAGUGUGACCCUAUGGACUGAUGCACUGAUCCGAAAUGCGAGGAUGAAUGUCAGAACAAAAAUAUUGACCUACCUAUUGAACCUGAGUGCACCACACCUAAGGAGUGUUGCUGCACAUUUUAUCGGGAGGAAGAUAAUUCACUUCUUUGAAUAGAUUAAAAUGGUUGCCGAUGGCUAGAUUAAUUUCAUGGAUGCAGCCGAUACCAGAAUACUACGCUUGCAUGUAAUGCAUCCAUAAUAUGUUUCUACCCAAAUCUAAUAAAAUAAAUGUGUCCCAUUUGUCCUCUUUUCCUCUAGUGUUUUUUUUACUCCCAAAUUCCAUGCUAAUAAAUGCUGCAUACAUGAUUUUAUUUUAAAAACAUUUCUGAAUACAUUUAAUUUGAUAAGUUCAAACACCGAGUGAGUCUUCUAUCUAUUGUAGGCUUAUGUUUAGUGAAGUGUGCCGGGCCUACUACUUCGGUGUUGGGCUGAGCCCACAUGAGAGCAGCUCCAGCGUUGCUCUUUUGAGGGUGCUCCAAGGAGAGAGAAAAAUAUUCUCCGGCAGCUUCACGCUGGAUCAGAGGGUGCUAGGGAGGUGCUAGGGAGCAGCUGAUGAUGAGUUUUGCACCAGGCGCUACGCAUUCAAUAUAUUUUCUGAAGUAACGUGGUUGGAUGGAUAGUUGAGAUAGUGGGAAGAAAAGCUAGAUCAAUGAUUCUUUAUUCAGCUGGAUCAAUGAUUUCUGAGAUGAGGUACUCAGCAGAUUGAACCGCCACAAGUGCCCUUCUCUUCUUAUCAGCCCGGUGUGCCUUGGUAUUGUCUUCCUGAAUAAUGGCCUUAUUAACCAGAUUACUAGAGCUGUCGUAGUAACAACCAAACGAACUGCAGCUUAGUACCGAGGCCCCUUCUCAAGCAAGCCUACUUUUUAGCAUGACAGCUGGCGUACCGAGCAAGUUGAUUAACACUAUUAGCAUAUUGGAACACAGUUUGAUUUCUUUGUUUAAGUGACAUGACCUCUGACGGUUUUCUUUAGGCUGUGGAAAACGGCUCGUACCAACUCUGCCCGUUGAGAUGACCACACCCUGUUUCCAUUACCCCGUUAGGAAUGGAAACACAAACCAUUAUCUUGUACCCUAUCAUAACUCUGAAGUCUUCUUGGAAUAAUUUUCCGAUAAGGGAAGUUUUAUUGAUUUAAUAAAUGUUACAUCACGGUGAUAUAAUAAACUUGAAAUCCUCCCAGCAUGUGCAAGCACAGAGCCCUACAGGCAGAAACAAAUGCAGAUGCGCUAAUGACCAUCAAUCCGAGGACUCCGCCACCCAUGCACUUAGGUAAAAAAAUUCCUCGACCACUUUCACCAAGCACUGAGAUGAGAUGCCGCUGCAACGGAAACAUAUGCCGUAGACUUUUGGAGCAUAGCCCAUGUACGAAGCUAGUGGAUAACUCUAAAGAUAACCUGCAUUGGAUGAGAUAAGGGUUUGUUUUCAAAUACCAUAGCAUUCUUGCAGAGCAACAAUAACAACAUAGUAGCAAUCACCCCAAGUAAAUAAUGCCCGUCAACCAAGUGCCGAAAAUAUUUUCUAGGCUAAGGGGCUUGAGAAAGACUUCAGUUGCAAACAUAUCCGUAUUAUCCUCACUGAAUGGUCAUAAGUGUUUCCCUUCCGUUGCCGACACAAGACCAUCCGACGGCGAAGGGUGACUAACGCCACUAGCUGGUAAACUAAGUAUGCUGGAAUUUGUCCACUAAGGUUAGAGUCUAGCUAACUCAGCAUAGGUGCCCAUAUUUCUUAAUUAUGUUUCCGUUGGUUGAUAACAUACCCAUCGGCAUCCUAUCGUCAUGACUUAAUGAAUCCCAAUAUCUUCUAGACUAACGUUUACUUACAUGAGUAGGGUGUGUAUGCAUGUGUGGUUAACAGGUAUUUACUUUAAGGUCGGCUGGGCCGGCUUUCUGGAUGUGUCUAAUUAUGCUUAAGAAAAAGAACCACUAGUGGAAAACUGAGUUUUAGUCCCAUAUGCAGACACGCAUAGAUCUCAAAAAUCCAACCGGAACUAAUCAUUCGGACUGUAAUAAUAAAAUUUGUUUGAAAUUAAAUACAUUGCAUUUAAAUUUUCAUGGGCAUUUAAACCUUUUUCAAAAUAAAUUAAUGAAUCAUAGGAGUUCGUUGUUGCAUUCACGAUGGUGCAUUAUUUUUGGUUGCUUGAAUUCAAAUUUGUGUUUGAAUUCAUCUGUUUGACUCUUUUAAACAAAUAGGAAACCCCUUUUCUUUUCCCUCCCUUUUCUUUUCUUCCUUUCAGCCUGUUUCUUUCUUUGGGCCCACUUCCUUCUCUUUCGCCCAGCAGCAAAACUGAAUAUGCACUUUGAAGAUAAACAUGCGAACCAUCAAAGGGCAGCAGACAACUUACAUACACGAAGGAGCGUUGUAAAUGGCAGAGUAGCCUUGCUGCCAUGAUCCACUGAGAUCCAGCCCCACGUCGCACGAAUUCCUCCCUCCCCCCUCCACCCCCGACAACGGCUUCAGGCUCGGACCCGCUAUGACGACCAAGGACAAAUGCGCUCAAGGCUUGGGAAGAAAUUAACUUCCAUUGUCGGAACACUUGUUAAGGAUUACAAGAGACCAUAUCGCAAGUUUAUCUUCUUAGGUAUGGUCCACAAUGGAAGAGAGAUCUCCUAACUUGACCAAGCGGAUGUACACACUAUCAUUUGGCACGAAUCAGGCCAAGUCAGAUAGGUGCUAGUGGAGUUCCAUAUUCCACUACGUCCGGCAUGUAACUCAUAAUCGACCACUGGGGAGGGACAUGUGUGGGAUGGAUCGAAGACAAGACAAUGGCCAACACACGCGUGGACAUACCGGCCACAGGGUACCAUUACGUGUUUGUUGGACCCAACACAUGAAAAUAGCUGCGUUGGCCAUGAAAAUGUUUCCUAUACGUCAUGGGAGCGCGUAAACGGCCACACUGGCCACCGGAGACGAAAACAUGGGCGAUGGACCGAAGAAGGGAAGAUGGCCUCCGGACAUGUGUUCGGCCAUGAAAACGUUUCCUAUAGGUCACAGGAGCGCGAAAAUGGCCUCACCGGCCACCGGGGACGAAAACGUGGGAGAUGGACCGAAUACAUGAAAAUGCCUAACGAAUGUGUGUUCAGCCAUGAAAACGUGUGUUCUAGGUCACGGGAGCCUGAAAACGGCCUCACCAGCUAUCAAGGACGAAAACGUGGGGGAUGGACUGAUUGCAUGAAAAUGCCUAACGAACACGUGUUCGUCCAUGAAAACAUGUGUUAUAGGUCACGGGAGCCUGAAAAUGGCCUCACCGGCUAUCGGGGACAAAAACAUGGGGGAUGGACCGAAUACAUGAAAAUGCCUAACGAACGUGUGUUCGGUCAUGAAAAGGUGUGUUAUAGGUCACGGGAGCUUGAAAAAUAGCCUCACCGGCCUCCGGGUAUGAAAACGUGGGUGAUGGACCGAAUAUGUGAAAAUGCCUAACAAAAGCAUGUUCGGCCAUGAAAAUGCCCAACGAACAUGAGUUUGGCCAUGAACGGGUGAAAACGGCUCAAGAACGGGUGACAACGGACUCCAAAGGGGCUGGGAUGGAGUUUCCGUGUUGGCACCGAGCCCCCUACGUGCCCCCCUGUCAUCUCGGCCUAUCACACAGAUUUCAGGUGACCCCUAGAACUGUGCACCCUGUGGGACAAAAUUCCCCGGAACUUCUGGGUGGGGGGGAUGCCGCACAGGUAUAGUAGGGGGAGCUGGUGCGUCCUCUGGGUGCUUGAGAAAACGAUGUUCAGCCGUAUGAAUAACGUUGGUUUUGACAUGUUUUCGAGGUAUUCGGGGCGUACUCCCCCGGCCGCGGUGCGGCCGGACCGUGGCCGCACCGCAGCUCAUGUGGGAAGGCUUGGGGGCUGGCUACGGCUGGUCACAGUAGGCUGCGGCCGACUGUUGCUGGGCUGCGGGCGCCUGGAAUGUGCUUGCGCUUGCCGUUGGCUGGCCGUGGCCGCCCCAGGCGUGCUGCGGCCGGUCGUUAGCUUACCUUUUGCUGCUCGGGGCAUUCAGUUGCUGGCCGUUGGCAGGCUAAUGCCGUCCCAGGCGGGCUGCGGCCGGCCAUGAUGGAAGGGAUGAGGUUGUGUUUGUUAUAUGCACCGAAAUUGUUCAUUCUCAUGCUCUAUGGACCUUCGACCGUCGUCCUCACAAGUAGACUUGCCAUGCCUAGCGUGGUAGGAUGCUUAGGAUGGCUUGACCGUCGCGCUACACUAAUAUUGGACCUGUGACUGCUUGGAGGCCCUCCGCCCUAGUGUGGCCGACUCUUGGUGCCAGUUCCCUUCAGUUGUGUGGGCAUCAUGCUCGCGCCUCUGGCGAGUGCUUGCAUGCUGCUACCCGUUCUACGGGAAGUUGCAUUCGCUACGGGUUGCCUUCGUUGUGCCCACCCCCUGGGUGUGGCACUUUGGUUAUAGAGCACUUGCGGCGUCACCUCGUGGUACCUGCUACACCGGUCGGCACCACCAAGGUCAUCUCGCUUGUGCUCUUUGUCUCGGAUGGAGCUAUCGAUAUAGGGCGAGGCUGCUUCGGCACCUUGUUCCUUGCAAAUUCGGUACCUUCGGAAAAACGAAACCAACCCAGCCAACACCUCGUGCCGAAGCUAGCGACAGCUUGUCGAGGAGGACGUGCUAACCUGGUUGAUCCUGCCAGUAGUCAUAUGCUUGUCUCAAAGAUUAAGCCAUGCAUGUGCAAGUAUGAACUAACUCGAACUGUGAAACUGUCGUUUAAUGAUGUUUAAAAGUUGCAAGGGCCCCUCUGUAAAAACGUGUUCAAUCUUUUCUGAUUUAAAAUGAAUUAAAUGGCUGAAACUUUGUAAACGUGUAGAAAAUUGUAGAAAAAUGGUAAAAAUGUGAAAGAUGUCAUGCCCCUGCAAAAAGAACAAGUAGCUCAAUGGUUUGUGCGAUAAAUCCUAUCCUUGAGGUGCUCGUUUACCAAUUUGCACCGAAACAUUAUCUUAGCUCCCACAUGAUAUUAUCUAAAGGCAAAGAAGGUGACAUUGAACAUGAUACACCACGAGAUUUUACUGGAGAAUACAUUGAGAGGUACAGGAUAGGGUUUGUGUGGAAUGUGAUCGGUGCUUAUAAAUAUGACAUAGCAUCAGUACAUCACAACUGGUUGUAGACUGCAACCGACAAUUUUCUUAGACCCUUUGCAUUUUGUAAUAGUUAUAUUCCCUUUACUAAAGUUCUUAUUACAACCAGGUUUCAUAGUACCUAGUGGCAUCAAAACCAUUUAGCGCCACUAACUGGUUGUGAUGAUUGAUGUCACAAACGGUUCUUUGUGCGUAGCCAGUUUAUAGCUGUAAUUCAAUUGAACCUGUUCUAGUACCUUGAACAACUAGUUCUUGAUGAGUAGCCAGGAGUGACGUUCCAUUUGUAACUAUUUAUUCUCUAUUAGUCUAAUGUUGUGAUAAAUGAUUUGCGUUGUCAGUUUAUGCACUUUGGCAGCCUGGAUGUAUGUCUUUUGAAGUAUGUGUAACUUUCUCUAGAAUUGAGGAACUUUAAUUGACUAAGUGGUCUUGGAUUUACAGCAUCAACCACUAUAAUUAGCCAUUGCUCCAAUGGCCCAUUUUUUCCGUUAAUGCUAUAUGAUCCGACACCAAUAUGUGUACAAACAUAAGAGCAUCUGACGAGUAUCAUUUUACGGUGAAGACAUUGGAUCCCCACUCGCAGUAACACAUUUCAAAUGUGGAAAGCAGGACCGGGUCUCCCCCCUGCAAUAAAUGCCAUUUUAACUGGUCCUAUAAACUGUUUUCUAGUGGUGUGAUGUAGUCUGUUGGAAUCAGCACCGUGGAACCAUCUGACAUUCAUACAUUAGCUUCACCAAGCAAAUAUUCUUCUGUGCAUUAAAGCUUCAUACUUCAACAUGUACAAGUUCUCUAUGUAGGAUAUUUCAGCUAGAAGAUCUUCCCUUUCUUGAACUAGCCAUUUGAGCAUUAUUCAUUCUCAGGCCCAUUGUUCCAACGGCUUGCACGUUCUUGGAAUGUGUUAUCAUGGAAUGCUAGGGGUAUCGAUUCGUAGACAAGAUGGAAUGUCGUCAAGAGCAAAAUAUCUGAAUCCAACUGUGAUAUUGCCUGUUUACAAGACACCAAAAGGGAGUUUUUUGAUGCUAGAUAUAUUAGGAAUUUCUAUCCCCCACAGUUAGAUUCUUUCGAUUUCAUCCCAUCUAUUGGCAACUCAGGGAGAACUAUUAUAGUGUGGAAUGGUUCCAAAUUCAAGGGGGAACGUAUCUUUCAAAAUCUUUAUGCCCACUUUGUAGAUUUUCAGUGCAAGCUAUCAGGGGAACAUUGGAUCCUCACGAAUAUCUACGCCCCAUGUACUCCGGAGGGGAAGCUAUCCUUUAUUGACUGGUUCAAAAGGGUUGAAAUACCAGAGGAAAAAAAUUGGCUAAUAGUUGGGGACUUCAACCUUCUUAGGAAGCCGGAUGACAGAAACAAUCCAGGGGAAACAAUCCGGGAGGAAAUGUUCAGGAAAUGCUUCUCUUCAAUGAAGCUAUUAGCAGGCUUAGGCUCACAGAAAUUCAGCUCAAAGGAUGCAAGUACACUUGGUCCAACAAACAACAGAAUCCUCUUCUGGAGAGGCACGAUUGGUUCUUCAUAUCUAACCCUUGGACCAUCUCCUAUCCCAAUACUUAUGCCUCAUCGCUGUCCAGUGACUCCUCAUAUCAUGUUCCUUGUGUAGUCUCGAUCUCUAAUACCAUUCCAAGGCCACAAGUUUUUAGAUUUGAGAAUUAUUGGCUAGAACAUGAUCGGUUCCCAACCAUUCUCCAACAAGGUUGGGCAACUCCACUUCUAGGCACAGAUAGGGCAAAGAACAUUGGGGCCAAGUUCAAAAACCUGAGGAAGGUUUUCAGGAUCUAGAAAGCAUAGCUCCCCAGUCUGGCGAAAGCAAUCCAGAGCACCAAAGACACCAUUAAACUCCUUGACAUCAUCGAAGAACUUAGAGAUCUUACCCUGCAAGAAUGGAACUUUAGAGAAGUCAUCACAUCACAUCUGAAUAGCUUGCUCCACCAACAAAAAGUCUAUUGGCAGCAAAGAAGCUCCAUCAAUUGGGCCAAAAUGGGGGAUGAAUGUACAAAAUUCUGCCAUGCAAGGGCCUCAGUCAGAAAUAGAAUCAAUUAUAUCACUUCUUUAGUUGAUGCCAAUGGACAAAUUGUCUCUAAACAUGAAGCUAAAGCCAGGAUUCUUUGGGAAGCUUAUAAGGAAAGGAUGGGGAGAUUUGAAUUUACUCACAUGUACUUUGAUCUUUCUACUAUCUUGACAUCAGAUCCAAAUUUGGAAUGGCUAGAAUCUCCCUUUAUGAAAGCAGAGAUCGACACAAUUACAGGGGAACUUCCAAGUAACAAGUCCCAAGGCCUAGAUGGCUUGAAUGGAGAGUUUCUCAAGAGAUGUUGGGACUUGAUAGCUGAAGAUUUUUAUAGACUGUCUGAAGGUUUUCAUGACAUUAGUGUGUGUGUUCAGAGCAUGAAUGCUUCAUACAUCACACUAAUCCCCAAGAAAGAUUGUCCCUCUCAAGUGGGAGACUUCAGGCCAAUCUCCCUCCUAAACUCAACCAUCAAGCUAAUAACUAAAAUUCUAGCAGAAAGGCUACAACAGGUUAUGUUAAGACUAGUGCAUAAAAAACAGUAUGGUUUCAUAAAGUUUAGAUCCAUACAAGACUGUUUAGCAUGGGCUUUUGAAUAUCUUCACAUCUGUAAAGCCUCAAAGAGAGAAUUAAUCAUCAGCAAGCUAGACUUUGAAAAAGCCUUUGAUAGGAUUGAGCACCAAGCCAUUUUGGAUAUCUUAAAACAUAAGGGCUUUGGGGACAAAUGGAUUGGGUGGAUAAAGGACAUUCUCAACACUAGAACAUCUUCAGUACUCCUCAAUGGUGUACCAGGGAAAGUCUUUCAUUGCAGAAGAGGUGUCAGACAGGGGGAUCCUCUAUCCCCACUUCUAUUUGUGCUAGCAGCGGACCUUUUUCAGUCAAUCCUAAAUAAAGCCAAAGAGGAAGGAAGCUUACACCUACCGAUCCCUGAAAGAGCUGGACCUGACUUCCCAGUUAUACAAUAUGCAGAUGACACCCUUCUGGUCAUGGAAGCAGAUCCUUGCCUGUUGUUGCAUCUCAAGCAUCUGCUUAAUCAGUUUGCGGAGUCAACUGGUCUUAAAGUAAACUACAACAAGACUGUUAUGGUACCUCUGAACACUUCUGAGGAUAAACUCCGACAACUUUCGUCAAUGUUCGAUUGCCAUGUCGGAAGCUUGCCACUCACCUACUUGGGGCUACCACUUGGUGCAACAAAGCCUAACAUUGAGGAAUUCCUUCCAUUAAUACAGAAGGUGGAGCGAAGAUUGGGAGGCAUCUCUAACAUGUUAUCUCAAGGGGGCAAACUCGAACAGGUAAAUUCAGUCUUUUCUUCCUCACCAAUGUUUCAUAUGGCAACCUUAAAGCUUCUCAAGGGGGUUAUCACACAAUUAGAUAAAUAUAGGAAACACUAUCUCCGCAGAGGAUCUAAUUUGAAUUCUAGGAAACCCUCCAAGGCAGCUUGGCCUAUGGUGUGCCUACCAAAACAGCAAGGAGGACUUGGGGUUAUUAACCUGAACAGUCAAAAUGAUGCCCUUCUUCUCAUGUUCCUACACAAGUUCUUCACUAGAGCUGAUACUCCCUGGGUUCAUUUAUUCUAGGAUAACUAUUAUUCUAAUGGGAAACUGCCUGGACAGCACAAAAAGGGCUCAUUCUGGUGGAGAGAUUUAGUCAAGCUACUGGACAAAUACGAAGGAAUAGUGUCGGCAUGGGUAUCGGAUGGCUCUACUGUAUUGUUCUGCAUGGACACAUGGAUUGAGCAGGUCCUCUACCUGGAAUUCCCCCAGUUAUUCUCUUAUGACAAAAACAAACUGGUAUCAUAUAAGGAGGCUACAAGCAGAAUAUCACUGUCUCAAAAUUUUCACCUGCCACUUUCAGAAGAAGCUCAUCAGCAGUUGCUGAUUCUGCAGAAUAGAUUGAGGAAUACUGUGAGAGCUCAAGGCAGAGAUAAGUGGACUUACAUUUGGGGAAGGCCCCCGCUUUUCGGUAGCAAAAACUUAUAAAGUCAUAACGGGCACAAGAACCAUACAUCCAAUUCAUAGAUGGAUAUGGAAAUCUAAAUGCCAAAAGAAGCACAAGAUAUUUUUCUAGCUAUUAAUUAAAUUCAGACUGAGCACCAAAGACAUUCUAAGCAGAAAAACAAUGUAUUUGGAUACUUAUACUUGUGUGCUUUGCAUCCUCCAGGAAAAGGAGACAAUGCCGCACUUAUUCCUGAGAUGCAACUUCUCGAAAGCUUGUUGGAGCACUUCCUCCAGGCCACCCUUUCGGAUUUUUAACUCAAUCAAGGAUAAACUGAACGUUCCCUUCUACAUGGAGAUCAUCAUUUUAAUGGCCCGGAGCAUUUGGUCCGUGAGGAAUGACUGGACCUUUCAACAAUGUCCCCCCUCGGUACAGAGCUGCAAAAGGAAAUUCAUGGAAAAAAUGAAUACCGUCUGUCUACAUAGAGCGAAAUCUUCCCUAGCUCUUGCCAUGAUGGAAUGGUUGUAAUCUUUUCUUUCUUUUUUCUUCCUUUGUUGUUGCCUUUUCUACCUUCUACUUCUGUUGUUUCUUGGACUCGCCUUUCAUUUAAUAUAUUUCAGUAGGAGCUUGCCCCUCCUGUUCCUUCAAAAAAAAACUUCGAGCACUUCUCCAUGGGCUUCAUCACCAUAGUUUCGAUUUGGGCAAUUUUAUUGCACCGAACCUUCCAGCUUGCAUUUUCUUAACUGAAUCUCGAGCAUGGGGCAAUAUUCUGGCAUCUACAACGGACCUGCCAUCAAGCAUUCCAAUGUAUAGAUCUAUCCUUUUUGUUUGCCUAAUAUUCGGAUGCAAUACUCCGCCGUGUGUAAAAAAAUCCAAGGCCAACGGACCAUACCGUGUUAACAAUUUUAGUGCCUAAUCCAAUACAAAAUUAGUCCCAGUUUGUACGGCUACUCAUUCAUUGCAGUCUUCAGACGAACUCUACGGUGACACAUUUUUGGAAUACUCUGGCAUGUGCAACUGACCUGCCAUCAAGCACUCCGAUGCAUGGUUCUAUCCUCUUUGGUUGCCUUAUAUUCUGUAAAAAAAAAUAUUCAAGGCCAACAGACCAUACCGUGUUAAAAAUUUUAGUGCCCAAUCCAAUACAAAAUCAGUUCCAGCACCUCCACAGUGAUUAUAUUGUAAUUCAAUCACCAAAAUCCGAAACUAUGGUCUAGUGAAGCUAUACUGUGUACGAAAUAUCAAUUCAUGGGAUUUGUCAACGAUUUUAUGAAGCUGUAUAUAUGAUACCUUCCACUACGGGAUUUGUGUACAAAAUAUUAAUUCAUGAGAUUUGUCCAUGAUUUUAGGAAGCUACAAUAUCUUCAACUACCGGAUUGCGUAUAUAAGAUAAUCUUCACCAGUUAUCACAGGUGGAAGCACGCGUUAAAUAAUAAAUGACUAAUGCUGAUUCAACUCUGAGAUGAAAAGGAUUCUGUUCUCAAGAAUCGAAAAAAAGGUAACGUGCUCAUAACAAUGUCGACUCUUCACAUCUGAGAAGCUAGCUCCGUGAUGCUUAUCUGGCUAGUGAACUACCUACCGUAUGUUAUUAAAACAUUUUUGCUGCCUAUAAAUUGGGCAUCAUUUCAGCAGGCCACCACGGCACCUGAGCUUGCCAUCUUUUCCUGCUCUAUCUCACUCAUUUGUCCCGUAGCUACUAGCUAAGCCACCAUAUCAUCCAUGGCUUCUGGUGCCUCCACCACGCUGAAGAUGGCCUCUAUCGCCGCUUGCAUCCUGCUGGUCCUGCUGUCCAAUGGCCACCCUACCGCGGCGGCCGUUGAUUGUAUUGCGGCUUGCAAAGAACCGUGCCAGGGUUUUUCUAACGGGCUCUGCGCGGGUGGAGCCACCAGCGGUUGUACGACUACGGCAGCAGCUACAGCAUGCCGCAAUUUGGCGUUCUCGCAGUGUGCGAACACCUGCUUCACAGUUUGCACUGCUGUGAGCAUCGCGCCUUGCACUUGAAGAUGCAUUCGUGUUCCUACUUCCACAUUAUUGUUACUGCAGAAUAAUAUGGGUCAGUGCACACAAGCAUACAUGAUGAGCCACUGUCGUUUUUCCAUUUUGUCAUUUAUUUAUUGAAGGCAAUGUACGUUUUUCCAUUUGAUCAUUUACUUAUUGAAGGCAAUGUACGUGUCUAUCUCCUGUGUGGUUGAGCAUGUCAUCUUGGAAUUCUGUCCAAAGUUUUACAUACCACCUUGUAUUGUUGUGUGUGGGUAUCAAUAUAAUUUAUGAACUAUCUUCCUUUACCAUAGACAUAUCUAUGUUUAUUUGCAAGCGUUAGCUAAAUUUUUCCUUGAUUGUGUAUUAACCCAUACUGAACAGAUCAACUUUCCACUGCAAGAAACUAUUUAAUCUGUGACGAAACAAAAUUGUCACGUAUCACUAAAAAAUCGUCAUAAAGCAAUGCCUGUGAUGAUUUCAGAUAACGUCAUGUAUUGAGCAUCACAGAUUAAAUCGAUGACAUGGAGAGGCUUCACCAUAGUAUUUUGUAUCGACGUUAGACCUAUCGUUUAUUUCCGCUGCUUUUGAACUCUGAACACUACUUUUAUGCAUGUGAACUAUCGGCUUGUAAUAACUUAAUGUGGGACCUGUAAUAAUUUAUCUGGAUUGUUGUAAUCUUUGGACUCGUCUUCGUGCGAGUAUACUUUGUUUCGAUCCGAAACACGUGGUUGCAUCGGGUGAAACCCGACAGACUACCAGUUUAAUUCGAUUAAAGUGUCUAUUCACAUUUAAGGCAAUGUUGAAUAUACUUUAGCCGGGUUAACUUGGAUGGUUCUACCACACUGGCGCAUCCCUGAGGAUUCCUAUCUGCUUGCUCGAUGUCAUCUGUAUCUGGCCCUGUGAUAAGGGUGAAGAGUUCAUUGUCUAGAGACAGGCUUCCAGAACUUUGGGUGAUGACUUAUGUAGAGUCAUGAAGCGUGAUUCGUUGUCCUGGGCGAGGGCAGGUAGCCUCAUGCCAGGCCAGUAGAUGAAUCUGCCUUGAGGGGUUGAGGUGAUCACCAGGCCCUGCUGCGAACCUGUUAGUGGAGUCUCCUCGUCGGAAUCCAAGUAGUGAUCGUAGUUGUGGUCCUUAAUCGGACAUGAGUUAGAUUGCAACCCGGAUAAGGCUGCUUGAUAGGUGGAAGCUGCGUUACGGAGUCCGAAUGGGAGUUUGCUCGGAAUUUGACUUGAUUCGGACGAUGCAGAACCCGAUGGGAUAACCUACUGGGGUAUUACGUCAAUAGAUCAACCAAAAGAAUGCGCAAUAAUAUCUACCACCAAAGGCAACCCAAAAGCAUUAUCUACCUUCAGUGCCAGAUCAGUCAUCAACAAAGAUCUAUGGAGACCUUGUUUUCUCUUGCUUUGGAUUUGGAGAUAGCAUAGAACAAAAGCCUUGAACCUAAAUAAACAAAGAAAAAAAGUACUGCAGUGCUAAAAAUAAGAAAUACCUCGUAGAAAAAUACCAGUAAUGGGUUUAUGGGUUCCCACUCAUCCUUGGGUAGCCACUUCUCUAGAGAGAUUCUUGUGUGUUCCGGUGUUGUAGUUUUCUGCGCAUGAUACAUAGCAACAUAAGGGCUAUUCCCCAACCUCAUAAUCGAUAGUAAUGUACAUCUUCUGGAAAGGACCUCUUUCUGUUGCAAGUGUGACUGCCACGCUCAUGCCAUUAAAGAAGUUAGCAGUUCGGUUAGGCAAUUAGUUGCCCACAGGAGGAAAGUAAAGCAACCGUGGAGAGUGAAGAGGCGUCUUUCUAGCUCCAGCACCAAGCACACCACACCAGUCAUCAGCUAAUCUGAUGACAUGGCAGGAAAUUUAAGAGGGGAGAGAAGGAAUUAGUUUCAUCUAGAUGAAAUUCUUCUCGCACAAAACCAACUCUGAAUGUGUCAUGAAAUUAAAUGUACCCCAUGCCGCUUUUUAUGCGCUCUUAUUAAUGUUGCUUUGUCUAAGUUCAAUACACUUAUCAAGACUAUCGCAUUUGGUGACUGGCAGUCCACCUAAGGGUACCAAGAUGGUUGAUUUGUAAACAGAGAGGAUCACAAGACCAUGAACUACUUGAUGGUAAUGCAAGGCACAAGACAUAGAGAUUUAUACAUGUUCGAGCCGUUAGUGUAGCGUAAUACCCUACGUCCUGUUUUGGGGGAUUGUAUUGCGCUCUGCACUUGGGUGUUGGUUGUUAAGUUGAGGGAUUGGCCGUCCUCCUAGGGGUACCCCUACGUACCCUUAUAUACUCCCCUAAUAACUCUUCUUAAUAGGAUAGAUUACCAAGUAGAAUUAAUUAUGCAUGCACGCUUGCAGUAAUUGUCGCACCUAUUAGCCUUCCUUAUUUAGCGAGACUUCCUCGGGCAUCGAUGGUGUGCCGUUUCUAUAGUGAACGGUAAUGAAUGUGGACACUUUUAUGAGUGCUGACAUGAAAGGUUCAAUUUGUAUGAAUGAUCUUCUAUAGGUACACUAACCGCGCUUAGGUUACGUUAACAAAAGGUUAGAGAAUUGACUAGUUAUUAUAGGAAGAGCCGUAAACUGUUGCCUCGCCACCAGCACUAACCCCGUAAGUCCAAGUAAUUGGCAGUUUUUUCAUUUGUGAGGACGCAUAGGUCAUGCAUGCAUCAUGUUAAAAACUUGCAAAUUGGAAAUUGGAACAACUUUCCUAUAGAUGAUUGGGAGGACUAAUGUCACUCUCAAAAAAAAUUUUGCCAAAUCACCUAAGGAUUUUCUAGUUGUCUCGAACUGCAGCUAACUACUGUCAGAAUUUUUUUUCUCCGAGCUCUUAAAUGGUCUUGGUUCCAGAAUUUAGUAAAUGAUAUGCUGUAAAAAUUUCAUAAAUUUUGGUCAAGUGAAACUCGAGUUAUGCUUCAAUAAAUUCCCGGGUUGACUCGUACCCAAAGGAGGAAGUUGCAGAGGUUAAGGCUGCAGGAGAAGAGGGAACAGAAGCUGGAGAAGCGAAGGAAUGAGGCAUUCAACACGAAUAGACCCAUAGUCCCUCAGAAGAAGGAGUGGAGAGUUAAGGCCGAUACUCCCAACUCCACCAGUCAGACCUGCAGAAGGACCGGUCGGACCUAGUGCGGUCGGCACGGUCAGGGCGGUCACUGGCGCAGUCGUCGUGGUUGAUGACUCGGUCGGCGCGGUCGUCGGCGCAGUCAGACCGGUCGAGGGGUCGGCGAGGAGCGGCAGCGGGGUGACAAAGUAACUGCGAGCGCGGCGGGGCGGAGCUUGAGCGGCGGAGGCGGAUGGGAGGGGUGGAGGUGGCGGUGGAUGUGGAGGGGAGGUAGCGGAGGGGGAGGAGGAGGAGGAGGCAGAGGAGGCCGGCGGUGGGCGGAGGAGGUGGAGGAGGGUGAGGAGGAGGAGGAGGCGGAGGGAGGUCAGGGCUGGCGGGGGAAUUUUCUUUUUUUAAGAACGUUUAGCCUUAUUAUCACCUAGCGGAGGCGGAUGGAGUUCCACAACAUGGUGUAUCGGACGGGCAUUUCAUUGAAGUCCCUAGGGGCGUCCAAUGGGUGGCUGUAGUGGGUGUACAUCACGACGAGCGUCUGUAGCCAUUGCGACAGCCUAGAGCACGACAACGAGGCGGAAGACCCCGUCACGGGUGCAGAUGGCCAGCGUUUUUUUAAAAAAAAACUUACAGGUGGCCAGUGUGGUGGGCGUGAUUGGGCUUAUCACCAGUGGCGGAGGAGGCGGACGCACGAAGCGACAGGAAUGGCGCCGAGUUUGGUCGAACCAUCUGGAAACUAGAGUUGUAACGCUUGCACUGGACGGCUGAGAUUUACGAUGCUCGAUAUCUGACAGGCGAAAAAGGGAGAGACUUGGCCCAAUCAUUGCAGAGAAACUUCACCGGAGUUAGGUCUUUAAAGAAGAUUGUAAGGCCUGAUUGGUUUGGGGAUCAAAAUGUAUCAAACCAAAAUCAGGGUAAGCCUAAUAAUUUUGGCAGCUGUGUAUAUUUAGAUGCAUAUAAACAUUUAUAAACCUAAAAAAUUAAAACGACCUGCAAUUAAAAAUGGAGGGGUAAAAAAGAAGGCCCCGACAAACGCGUCAGCACAUUCCUGCCUUUCUCCCCCGAAUGAGUAAACUCCAAUCCAAAAUUUGACUGUAUUUUGUUAACGGUUAUAUAUCAUAAGUUUCAUAACAAUAACCAGCUAGGGCUAAUGAUGAUAUGAAUUUGGCCACAAUUUUUGUUCUUGGGAGGUAUCUGUGAGGUGAGAAAAUGGGCAACAUGUGUGGAAAAUGCUAAUACGCCUACUGUGUGGCAUAUUUUGCGUUGUAUCAUAUACUUUCCGGAACAGUUGUAAUUACCACAUCUUUUUUCCCCAGCGGAGUCGCCAAAAUGUGUUGGCGCCUUUUCCGACCAACACAUGAGUGCGCUAGCUCGCGUGUAGAUUGGAAUUCUCCUCGUUGAAGCUCCUGCACCUGGCCGGUCAGAUCGGUCAGGGGGUCCGAUCGGGCCGGUCCUCGUAGGGGCACCAUGAAAACCUACGUCCACCACCUCGGGAGGGACCCUUUCGGAGAUGGCGAACCUAGGGUUGCUCUGAGAUCGGCAGGCCAAUUUAAACGUUCUCAAACGCCGCCGGGACAAAAGAUGAAAGCAAGUGGGUUGGAAAAGCUAAGGUUUUGAGAUAAAAGGGUAAAAAGAUAUGUUUGACGAUUAGGUGAUGCCCCUCAAUCCAACUUACCAAUAUUGAUACAAGAUAUGCUCAACUUGUGAACUUAACUGAGGUAUAUGCUUCCUAUGUUCGUCCGUUCCAGUAAUUGUCUAAGGCAACGCGAAAUCCAGUUACUGUGGGCUAAUAACAACCUAUCUGUUGGUGUUUCUUGGUGUCUAUGGGUGUGCUUCUGAUUUGCAUGCUUUUUUUGUUUGUUGUGUGAUGAAAUAAGGCACUAUGUACAUCUUUGCUUAUUAUUUCCCACUGAUAUAUGGGUACGGACGUGUAAUCAUUAAUUGUGCUAUUCAUUCAGCUGACGACAGUCAGUUGACAUCACUUGAAAGUAUGCUUGAAUUCGUAAGGUGUCCCGUGCAAGUAGCGUGGCUACAACCGCAGCAAUAUUUUUUUCUGAUCAAAAUCGAUCGUCCUUUUUUGUUGAAAACAUAAGUAUGAUAUACUUCACGUGAUGUUAGACUUGAAAAUUUUUGAGUGCAAUAUAUGAGUAAGUAUUCAAUACUAACAUUUUUUCUCUAAACAUUAACUACCAACAUAGCUUAUCAGAUAAUGCAGCAUUGUUUAUCCGACAUGCAUAACCUCCUAACACUCAGACACUGAGACACACCAUCCAUUACCGUCACUGAAUCUAUGUCAGCGUGCUGAGCCAGGGUUAGGAACCUCCACUAACUCGUUAGAGGCAAACCCAAGAUCUAGACUGCUUCUGCUUAAUUCCAUCACUAGCUUAAUCCACUAUGAAAUGUAAAUGCACAACACUCUUAGCAAUUCGCUCAUAAGAUUCUUGAAUUUGGCAAAUUUUUGGUGCAAUCUUCACUGCGAGAAAAACGACCUUUUGUCCAACAUAUUAGUACCGGCCACAUUUCAACCCGUACUAAUACCAACAUUAGUAUCGGAUCCAAUUUAGUAGCCACCGGAGACCUUUUAGUACCAGGUCAUAACACCACCCAAUACUAAAAUGUUGAAGAUAGGUUGCCAAUGGUGAGGUGGAGCGUGGGGUCGAUGACGGUAAUAGCGGCGGGGAACUUCAACCCCCAGCCGAAGGGGCCAUGGCAGGUGGCAGGGAGAGGUUGAGGCUGUAGAGGAGAGGGUGUUUGAGCUUUGGGGGUGGCGAUUUGGAUUUGUUGAAGGAUAGCGGUGGGAUUUGCUGCUCAUUGUGGUUCAGGUGGAGGAACAAAGUAGAAAGAAAGAGACGAAAAUGUGGCCAACACUUUCAAGGAAAAGCAUGAGGUGACAUGGAGGAAUGCAUGAGCGAGGGUGUGGAUAGGCAACCCUUGAAAUGGAUUUCCAAGGACGGAUCACGGGAUGAACCAUCCCUGGAAAUGGGGCUAUUUUUAGGAGCGGAGGGAAACAUGGCCUGCAUCUAUAAAUAAGUAUUUUUAGGGGUAGGUCUUGUUUCUGUUCGUUCUAGGAAAUGUACAUUUCUAGGGGUACCCCACCCCAUAAUUGUAACACCUGGUUUUAAAACAAAACCAAGUGUUACCUAUAUGUAUGCCAGGAUCUAGUUUCAUAUAUAUAGUGAUAUCAUCAGUGAAUAAUAGUAACAAUAUCACGUAAAAAAAUAUAAAUAAUGACUUACGAGUCUAUCAGAGAUAUACAACUUAAUCAUGGAAAUCAAGGCUCCAAACUUCACAAGCAAUCGACUGUGGGUUGCGUACAUCUAGAACUCAGCAUCAUCUUGAGAAAACAUCACACACCUUCUUCUGAGCAGCAGUAAGUAAGGGUGAGUACACUUAUGGUUGGUACUCAGCAAAACCAUAUUGUGCCAAUCAUGCACUCAUCACACUACCGAGGUGUGACUACAUAGGGACACUACAAGAUCUUUACAAAGAUUCCCUAAUAAGUGGUAACCCGCUAAGGUUUCAUGUCGAAGUAGAGCAUAAACCUCUCUCAAGAUUGCGAAGCUAACAUAGAGCAGAUCAGACUGAGGGUCGGGUUACACCUCAUCAACGCCUCCCCUCUUGUCCUUUCGGUAAGAUUACCUCAAGCUGGAGUCUCUAAUUAAUUAGCCAAGACCAGAGCCAUAUAGUCCUUGUAGUUGCACUAUUUUCCUGGGUGGUUCUUCAUGUUCCAAUUAAUGCAUGGUAUUCUUGUAAAAUAAGAAUAGAUAGAAGGAUGGUUAAGGACACCUACCUUUAUCCAACGAAAAGUUACUCUUACUGCUCUUUAGCUCUUGCUCUCUUGAAACUCUUAAUCUUCAAAUCUUUUGAACAACUAUCCUUCUAUUUGAAGAAAUCAUCGGCACAAACAUAUAAGCAAACAAAAAAAGUACAAUUAAGAACAAUACACCAAAACAAAAAAAAUCUUGAAAAGAGUAUAAAGGAUAUGGCUCAAUUCUAAGAUCGCGAGGAUGUAAGAAACGCUUAAAACCAAACUAAGGUUGAAAAGACAAAGCUAUUGAGAGAUUUGAAUUAUAAAAGAAAAAGAAAAGCCUACGUGCUUCAUAUAUUUUAAUAAAGAAAACAAUGUAAAGAUAUUUUAGAGAAAAAUCCUUAUCAAGUUAUAUUUAUAUAUGAAAAGAUCAAGGUAGAACUUCGUCAAAUUUUUAUUUAUAAACAUUAAAGUACAAUUUAGGCAAAUUAAACAUUUAAUUUGAAAAUAAAGUAAGAGCCGCAAGACUCAAGGAACAAGCUAAACCAUUCAGUGGAUCUUCGGGGGUCUAGAUGCAAAAAGCUCAGAACUUUCUUCCUCAUGGCCGACGGUAGCUUGUACAGCCAAAUCACUGGCGCUACGGCGGCUGGGGUCUCCGGCGGACGGCACAGGAGGUGGAGGAGGUCCAGGGGAUCUAGUGGAGGCUCUUACCGGUGGCGGAGGUGAAGGGGGGCGGCCGAAAUUCGGAGGCGAUAAUGACCGCAGCGGUGGCUCGAGCUCCGCGCGGUGGCAACGCUCCGGUGAUGGAGGGGCGUCGAGGGCUGGCGUCAGUUCUUCAUCUUGGUGCAGGGACACUCCAGGUGGCAUCAGCAUGCUCCAGUUCGAACGUCAACCGCGACGAAACGGGCGGCCAACUCCUACGGCACUUCGGCUCUAGCGAUCGAUGGCGCACGGCGCUGCGCGAGCAGGCGAGGUGAGGCGCGAGGGAGGAAGAAGGGAUGAUGCGGAGCCUCAAGCUUGCUAUUUAUAGGGGCGUGGGAGGUGUGCCUUGGAGUGGCACGCACGAUGAGGAAACGACGGCAGUGGCGCAGUCCGCUUGGUGGCCGGGCUUAGAAGGGCCAAGCUGGGCCAACUAGUGGCGGACGGGUCAGAGCGGGCUGAUGCGAGUCAAGCCCAUAGCCUCGGCCCAAACUGAUAGGAUAGGUUUUUUUAUUAUUUUUAGAAAAUAAUUUCCCGUGGAAGGAAAAUCCAGAUAAAUCAAGAUAAUUCAAUAAAAGCUACAAAAAAUACUCUAAAAAUUCCCAAAAAUUUUAGGAAAAAUCCUAGUCGUAGAUUGGGACAUGAGGAAUCCAAAUAAAAUACUUGGAGCCCAUGAAAAAGGAAUUAGAGCCUUCUACUAAAUAGAUUUAUUUCUAGGAAAAUGAGAAUAAAUACCAGAAAGAUCUGGAAAAUUCUCAGGAGAAUUUGGUCGUCGUCUAAAUGCAUUUUUGAAACUUUUUCACUCAUGAAAUACUAUAAUGCAUCGGCAGGAAUGCAAAACACGUAGAAACAUUUUAUUUCUUUCAAAAUCAAUGAAUUGUUUUUCCUAUACUACAUUUCCUGUCAAAAAAAUAAAUGUUGAAAUUUUUUUAAAAUUAUGAGAAAAUCAUUGUUUAAUUAUUAUUUUUAUUUAAUCACAUCCUAAAAUCUAAAAAUUUCAGGGUGUGAAUAAUCCACCCCUAUAAAUCCAUUUUUAGAGGUGGAUGAAUUGCUACAGUAACACCUAUUUUUUGGUUGGGGGGCUUCUCAUCCAGCCAAAAAAAUCAAGUGGCACCUAAAAAUCAUUUUUUAGUAGUGAUCGUACACGCGCUUCACUGCCAUGAACGCCGCCAUGCAUACCGCUCAACCAGCCGCCGGCGCCAUAGAUGGUGGCAUUCCGGUUCUUUCCCCAGUGUGGCAGGCCGCCGUACUUGCCCAUUGCCAUCUGCAUCUUGAUCUCGUCCACGACCUCCAAGUUUUGCACUGCACUAUGGACAAAAUAGUGCCCAUUAUCGUGCAGGGUUUUCCAUGUGAAUUGGCCCAAGGUACAUUCAACUUAUUUUGGCUGGCUUGGUCCCACAGUUUGAACCCAGAUUUUGGAUCUUUCCGCAUUUAAAUUGGUGCUGCUGCUGCAUUUAUUUGAUAAUGGUGCAAGAUAUGGAACCAUACAACAAAGGUAACUCAUCAUUAAUUUAGAAGGGUGCACAGAUUCAUGUAAUAAAUAAUCUACACCACCUAAGAUGUGUCUCUACCUCUAUAUAAACAAGAGCAAUCAAAGCAAUAUGUGCAUACUGGAACAAAAUAUCUACAGGCAUACCAAUAGUGUUCCUUUUCAUAUGGCAGUGAUCAAGAGCAGCGCAGUGAGGUCCAUGUGUGCUGCACUUUGCAUUCUUUUGAUAAUGUCUUCAGCACUCUCAGAGCUGGUGGAAGUUGUGUAUCUAACUGCUUUUCUACUUCCCAUGGUUUCAUUAUAUUCGUGGGGUUUACUAGGUGCGAUGUGGAUUUCAUGCACAUGAUCACGCUGAGUGUGACCCUAUGGACUGAUGCACUGAUCCGAAAUGCGAGGAUGAAUGUCAGAACAAAAAUACUGACCUACCUAUUGAACCUGAGUGCACCACACCUAAGGAGUGUUGCUGCACAUUUUAUCGGGAGGAAGAUAAUUCACUUCUUUGAAUAGAUUAAAAUGGUUGCCGAUGGCUAGAUUCAUUUCAUGGAUGCAGCCGAUACCAGAAUAGUACGCUUGCAUGUAAUGCAUCCAUAAUAUGUUUCUACCCAAAUCUAAUAAAAUAAAUGUGUCCCAUUUGUCCUCUUUUCCUCUAGUGUUUUUUUUACUCCCAAAUUCCAUGCUAAUAAAUGCUGCAUACAUGAUUUUAUUUUAAAAACAUUUCUGAAUACAUUUAAUUUGAUAAGUUCAAACACCGAGUGAGUCUUCUAUCUAUUGUAGGCUUAUGUUUAGUGAAGUGUGCCGGGCCUACUACUUCGGUGUUGGGCUGAGCCCACAUGAGAGCAGCUCCAGCGUUGCUCUUUUGAGGGUGCUCCAAGGAGAGAGAAAAAUAUUCUCCGGCAGCUUCACGCUGGAUCAGAGGGUGCUAGGGAGGUGCUAGGGAGCAGCUGAUGAUGAGUUUUGCACCAGGCGCUACGCAUUCAAUAUAUUUUCUGAAGUAACGUGGUUGGAUGGAUAGGUGAGAUAGUGGGAAGAAAAGCUAGAUCAAUGAUUCUUUAUUCAGCUGGAUCAAUGAUUUCUGAGAUGAGGUACUCAGCAGAUUGAACCGCCACAAGUGCCCUUCUCUUCUUAUCAGCCCGGUGUGCCUUGGUAUUGUCUUCCUGAAUAAUGGCCUUAUUAACCAGAUUACUAGAGCUGUCGUAGUAACAACCAAACGAACUGCAGCUUAGUACCGAGGCCCCUUCUCAAGCAAGCCUACUUUUUAGCAUGACAACUGGCGUACCGAGCAAGUUGAUUAACACUAUUAGCAUAUUGGAACACAGUUUGAUUUCUUUGUUUAAGUGACAUGACCUCUGACGGUUUUCUUUAGGCUGUGGAAAACGGCUCGUACCAACUCUGCCCGUUGAGAUGACCACACCCUGUUUCCAUUACCCCGUUAGGAAUGGAAACACAAACCAUUAUCUUGUACCCUAUCUUAACUCUGAAGUCUUCUUGGAAUAAUUUUCCGAUAACGGAAGUUUUAUUGAUUUAAUAAAUGUUACAUCACGGUGAUAUAAUUAACUUGAAAUCCUCCCAGCAUGUGCAAGCACAGAGCCUUACAGGCAGAAACAAAUGCAGAUGCGCUAAUGACCAUCAAUCCGAGGACUCCGCCACCCAUGCACUUAGGUAAAAAAAUUCCUCGACCACUUUCACCAAGCACUGAGAUGAGAUGCCGCUGCAACGGAAACAUAUGCCGUAGACUUUUGGAGCAUAGCCCAUGUACGAAGCUAGUGGAUAACUCUAAAGAUAACCUGCAUUGGAUGAGAUAAGGGUUUGUUUUCAAAUACCAUAGCAUUCUUGCAGAGCAACAAUAACAACAUAGUAGCAAUCACCCCAAGUAAAUAAUGCCCGUCAACCAAGUGCCGAAAAUAUUUUCUAGGCUAAGGGGCUUGAGAAAGACUUCAGUUGCAAACAUAUCCGUAUUAUCCUCACUGAAUGGUCAUAAGUGUUUCCCUUCCGUUGCCGACACAAGACCAUCCGACGGCGAAGGGUGACUAACGCCACUAGCUGGUAAACUAAGUAUGCUGGAACUUGUCCACUAAGGUUAGAGUCUAGCUAACUCAGCAUGGGUGCCCAUAUUUCUUAAUUAUGUUUCCGUUGGUUGAUAACAUACCCAUCGGCAUCCUAUCGUCAUGACUUAAUGAAUCCCAAUAUCUUCUAGACUAACGUUUACUUACAUGAGUAGGGUGUGUAUGCAUGUGUGGUUAACAGGUAUUUACUUUAAGGUCGGCUGGGCCGGCUUUCUCGAUGUGUCUAAUUAUGCUUAAGAAAAAGAAUCACUAGUGGAAAACUGAGUUUUAGUCCCGGUUGCAGACACGCAUAGAUGUCAAAAAUCCAACCGGAACUAAUCAUUCGGACUGUAAUAAUAAAAUUUGUUUGAAAUUAAAUACAUUGCAUUUAAAUUUUCAUGGGCAUUUAAACCUUUUUCAAAAUAAAUUAAUGAAUCAUAGGAGUUCGUUGUUGCAUUCACGAUGGUGCAUUAUUUUUGGUUGCUUGAAUUCAAAUUUGUGUUUGAAUUCAUCUGUUUGACUCUUUUAAACAAAUAGGAAACCCCUUUUCUUUUCCCUCCCUUUUCUUUUCUUCCUUUCAGCCUGUUUCUUUCUUUGGGCCCACUUCCUUCUCUUUCGCCCAGCAGCAAAACUGAAUAUGCACUUUGAAGAUAAACAUGCGAACCAUCAAAGGGCAGCAGACAACUUACAUACGCGACGGAGCGUUCUAAAUGGCAGAGUAGCCUUGCUGCCACGAUCCACUAAGAUCCAGCCCCACGUCGCAUGAAUUCCUCCCUCCCCCCUCCACCCCCGACAACGGCUUCAGGCUUGGACCCGCUACGACGACCAAGGACAAAUGCGCUCAAGGCUUGGGAAGAAAUUAACUUCCAUUGUCGGAACACUUGUUAAGGAUUACAAGAGACCAUAUCGCAAGUUUAUCUUCUUAGGUAUGGUCCACAAUGGAAGAGAGAUCUCCUAACUUGACCAAGCGGAUGUACACACUAUCAUUUGGCACGAAUCAGGCCAAGUCAGAUAGGUGCUAGUGGAGUUCCAUAUUCCACUACGUCCGGUAUGUAACUCAUAAUCGACCACCGGGGAGGGACAUGUGUGGGAUGGAUCGAAGACAAGACAAUGGCCAACACACGCAUGGACAUACCGGCCACAGGGUACCAUUACGUGUUUGUUGGACCCAACACAUGAAAAUAGCUGCGUUGGCCAUGAAAAUGUUUCCUAUAGGUCACACCUAGUGGCAUCAAAACCAUUUAGUGCCACUAACUGGUUGUGAUGAUUGAUGUCACAAACGGUUCUUUGUGCGUAGCGAGUUUAUAGCUGUAAUUCAAUUGAACCUGUUCUAGUACCUUGAACAACUAGUUCUUGAUGAGUAGCCAGGAGUGACGUUCCAUUUGUAACUAUUUAUUCUCUAUUAGUCUAAUGUUGUGAUAAAUGAUUUGCGUUGUCAGUUUAUGCACUUUGGCAGCCUGGAUGUAUGUCUUUUGAAGUAUGUGUAACUUUCUCUAGAAUUGAGGAACUUUAAUUGACUAAGUGGUCUUGGAUUUACAGCAUCAACCACUAUAAUUAGCCAUUGCUCCAAUGGCCCAUUUUUUCCGUUAAUGCUAUAUGAUCCGACACCAAUAUGUGUACAAACAUAAGAGCAUCUGACGAGUAUCAUUUUACGGUGAAGACAUUGGAUCCCCACUCGCACUAACACAUUGCAAAUGCGAAAAGCAGGACCGGGUCUCCCCCCUGCAAUAAAUGCCAUUUUAACUGGUCCUAUAAACUGUUUUCUAGUGGUGUGAUGUAGUCUGUUGGAAUCAGCACCGUGGAACCAUCUGACAUUCAUACAUUAGCUUCACCAAACAAAUAUUCUUCUGUGCAUUAAAGCUUCAUACUUCAACAUGUACAAGUUCUCUAUGUAGGAUAUUUCAGCUAGAAGAUCUUCCCUUUCUUGAACUAGCCAUUUGAGCAUUAUUCAUUCUCAGGCCCAUUGUUCCAACGGCUUGCACGUUCUUGGAAUGUGUUAUCAUGGAAUGCUAGGGGUAUCGAUUCGUAGACAAGAUGGAAUGUCGUCAAGAGCAAAAUAUCUGAAUCCAACUGUGAUAUUGCCUGUUUACAAGACACCAAAAGGGAGUUUUUUUAUGCUAGAUAUAUUAGGAACUUCUAUCUCCCACAGUUAGAUUCUUUCGAUUUCCUCCCAUCUAUUGGCAACUCAGGGGGAACUAUUAUAGUGUGGAAUGGUUCCAAAUUCAAGGGGGAACCUAUCUUUCAAAAUCUUUAUGCCCACUUUGUAGAUUUUCAGUGCAAGCUAUCAGGGGAACGUUGGAUCCUCACGAAUAUCUACGCCCCAUGUACUCCGGAGGGGAAGCUAUCCUUUAUUGACUGGUUCAAAAGGGUUGAAAUACCAGAGGAAAAAAAUUGGCUAAUAGUUGGGGACUUCAACCUUCUUAGGAAGCCGGAUGACAGAAACAAUCCGGGGGAAACAAUCCGGGAGGAAAUGUUCAGGAAAUGCUUCUCUUCAAUGAAGCUAUUAGCAGGCUUAGGCUCACAAAAAUUCAGCUCAAAGGAUGCAAGUACACUUGGUCCAACAAACAGCAGAAUCCUCUUCUGGAGAGGCACGAUUGGUUCUUCAUAUCUAACCCUUGGACCAUCUCCUAUCCCAAUACUUAUGCCUCAUCGCUGUCCAGUGACUCCUCAUAUCAUGUUCCUUGUGUAGGCUCGAUCUCUAAUAGCAUUCCACAGCCACAAGUUUUUAGAUUUGAGAAUUAUUGGCUAGAACAUGAUCGGUUCCCAACCAUUCUCCAACAAGGUCGGGCAACUCCACUUCUAGGCACAGAUAGGGCAAAGAACAUCGGGGCCAAGUUCAAAAACCUGAGGAAGGUUUUCAGGAUCUAGAAAGCAUAGCUCCCCAGUUUGGCGAAAGCAAUCCAGAGCACCAAAGACACCAUUCAACUCCUUGACAUCAUCGAAGAACUUAGAGAUCUUACCCUGCAAGAAUGGAACUUUAGAGAAGUCAUCACAUCACAUCUGAAUAGCUUGCUCCACCAACAAAAAGUCUAUUGGCAGCAAAGAAGCUCCAUCAAUUGGGCCAAAAUGGGGGAUGAAUGUACAAAAUUCUGCCAUGCAAGGGCCUCAGUCAGAAAUAGAAUCAAUUAUAUCACUUCUUUAGUUGAUGCCAAUGGACAAAUUGUCUCUAAACAUGAAGCUAAAGCCAGGAUUCUUUGGGAAGCUUAUAAGGAAAGGAUGGGGAGAUUUGAAUUUACUCACAUGUACUUUGAUCUUUCUACUAUCUUGACAUCAGAUCCAAAUUUGGAAUGGCUAGAAUCUCCCUUUAUGAAAGCAGAGAUCGACACAAUUACAGGGGAACUUCCAAGUAACAAGUCCCAAGGCCUAGAUGGCUUGAAUGGAGAGUUUCUCAAGAGAUGUUGGGACUUGAUAGCUGAAGAUUUUUAUAGACUGUCUGAAGGUUUUCUUGACAUAAGUGUGUGUGUUCAGAGCAUUAAUGCUUCAUACAUCACACUAAUCCCCAUGAAAGACUGUCCCUCUCAAGUGGGAGACUUCACGCCAAUCUCCCUCCUAAACUCAACGAGCUAAUAACUAAAAUUCUAGCAGAAAGGCUACAACAGGUUAUCUUAAGACUAGUGUAUAAAAAUCAGUAUGGUUUCAUAAAGUCUAGAUCCAUACAAGACUGUUUAGCAUGGGCUUUUGAAUAUCUUCACAUCUGUAAAGCCUCAAAGAGAGAAUUAAUCAUCAGCAAGCUGGACUUUGAAAAAGCCUUUGAUAGGAUUGAGCACCAAGCCAUUUUGGAUAUCUUAAAACAUAAGGGCUUUGGGGACAGAUGGAUUGGGUGGAUAAAGGACAUUCUCAACACUAGAACAUCUUCAGUACUCCUCAAUGGUGUGCCAGGGAAAGUCUUUCAUUGCAGAAGAGGUGUCAGACAGGGGGAUCCUCUAUCCCCACUUCUAUUUGUGCUAGCACCGGACCUUUUUCAGUCAAUCCUAAAUAAAGCCAAAGAGGAAGGAAGCUUACACCUACCGAUCCCUGAAAGAGCUGGACCUGACUUCCCAGUUAUACAAUAUGCAGAUGACACCCUUCUGGUCAUGGAAGCAGAUCCUUCCCUGUUGUUGCAUCUCAAGCAUCUGCUUAAUCAGUUUGCGGAGUCAACUGGUCUUAAAGUAAACUACAACAAGACUGUUAUGGUACCUCUGAACACUUCUGAGGAUAAACUCCGACAACUUUCGUCAAUGUUCGAUUGCCAUGUCGGAAGCUUGCCACUCACCUACUUGGUGCUACCACUUGGUGCAACAAAGCCUAACAUUGAGGAAUUCCUUCCAUUAAUACAGAAGGUGGAGCGAAGAUUGGGAGGCAUCUCUAACAUGUUAUCUCAAGGGGGCAAACUCGAACAGGUAAAUUCAGUCUUUUCUUCCUCACCAAUGUUUCAUAUGGCAACCUUAAAGCUUCACAAGGGGGUUAUCACACAAUUAGAUAAAUAUAGGAAACACUAUCUCUGCAGAGGAUCUAAUUUGAAUUCUAGGAAACCCUCCAAGGCAGCUUGGCCUAUGGUGUGCCUACCAAAACAGCAAGGAGGACUUGGGGUUAUUAACCUGAACAGUCAAAAUGAUGCCCUUCUUCUCAAGUUCCUACACAAGUUCUUCACCAGAGCUGAUACUCCCUGGGUUCAUUUAUUCUAGGAUAAUUAUUAUUCUAAUGGGAAACUGCCUGGACAGCACAAAAAGGGCUCAUUCUGGUGGAGAGAUUUAGUCAAGCUACUGGACAAAUACGAAGGAAUAGUGUCGGCAUGGGUAUCGGAUGGCUCUACUGUAUUGUUCUGCAUGGACACAUGGAUUGAGCAGGUCCUCUACCUGGAAUUCCCCCAGUUAUUCUCUUAUGCCAAAAACAAACUGGUAUCAUAUAAGGAGGCUACAAGCAGAAUAUCACUGUCUCAAAAUUUUCACCUGCCACUCUCAGAAGAAGCUCAUCAGCAGUUGCUGAUUCUGCAGAAUAGAUUGAGGAAUACUGUGAGAGCUCAAGGCAGAGAUCAGUGGACUUACAUUUGGGGAAGCCCCCGCUUUUCGGUAGCAAAAACUUAUAAAGUCAUAACAGGCACAAGAACCAUACAUCCAAUUCAUAGAUGGAUAUGGAAAUCUAAAUGCCAAAAGAAGCACAAGAUAUUUUUCUAGCUAUUAAUUAAAUUCAGACUGAGCACCAAAGACAUUCUAAGCAGAAAAACAAUGUAUUUGGAUACUUAUGCUUAUGUGCUUUGCAUCCUCCAGAAAAAGGAGACAAUGCCGCACUUAUUCUUGAGAUGCAACUUCUCGAAAGCUUGUUGGAGCACUUCCUCCAGGCCACCCUUUCGGAUUUUUAACUCAAUCAAGGAUAAACUGAACGUUCCCUUCUACAUGGAGAUCAUUAUUUUAAUGGCCCGGAGCAUUUGGUCCGUGAGGAAUGACUGGACCUUCAACAAUGUCCCCCCUCGGUACAGAGCUGCAAAAGGAAAUUCAUGGAAAAAAUGAAUACCGUCUGUCUACAUAGAGCGAAAUCUUCCCUAGCUCUUGCCAUGAUGGAAUGGUUGUAAUCUUUUCUUUCUUUUUUCUUCCUUUGUUGUUGCCUUUUCUACCUUCUACUUCUGUUGUUUCUUGGACUCGCCUUUCAUUUAAUAUAUUUCAGUAGGAGCUUGCCCCUCCCGUUCCUUCAAAAAAAAAACUUCGAGCACUUCUCCAUGGGCUUCAUCACCAUAGUUUCGAUUUGGGCAAUUUCAUUGCACCGAACCUUCCAGCUUGCAUUUUCUUAACUGAAUCUCGAGCAUGGGGCAAUAUUCUGGCAUCUACAACGGACCUGCCAUCAAGCAUUCCAAUGUAUAGAUCUAUCCUGUUUGUUUGCCUAAUAUUCGGAUGCAAUACUCCGCCGUGUGUAAAAAAAUCCAAGGCCAACGGACCAUACCGUGUUAACAAUUUUAGUGCCUAAUCCAAUACAAAAUUAGUUCCAGUUUGUACGGCUACUCAUUCAUUGCAGUCUUCAGACCAAAUCUACGGUGACAUAUUUUUGGAAAUAAGCUUGUCGAAAUCACUAUAUUGUAAUUCAAUCACCAAAAUCUGAACUAUGGUCUGAUGGAGCCAAUUCUCCGUGGGCUUUAUUACCAAAGUUUCACCUUAGGCAAUUUCAUUUCACCUAACCUUCCAGCUUGCAUUUUCUUAACUGAAUGUUAAGCACGGUGCAAUACUCUGGCAUGUGCAACUGACCUGCCACCAAGCACUGCGAUGCAUGGUUCUAUCCUCUUUGGUUGCCUAAUAUUCUGUAAAAAAAAUAUUCAAGGCCAACAGACCAUACCGUGUUAAAAAUUUUAGUGCCCAAUCCGAUACAAAAUCAGUUCCAGCAAUGACGGCUAUUCAUCCAUUGCAGUGUUUGGAACACCUCCACAGUGACUAUAUUGUAAUUCAAUCACCAAAAUCCGAAACUAUGGUCUAGUGAAGCUAUAUUGUGUACGAAAUAUUAAUUCAUGGGAUUUGUCAACGAUUUUAUGAAGCUGUAUAUAUGAUACCUUCCACUACGGGAUUUGUGUACAAAAUAUUAAUUCAUGAGAUUUGUCCAUGAUUUUAGGAAGCUAUGAUAUCUUCAACUACCGGAUUGCGUAUAUAAGAUAAUCUUCACCAGUUAUCACAGGAGGAAGCACGCAUUAAAUAAUAAAUAACUAAUGCUGAUUCAACUCUGAGAUGAAAAGGAUUCCGUUCUCAAAAAUCGAAAAAAAGGUAACGUGCUCAUAACAAUGUCGACUCUUCACAUCUGAGAAGCUUAUAAGUGAACUACCUACCGUAUGUUAUUAAAACAUUUUUGCUGCCUAUAAAUUGGGCAUCAUUUCAGCAGACCACCACGGCACCUGAGCUUGCCAUCUUUUCCUGCUCAUCAUAUGUCCCGUAGCUACUAGCUACUAGCUAAGCCAUCUUUUCCUGCUCAUCAUAUGUCCCGUAGCUACUAGCUACUAGCUAAGCCAUCUUUUCCUGCUCACUCAUUUGUCCCGUAGCUACUAGCUAAGCCACCAUAUCAUCCAUGGCUUCUGGUGCCUCCACCACGCUGAAGAUGGCCUCUAUCGCCGCUUGCAUCCUGCUGGUCCUGCUGUCCAAUGGCCACCCUACCGCGGCAGCCGUUGAUUGUAUUGCGGCUUGCAAAGAACCGUGCCAGGGUUUUUCUAACGGGCUCUGCGCGGGUGGAGCCACCAGCGGUUGUACGACUACGGCAGCAGCUACAGCAUGCCGCAAUUUGGCGUUCUCGCAGUGUGCGAACACCUGCUUCACAGUUUGCACUGCUGUGAGCAUCGCGCCUUGCACUUGAAGAUGCAUUCGUGUUCCUACUUCCACAUUAUUGUUACUGCAGAAUAAUAUGGGUCAGUGCACACAAGCAUACAUGAUGAGCCACUGUCGUUUUUCCAUUUUGUCAUUUAUUUAUUGAAGGCAAUGUACGUUUUUCCAUUUGAUCAUUUACUUAUUGAAGGCAAUGUACGUGUCUAUCUCCUGUGUGGUUGAGCAUGUCAUCUUGGAAUUCUGUCCAAAGUUUUACAUACCACCUUGUAUUGUUGUGUGUGGGUAUCAAUAUAAUUUAUGAACUAUCUUCCUUUAUCAUAGACAUAUCAACUUUCCACUGCAAGAAACUAUUUAAUCUGUGACGAAACAAAAUUGUCACAUAUCACUAAAAAAUCGUCAUAAAGCAAUGCCCGUGAUGAUUUCAGAUAACGUCAUGUAUUGAGCGUCACAGAUUAAAUCGAUCGACGUUUUCUUCGAAAUCGUCACAGAUCAACACAAUCUAUGAUGUUUUUUACCUGUCACAAAACACCCUUAGGCCCGUGCAGCAGCCCAGGCCUAGUGUUUGUGACGAAAAUAAACAUCACAGAUGGUUGCCACGUGGCUGGUGAUGUGGUUGAUGACGUGGACGAGGACAUGGCUAGUGACGUCAUUGAUGAUGUGGCCAGUGACGUCGAUGACAUGGAGAGGCUUCACCAUAGUAUUUUGUAUCGCCGUUAGACCUAUCGUUUAUUUCCGCUGCUUUUGAACUCUGAACGCUACUUUUAUGCAUGUGAACUAUAGGCUUGUAAUAACUUAAUGUGGGACCUGUAAUAAUUUAUCUGGAUUGUUGUAAUCUUUGGACUCGUCUUCGUGCGAGUAUACUUUGUUUCGAUCCGAAACACAUGGUUGCAUCGGGUGAAACCCGACAGACUACCAAUUUAAUUCGAUUAAAGUGUCUAUUCACAUUUAAGGCUAUGUUGAAUAUACUUUAGCCGGGUUAACUUGGAUGGUUCUACCACACUGGCGCAUCCCUGAGGAUUCCUAUCUGCUUGCUCGAUGUCAUCUGUAUCUGGCCCUGUGAUAAGGGCGAAGAGUUCAUUGUCUAGAGAGAGGCUUCCAGAACUUUGGGUGAUGACUUAUUUAGAGUCAUUGUCUUCAUGGAUAGAAGACAAAGGUGAUCCCUCCUAGUACGGAAGAACGUUGAGAUGGGCCAUGAAGUGUGAUUCGUUGUCCUGGGCGAGGGUAGGUAGCCUCAUGCCAGGCUAGUAGAUGAAUCUGCCUUGAGGGGUUGAGGUGAUCACCAGGCCCUGCUGCGAACCUGUUAGUGGAGUCUCCUCGUCGGAAUCCAAGUAGUGAUCGUAGUUGUGGUCCUUAAUCGGACAUGAGUUAGAUUGCAACCCGGAUAAGGCUGCUUGAUAGGUGGAAGCUGCGUUACAGAGUCCGAAUGGGAGUUGGCUCGGAAUUUGACUUGAUUCGCACGAUGCAGAACCUGACAAGAUAACCUGCUGGGGUAUUACGUCAAUAGAUCAACCAAAAGAAUGCGCAAUAAUAUCUACCACCAAAGGCAACCCAAAAGCAUUAUCUACCUAUAGUGCCAGAUCAGUCAUCAACAAAGAUCUAUGGAGACCUUGUUUUCUCUUGCUUUGGAUUUGGAGAUAGCAUAGAACAAAAGCCUUGAACCUACAUAAACAAAGAAAAAAAGUACUGCAGUGCUAAAAAUAAGAAAUACCUCGUAGAAAAAUACCAGUAAUGGGUUUAUGGGUUCCCACUCAUCCUUGGGUAGCCACUUCUCUAGAGAGAUUCUUGUGUGUUCCGGUGUUGUAGUUUUCUGCGCAUGAUACAUAGCAACAUAAGGGCUAUUCCCCAACCUCAUAAUUGAUAGUAAUGUACAUCUUCUGGAAAGGACCUCUUUCUGUUGCAAGUGUGACUGCCACGCUCAUGCCAUUAAAGAAGUUAGCAGUUCGGUUAGGCAAUUAGUUGCCCACAGGAGGAAAGUAAAGCAACCGUGGAGAGUGCAGAGGCGUCUUUCUAGCUCCAGCAUCACCAAGCACACCACACCAGUCAUCAGCUAAUCUGAUGACAUGGCAGGAAAUUUAAGAGGGGAGAGAAGGAAUUAGUUUCAUCUAGAUGAAAUUCUUCUCGCAAUAAACCAACUCUGAAUGUGUCAUGAAAUUAAAUGUACCCCAUGCCGCUUUUUGUGCGCUCUUAUUAAUGUCGCUUUGUCUAAGUUCAAUACACUUACCAAGACUAUCGCAUUUGGUGACUGGCACUCCACCUAAGGGUACCCAGAUGGUUGAUUUGUAAACACAGAGGAUCGCAAGACCAUGAACUACUUGAUGGUAAUGCAAGGCACAAGACAUAGAGAUUUAUACAUGUUCGAGCCGUUAGUGUAGCGUAAUACCCUACGUCCUGUUUUGGGGGAUUGUAUUGCGCCCUGCGCUCGGGUGUUGGUUGUUGUGUUGAGGGAUUGGCCGUCCUCCUAGGGGUACCCCUACGUACCCUUAUAUACUCCCCUAAUAACUCUUCUUAAUAGGAUAGAUUACCAAGUAGAAUUAAUUAUGCAUGCACGCUUUCAGUAAUUGUCGCACCUAUUAGCCUUCCUUAUUUAGCGAGACUUCCUCGGGCAUCGAUGGUGUGCCGUUUCUAUAGUGAACGGUAAUGAAUGUGGACACUUUUAUGAGUGCUGACACGAAAGGUUCAAUUUGUAUGAAUGAUCUUCUGUAGGUACACUAACCGCGCUUACGUUACGUUAACAAAAGGUUAGAGAAUUGACUAGUUAUUAUAGGAAGAGCCGAAAACUGUUGCCUCGCCACCAGCACUAACCCCGUAAGUCCAAGUAAUUGGCAGUUCUUUCAUUUGUGAGGACGCAUAGGUCAUGCAUGCAUCAUGUUAAAAACUUGCAAAUUGGAAAUUGGAACAACUUUCCUAUAGAUGAUUGGGAGGACUAAUGUCACUCUCACAAAAAAUUUUGCCAAAUCACCUAAGGAUUUUCUAGUUGUCUCGAACUGCAGCUAACUACUGUCAGAAAUUUUUUUCUCCGAGCUCUUAAAUGGUCUUGGUUCCAGAAUUUAGUAAAUGAUAUGCUGUAAAAAUUUCAUAAAUUUUGGUCAAGUGAAACUCGAGUUAUGCUUGAAUAACUAACCCACUGUUUGCAAACUGCCACUAAGGUUCACAGGUAGCUCUGAAUGUUCGCUUCUCUGUUGAACAUUACUCUGAAACCUAGCAGAAAAGGGUCGAACAGGGACAGCCAGUGCAGCCAAGAAUCCAUGAACUAAGGUCAAUAUCAAGAAGUAUGUCUGAAGCUAGUAGCAGUGGUUCAGGCUCCAAGUACUUCUUGCCAAAAUUGUGUCCUCCCGGGUUGACUCGUACCCAAAGGAGGAAGUUGCAGAGGUUAAGGCUGCAGGAGAAGAGGGAACAGAAGCUGGAGAAGCGAAGGAAUGAGGCAUUCAACACGAAUAGACCCAUAGUCCCUCAGAAGAAGGAGUGGAGAGUUAAGGCCGAUACCCCCAACUCCACCAGUCAGACUUGCAGAAGGACCGGUCGGACCUAGUGCGGUCGGCAUGGUCGGGGCGGUCACUGGCGCAGUCGGCGUGGUUGAUGACUCGGUCGGCGCGGUCGUCGGCGCAGUCAGACCGGUCGAGGGGUCGGCGAGGAGCGACGGCGGGGCAACAAAGUAACCGUGAGCGUGGCGGGGCGGAGCUUGAGCGGCGGAGGCGGAUGGGAGGGGUGGAGGCGGCGGUGGAUGUGGAGGGGAGGUAGCGGAGGGGGAGGAGGAGGAGGAGGCAGAGGAGGCCGGCGGUGGGCGGAGGAGGUGGAGGAGGGUGAGGAGGAGGAGGAGGCAGAGGGAGGUCAGGGCUGGCGGGGGGAUUUUCUUUUUUUAAGAACAUUCAGCCUUAUUAUCACCUAGCGGAGGCGGAUGGAGUUCCACAACAUGGUGUAUCGGACGGGCAUUUCAUUGAAGUCCCUAGGGGCGUCUAAUGGGUGGCUGUAGUGGGUGUACAUCACGACGAGCGUCUGUAGCCAUUGCGACAGCCUAGAGCACGACAACGAGGCGGAAGACCCCGUCAUGGGUGAAGAUGGCCAGCGUUUUUUUAAAAAAACUUACAGGUGGCCAGUGUGGUGGGCAUGAUUGGGCUUAUCACCAGUGGCGGAGGAGGCGGACGCACGAAGCGAUGGGAAUGGCGCCGAGUUUGGUCGAACCAUCUGGAAACCAGAGUUGCAACGCUUGCACUGGACGGCUGAGAUUUACGAUGCUCGAUAUCUGACGGGCGAAAAAGGGAGAGACUUGGCCCAAUCACUGCAGAGAAACUUCACCGGAAAUCAGGGUAAGCCUAAUAAUUUUGGCAGCUGUGUAUAUUUAGAUGCAUAUAAACAUUUAUAAACCUAAAACAUUAAAAUGACCUGCAAUUAAAAAUGGAGGGGUAAAAAAGAAGGCCCCGACAAACGUGUCAGCACAUUCCUGCCUUUCUCCCCCCAAUGAGUAAACUCCAAUCCAAAAUUUGACUGUAUUUUGUUAACGGUUAUAUUUCAUAAGUUUGAUAACAAUACCCAGCUAGGGCUAAUGAUGAUAUGAAAUUGGCCACAAUUUUUGUUCUUGGGAGGUAUCUGUGAGGUGAGAAAAUGGGCAACAUGUGUGGAAAAUGCUAAUACGCCUACCGUGUGGCAUAUUUUGCGUUGUACCACAUACUUACCAAUACUGAUACAAGAUAUGCUCAAUACCCCUCAAUCCAACUUACCAAUACUGAUACAAGAUAUGCUCAACUUGUGAACUUAACUGAGGUAUAUGCUUUCUAUGUUCGUCCGUUCCAGCAAUUGUCUAAGGCAACGCGAAAUCCAGUUACUGUGGGCUAAUAACAACCUAUCUGUUGGUGUUUCUUGGUGUCUAUGGGUGUGCUUCUGAUUUGCAUGCUUUUUUUGUUUGUUGUGUGAUGAAAUAAGGCACUAUGUACAUCUUUGCUUAUUAUUUCCCACUGAUAUAUGGGUACGGACGUGUAAUCAUUAAUUGUGAUAUUCAUUCAGCUGACGACAGUCAGUUGACAUCACUUGAAAGUAUGCUUGAAUUCGUAAGGUGUCCCGUGCAAGUAGCGUGGCUACAACCGCGGCAAUAUUUUUUUCUGAUCAAAAUCGAUCGUCCUUUUUUGUUGAAAAGAUAAGUAUGAUAUACUUCACGUGGUGUUAGACUUGCAAAUUUUUGAGUGCAAUAUAUGAGUAAGUAUUCAAUACUAACAUUUUUUCUCUAAACAUUAACUACCAACAUAGCUUAUCAGAUAAUGCAGCAUUGUUUAUCCGACAUGCAUAACCACCUAACACUCAGACACUGAGACACACCAUCCAUUACCGUCACUGAAUCUAUGUCAGCGCGCUGAGCCAGGGUUAGGAACCUCCACUAACUCGUUAGAGGCAAACCCAAGAUCUAGACUGCUUCUGCUUAAUUCCCUCACUAGCUUAAUCCACUAUGAAAUGUAAAUGCACAACACUCUUAGCAAUUCGCUCAUAAGAUUCUUGAAUUUGGCAAAUUUUUGGUGCAAUCUUCACUGCGAGAAAAACGACCUUUUGUCCAACAUAUUAGUACCGGCCACAUUUCAACCCGGUACUAAUACCAACAUUAGUAUGGGAUCCAAUUUAGUAGCCACCGGAGACCUUUUAGUACCAGGUCAUAACACCACCCAAUACUAAAAUGUUGAAGAUAGGUUGCCAACGAAAAGUUACUCUUACUGCUCUUUAGCUCUUGCUCUCUUGAAACUAUUAAUCUUCUAAUCUUUUGAACAACUAUCCUUCUAUUUGAAGCAAUCAUCGGCACAAACAUAUAAGCAAACAAAAAAAGUACAAUUAAGAACAAUACACCAAAACAAAAAAAAGCUUUAAAAGAGUAUAAAGGAUAUGGCUCAAUUCUAAGAUCGCGAGGAUGUAAGAAACACUUAAAACCAAACUAAGGUUGAAAAGACAAAGCUAUUGAGAGAUUUGAAUUAUAAAAGAAAAAGAAAAGCCUACAUGCUUCAUAUAUUUUAAUAAAGAAAACAAUGUAAAGAUAUUUUAGACAAACAUCCUUAUCAAGUUAUAUUUAUAUAUGAAAAGAUCAAUGUAGAACUUCGUCAAAUUUUUAUUUAUAAACAUUAAAGUACAAUUUAGGAAAAUUAAACAUUUAAUUUGAAAAUAAAGUAUAGGUAAACAUCUAAGCGCAUAACUUUAUGAUUCAGGUUGAACUAACCAAAUAUAAUUAAAAAAACACAUUUCUAUUUAUAUUUGUCAAAAUAAAAUUUAAUAAAUAAAACUUGAGAUAUAACCUAUGUAGCUUUUAUUUAUAAAACAAAAUCAAGACACAUUAAUCAAGUUGAGUUUAAUUGAUGAAAAGCUGAGGUAUAUCUCUAAUUAGCUUUUAGUUGGAAGAGUUGCUUAAAUAAGCAUUAACCAAAUUUACAUUAGUUAUCAAAAUACGAGGUUGAACUUUAAUUAGAUUUUAAUUAGAAAAGCAAGUAUAUAAAUACUUAAUCAUAUUAAUAUUUUAAAUAAAUUAUAAAAUAGGGAACAUGAUUAACAUUGCUUCUAACACAUUGUGUUAAGUUGAUAUGAAUCUAACGCAAUAAGAACGAGGUUAAACGGAGGUAAAACAUGGAAUCUAUGGAUUAAACAAGGUUCUAAGGAUCUAAAUAGAAUUAACUAUAGAUCUCAGGGGCUAGCAGAGAAGAUUCACAAGACAUGGAAAUGUGCUUCAAAAAGGCUGAAAGAUCAAGGUUAGAUUCAUAAAUGGAGCUUGGGUUGGACUAGGUUGUAGGAACCUCAUCUAACCAGGGGGUUCUAUGUAAGAGCCGCAAGACUCAAGGAACAAGCUAAACCAUUAAGUGGACCUUCGAGGGUCUAGAUGCAAAAAGCUCAGAGCUUUCUUCCUCAUGGCCGACGGUAGCUUGUACAGCCAAAUCACUGGCGCUACGGGCGGCUGGGGUCUCCGGCGGACGGCACAGGAGCUGGAGGAGGUCCAGGGGAUCUAGUGGAGGCUCUUACCGGUGGCGGAGGUGAAGGGGGCCGGCCGAAAUUCGGAGGCGACAAUGACCGCAGCGGUGGCUCGGGCUCCGCGUGGUGGCAACGCUCCGGUGAUGGAGGGGCGUCGAGGGCUGGCGUCAGUUCUUCGUCUUGGCGCAGGGACACUCCAGGUGGCAUCAGCAUGCUCCAGUUCGAACGUUAACCGCGACAAAACAGGCGGCCAACUCCUACGGCACUUCGGCUCUGGCGAUCGACGGCGCACGGCGCUGCGUGAGCAGGCAAGGUGAGGCGCAGGGCGAGGGAGGAAGAAGGGACGACGCGGAGCCUCAAGCUUGCUAUUUAUAGGGGCGUGGGAGGUGUGCCUUGGAGUGGCGCGCACGAUGAGGAAACGACGGCAGUGGCGCAGUCCGCUUGGUGGCUGGGCUUAGAAGGGCCAAGCUGGGCCAACUAGCGGCGGACAGGUCUCAGCGGGCUGACGCGAGUCAAGCCCACAGCCUCGGCCCAAACUGAUAGGAUAGGUUUUUUUAUUAUUUUUAGAAAAUAAUUUCCUGUGGAAGGAAAAUCCAGAUAAAUCAAGAUAAUUCAAUAAAACCUACAAAAAAUACUCUAAAAAUGCCCAAAAAUUUCAGAAAAAAUCCUAGUGGUAGAUUGGGACACGAGGAAUCCAAAUAAAAUACUUGGAGCCCAUGAAAAAGGAAUUAGAGCCUUCUACUAAAUAGAUUUAUUUCUAGGAAAAUGAGAAUAAAUACCAGAAAGAUCUAGAAAAUUCUGAGGAGAAUUUGGUCGUCGUCUAAAUGCAUUUUUGAAACUUUUUCACUCAUAAAAUACUAUAAUGCAUCGGCAGGAAUGCAAAACACGUAGAAACAUUUUAUUUCUUUCAAAAUCAAUCAAUUGUUUUCCUAUACUACAUUUCCUGUCAAAAAAAUAAAUGUUGAAAUUUUUUUAAAAUUAUGAGAAAAUCAUUGUUUAAUUAUUAUUUUUAUUUAAUCACAUCCUAAAAUCUAAAAAUUUCAGGGUGUGAAUAAUCCACCCCUAUAAAUCCAUUUUUAGAGGUGGAUGAAUUGCUACAGUAACACCUAUUUUUUGGUUGGGGGGAUUUCUCAUCCAGCCAAAAAAAAUCAAGUGACACCUAAAAAUCAUUUUUUAGUAGUGAUCGUACACGCGCUUCACUGCCAUGAACGCCGCCAUGCAUACCGAUCAACCAGCCGUCGGCGCCAUAGAUGGUGGCAUUCCGGUUCUUUCCCCAGUGUGGCAGGCCGCCGUACUUGCCCAUUGCCAUCUGCAUCUUGAUCUCGUCCACGACGUCCAAGUUUUGCACUGCACUAUGGACAAAAUAGUGCCCAUUAGGUUUUCCAUGUGAAUUGGCCCAAGGUACAUUCAACUUAUUUUGGCUGGCUUGGUCCCAUAGUUUGAACCCAGAUUUUGGAUCUUUCCGCAUUUAAAUUGGUGCUGCUGCUGCAUUUAUUUGAUAAUGGUUCAAGAUAUGGAACCAUACCACAAAGGUAACUCAUCAUUAAUUUAGAAGGGUGCACAGAUUCAUGUAAUAAAUAAUCUACACCACCUAAGAUGUGUCUCUACCUCUAUAUAAACAAGAGCAAUCAAAGCAAUAUGUGCAUACUGGAACAAAAUAUCUACAGGCAUACCAAUAGUGUUCCUUUUCAUACGGCAGUGAUCAAGAGCAACGCAGUGAGGUCUAUGUGUGCUGCACUUUGCAUUCUUUUGAUAAUGUCUUCAGCCCUCUCAGAGCUGGUGGAAGUUGUGUAUCUAACUGCUUUUCUACUUCCCAUGGUUUCAUUAUAUUCGUGGGGUUUACUAGGUGCGAUGUGGAUUUCAUGCACAUGAUCACGCUGAGUGUGACCCUAUGGACUGAUGCACUGAUCCGAAAUGCGAGGAUGAAUGUCAGAACAAAAAUAUUGACCUACCUAUUGAACCUGAGUGCACCACACCUAAGGAGUGUUGCUGCACAUUUUAUCGGGAGGAAGAUAAUUCACUUCUUUGAAUAGAUUAAAAUGGUUGCCGAUGGCUAGAUUAAUUUCAUGGAUGCAGCCGAUACCAGAAUACUACGCUUGCAUGUAAUGCAUCCAUAAUAUGUUUCUACCCAAAUCUAAUAAAAUAAAUGUGUCCCAUUUGUCCUCUUUUCCUCUAGUGUUUUUUUACUCCCAAAUUCCAUGCUAAUAAAUGCUGUAUACAUGAUUUUAUUUUAAAAGCAUUUCUGAAUACAUUUAAUUUGAUAAGUUCAAACACCGAGUGAGUCUUCUAUCUAUUGUAGGCUUAUGUUUAGUGAAGUGUGCCGGGCCUACUACUUCGGUGUUGGGCUGAGCCCACAUGAGAGCAGCUCCAGCGUUGCUCUUUUGAGGGUGCUCCAAGGAGAGAGAAAAAUAUUCUCCGGCAGCUUCACGCUGGAUCAGAGGGUGCUAGGGAGGUGCUAGGGAGCAGCUGAUGAUGAGUUUUGCACCAGGCGCUACGCAUUCAAUAUAUUUUCUGAAGUAACGUGGUUGGAUGGAUAGUUGAGAUAGUGGGAAACAAAUGCAGAUGCGCUAAUGACCAUCAAUCCGAGGACUCCGCCACCCAUGCACUUAGGUAAAAAAAUUCCUCAACCACUUUCACCAAGCACUGAGAUGCCACUGCAACCGAAACAUAUGCCGUAGACUUUUGGAGCAUAGCCCAUGUACGAAGCUAGUGGAUAACUGUAAAGAUAACCUGCAUUGGAUGAGAUAAGGGUUUGUUUUCAAAUACCAUAGCAUUCUUGCAGAGCAACAAUAACAACAUAGUAGCAAUCACCCCAAGUAAAUAAUGCCCGUCAACCAAGUGCCAAAAAUAUUUUCUAGGCUAAGGGGCUUGAGAAAGACUUCAGGUGCAAACAUAUCCGUAUUAUCCUCACUGAAUGGUCAUAAGUGUUUCCCUUCGGUUGCCGACACAAGACAUCCGACGGGGAAGGGUGACUAACGCCACUACCUGGUAAACUAAGUAUGCUGGAACUUGUCCACUAAGGUUAUAGUCUAGCUAACUCAGCAUGGGUGCCCAUAUUUCUUAAUUAUGUUUCCGUUGGUUGAUAACAUACCCAUCGGCAUCCUAUCGUCAUGACUUAAUGAAUCCCAAUAUCUUCUAGACUAACGUUUACUUACAUGAGUAGGGUGUGUAUGCAUUUGUGGUUAACAGGUAUUUACUUUAAGGUCGGCUGGGCCGGCUUUCUCGAUGUGUCUAAUUAUGCUUAAGAAAAAGAACCACUAGUGGAAAACUCAGUUUUAGUCCCGGUUGCAGACACGCAUAGAUCUCAAAAAUCCAACCGGAACUAAUCAUUCAGACUGUAAUAAUAAAAUUUGUUUGAAAUCAAAUGCAUUGCAUUUAAAUUUUCAUGGGCAUUUAAACCUUUUUCAAAAUAAAUUAAUGAAUCAUAGGAGUUCGUUGUUGCAUUCACGAUGGUGCAUUAUUUUUGGUUGCUUGAAUUCAAAUUUGUGUUUGAAUUCAUUUGUUUGACUCUUUUAAACAAAUAGGAAACCCUUUUCUUUUCUUCCUUUCAGCCUAUUUCUUUCUUUGGGCCCACUUCCUUCUCUUUCGCCCAGCAGCAAAACUGAAUAUGCACUUUGAAGAUAAACAUGCGAACCAUCAAAGGGCAGCAGACAACUUAAAUACGCGACGGAGCAUUGUAAAUGGCAGAGUAGCCUUGCUGCCACGAUCCACUGAGAUCCAGCCCCACAUCGCACGAAUUCCUCCCUCCCCCCUCCACCCCCGACAACGGCUUCAGGCUCGGACCCGCUACGACGACCAAGGACAAAUGCGCUCAAGGCUUGGGAAGAAAUUAACUUCCAUUGUCGGAACACUUGUUAAGGAUUACAAGAGACCAUAUCGCAAGUUUAUCUUCUUAGGUAUGGUCCACAAUGGAAGAGAGACCUCCUAACUUGACCAAGCCGAUGUACACACUACCAUUUGGCACCAAUCAGGCCAAGUCAGAUAGGUGCCAGUGGAGUUCCAUAUUCCACUACGUCCGCCAUGUAACUCAUAAUCGACCACCAGGGAGGGACAUGUGUGGGAUGGAUCGAAGACAAGACAAUGGCCAACACACGCGUGGACAUACCGGCCACAGGGUACGAUUACGUGUUUGUUGGACCCAACACAUGAAAAUAGCUGCGUUGGCCAUGAAAAUGUUUCCUAUAGGUCACACCUAGUGGCAUCAAAACCAUUUAGUGCCACUAACUGGUUGUGAUGAUUGAUGUCACAAACGGUUCUUUGUGCGUAGCCAGUUUAUAGCUGUAAUUCCAUCGAACCUGUUCUAGUACCUUGAACAACUGGUUCUUGAUGAGUAGCCAGGAGUGACGUUCCAUUUGUAACUAUUUAUUCUCUAUUAGUCUAAUGUUGUCAUAAAUGAUUUGCGUUGUCAGUUUAUAUAUGCACUUUGGCAGCCUGGAUGUAUGUCUUUUGAAGUAUGUGUAACUUUCUCUAGAAUUGAGGAACUUUAAUUGACUAAGUGGUCUUGGAUUUACAGCAUCAACCACUAUAAUUAGCCAUUGCUCCAAUGGCCCAUUUUUUCCGUUAAUGCUAUAUGAUCCGACACCAAUAUGUGUACAGACAUAAGAGCAUCUGACGAGUAUCAUUUUACGGUGAAGACAUUGGAUCCCCACUCGCAGUAACACAUUGCAAAUGCGAAAAGCAGGACCGGGUCUCCCCCUGCAAUAAAUGCCAUUUUAACUGGUCCUAUAAACUGUUUUCUAGUGGUGUGAUGUAGUCUGUUGGAAUCAGCACCGUGGAACCAUCUGACAUUCAUACAUUAGCUUCACCAAACAAAUAUUCUUCUGUGCAUUAAAGCUUCAUACUUCAACAUGUACAAGUUCUCUAUGUAGGAUAUUUCAGCUAGAAGAUCUUCCCUUUCUUGAACUAGCCAUUUGAGCAUUAUUCAUUCUCAGGCCCAUGGUUCCAACGGCUUGCACGUUCUUGGAAUGUGUUAUCAUGGAAUGCUAGGGGUAUCGAUUCGUAGACAAGAUGGAAUGUCGUCAAGAGCAAAAUAUCUGAAUCCAACUGUGAUAUUGCCUGUUUACAAGACACCAAAAAGGAGUUUUUUGAUGCUAGAUAUAUUAGGAAUUUCUAUCCCCCACAGUUAGAUUCUUUCGAUUUCAUCCCAUCUAUUGGCAACUCAGGGGGAACUAUUAUAGUGUGGAAUGGUUCCAAAUUCAAGGGGGAACCUAUCUUUCAAAAUCUUUAUGCCCACUUUGUAGAUUUUCAGUGCAAGCUAUCAGGGGAACGUUGGAUCCUCACGAAUAUCUACGCCCCAUGUACUCCGGAGGGGAAGCUAUCCUUUAUUGACUGGUUCAAAAGGGUUGAAAUACCAGAGGAAAAAAAUUGGCUAAUAGUUGGGGACUUCAACCUUCUUAGGAAGCCGGAUGACAGAAACAAUCAGGGGGAAACAAUCCGGGAGGAAAUGUUCAGGAAAUGCUUCUCUUCAAUGAAGCUAUUAGCAGGCUUAGGCUCAUAGAAAUUCAGCUCAAAGGAUGCAAGUACACUUGGUCCAACAAACAGCAGAAUCCUCUUCUGGAGAGGCACGAUUGGUUCUUCAUAUCUAACCCUUGGACCAUCUCCUAUCCCAAUACUUAUGCCUCAUCACUGUCCAGUGACUCCUCAUAUCAUGUUCCUUGUGUAGUCUCGAUCUCUAAUACCAUUCCAAGGCCACAAGUUUUUAGAUUUGAGAAUUAUUGGCUAGAACAUGAUCGGUUCCCAACCAUUCUCCAACAAGGUUGGGCAACUCCACUUCUAGGCACAGAUAGGGCAAAGAAUAUCGGGGCCAAGUUCAAAAACCUGAGGAAGGUUUUCAGGAUCUAGAAAGCAUAGCUCCCCAGUCUGGCGAAAGCAAUCCAGAGCACCAAAGACACCAUUCAACUCCUUGACAUCAUUGAAGAACUUAGAGAUCUUACCCUGCAAGAACGGAACUUUAGAGAAGUCAUCACAUCACAUCUGAAUAGCUUGCUCCACCAACAAAAAGUCUAUUGGUAGCAAAGAAGCUCCAUCAAUUGGGUCAAAAUGGGGGAUGAAUGUACAAAAUUCUGCCAUGCAAGGGCCUCAGUCAGAAAUAGAAUCAAUUAUAUCACUUCUUUAGUUGAUGCCAAUGGACAAAUUGUCUCUAAACAUGAAGCUAAAGCCAGGAUUCUUUGGGAAGCUUAUAAGGAAAGGAUGGGGAGAUUUGAAUUUACUCACAUGUACUUUGAUCUUUCUACUAUCUUGACAUCAGAUCCAAAUUUGGAAUGGCUAGAAUCUCUCUUUAUGAAAGCAGAGAUCGACACAAUUACAGGGGAACUUCCAAGUAACAAGUCCCAAGGCCCAGAUGGCUUGAAUGGAGAGUUUCUCAAGAGAUGGUGGGACUUGAUAGCUGAAGAUUUUUAUAGACUGUCUGAAGGUUUUCAUGACAUAAGUGUGUGUGUUCAGAGCAUGAAUGCUUCAUACAUCACACGAAUCUCCCUCCUAAACUCAACCAUCAAGCUAAUAACUAAAAUUCUAGCAGAAAGGCUACAACAGGUAAUCUUAAGACUAGUGCAUAAAAAUCAGUAUGGUUUCAUAAAGUCUAGAUCCAUACAAGACUGUUUAGCAUGGGCUUUUGAAUAUCUUCACAUUUGUAAAGCCUCAAAGAGAGAAUUAAUCAUCAGCAAGCUGGACUUUGAAAAAAGCCUUUGAUAGGAUUGAGCACCAAGCCAUUUUGGAUAUCUUAAAACAUAAGUGCUUUGGGACAGAUGGAUUGGGUGGAUAAAGGACAUUCUCAACACUAGAACAUCUUCAAUACUCCUCAAUGGUGUGCCAGGGAAAGUCUUUCAUUGCAGAAGAGGUGUCAGACAGGGGGAUCCUCUAUCCGCACUUCUAUUUGUUCUAGCAGCGGACCUUUUUCAGUCAAUCCUAAAUAAAGCCAAAGAGGAAGGAAGCUUACACCUACCGAUCCCUGAAAGAGCUGGACCUGACUUCCCAGUUAUACAAUAUGCAGAUGACACCCUUCUGGUCAUGGAAGCAGAUCCUUCCCAGUUGUUGCAUCUCAAGCAUCUGCUUAAUCGGUUUGCGGAGUCAACUGGUCUUAAAGUAAACUACAACAAGACUGUUAUGGUACCUCUGAACACUUCUGAGGAUAAACUCCGACAACUUUCGUCAAUGUUCGAUUGCCAAGUCGGAAGCUUGCCACUCACCUACUUGGGGCUACCACUUGGUGCAACAAAGCCUAACAUUGAGGAAUUCCUUCCAUUAAUACAGAAGGUGGAGCGAAGAUUGGGAGGCAUCUCUAACAUGUUAUCUCAAGGGGGCAAACUCGAACAGGUAAAUUCAGUCUUUUCUUCCUCACCAAUGUUUCAUAUGGCAACCUUAAAGCUUCACAAGGGGGUUAUCACACAAUUAGAUAAUUUUGGCAGCUGUGUAUAUUUAGAUGCAUAUAAACAUUUAUAAACCUAAAACAUUAAAAUGACCUGCAAUUAAAAAUGGAGGGGUAAAAAAGAAGGCCCCGACAAACGUGUCAGCACAUUCCUGCCUUUCUCCCCCCAAUGAGUAAACUCCAAUCCAAAAUUUGACUGUAUUUUGUUAACGGUUAUAUUUCAUAAGUUUGAUAACAAUACCCAGCUAGGGCUAAUGAUGAUAUGAAAUUGGCCACAAUUUUUGUUCUUGGGAGGUAUCUGUGAGGUGAGAAAAUGGGCAACAUGUGUGGAAAAUGCUAAUACGCCUACCGUGUGGCAUAUUUUGCGUUGUACCACAUACUUACCAAUACUGAUACAAGAUAUGCUCAAUACCCCUCAAUCCAACUUACCAAUACUGAUACAAGAUAUGCUCAACUUGUGAACUUAACUGAGGUAUAUGCUUUCUAUGUUCGUCCGUUCCAGCAAUUGUCUAAGGCAACGCGAAAUCCAGUUACUGUGGGCUAAUAACAACCUAUCUGUUGGUGUUUCUUGGUGUCUAUGGGUGUGCUUCUGAUUUGCAUGCUUUUUUUGUUUGUUGUGUGAUGAAAUAAGGCACUAUGUACAUCUUUGCUUAUUAUUUCCCACUGAUAUAUGGGUACGGACGUGUAAUCAUUAAUUGUGAUAUUCAUUCAGCUGACGACAGUCAGUUGACAUCACUUGAAAGUAUGCUUGAAUUCGUAAGGUGUCCCGUGCAAGUAGCGUGGCUACAACCGCGGCAAUAUUUUUUUCUGAUCAAAAUCGAUCGUCCUUUUUUGUUGAAAAGAUAAGUAUGAUAUACUUCACGUGGUGUUAGACUUGCAAAUUUUUGAGUGCAAUAUAUGAGUAAGUAUUCAAUACUAACAUUUUUUCUCUAAACAUUAACUACCAACAUAGCUUAUCAGAUAAUGCAGCAUUGUUUAUCCGACAUGCAUAACCACCUAACACUCAGACACUGAGACACACCAUCCAUUACCGUCACUGAAUCUAUGUCAGCGCGCUGAGCCAGGGUUAGGAACCUCCACUAACUCGUUAGAGGCAAACCCAAGAUCUAGACUGCUUCUGCUUAAUUCCCUCACUAGCUUAAUCCACUAUGAAAUGUAAAUGCACAACACUCUUAGCAAUUCGCUCAUAAGAUUCUUGAAUUUGGCAAAUUUUUGGUGCAAUCUUCACUGCGAGAAAAACGACCUUUUGUCCAACAUAUUAGUACCGGCCACAUUUCAACCCGGUACUAAUACCAACAUUAGUAUGGGAUCCAAUUUAGUAGCCACCGGAGACCUUUUAGUACCAGGUCAUAACACCACCCAAUACUAAAAUGUUGAAGAUAGGUUGCCAACGAAAAGUUACUCUUACUGCUCUUUAGCUCUUGCUCUCUUGAAACUAUUAAUCUUCUAAUCUUUUGAACAACUAUCCUUCUAUUUGAAGCAAUCAUCGGCACAAACAUAUAAGCAAACAAAAAAAGUACAAUUAAGAACAAUACACCAAAACAAAAAAAAGCUUUAAAAGAGUAUAAAGGAUAUGGCUCAAUUCUAAGAUCGCGAGGAUGUAAGAAACACUUAAAACCAAACUAAGGUUGAAAAGACAAAGCUAUUGAGAGAUUUGAAUUAUAAAAGAAAAAGAAAAGCCUACAUGCUUCAUAUAUUUUAAUAAAGAAAACAAUGUAAAGAUAUUUUAGACAAACAUCCUUAUCAAGUUAUAUUUAUAUAUGAAAAGAUCAAUGUAGAACUUCGUCAAAUUUUUAUUUAUAAACAUUAAAGUACAAUUUAGGAAAAUUAAACAUUUAAUUUGAAAAUAAAGUAUAGGUAAACAUCUAAGCGCAUAACUUUAUGAUUCAGGUUGAACUAACCAAAUAUAAUUAAAAAAACACAUUUCUAUUUAUAUUUGUCAAAAUAAAAUUUAAUAAAUAAAACUUGAGAUAUAACCUAUGUAGCUUUUAUUUAUAAAACAAAAUCAAGACACAUUAAUCAAGUUGAGUUUAAUUGAUGAAAAGCUGAGGUAUAUCUCUAAUUAGCUUUUAGUUGGAAGAGUUGCUUAAAUAAGCAUUAACCAAAUUUACAUUAGUUAUCAAAAUACGAGGUUGAACUUUAAUUAGAUUUUAAUUAGAAAAGCAAGUAUAUAAAUACUUAAUCAUAUUAAUAUUUUAAAUAAAUUAUAAAAUAGGGAACAUGAUUAACAUUGCUUCUAACACAUUGUGUUAAGUUGAUAUGAAUCUAACGCAAUAAGAACGAGGUUAAACGGAGGUAAAACAUGGAAUCUAUGGAUUAAACAAGGUUCUAAGGAUCUAAAUAGAAUUAACUAUAGAUCUCAGGGGCUAGCAGAGAAGAUUCACAAGACAUGGAAAUGUGCUUCAAAAAGGCUGAAAGAUCAAGGUUAGAUUCAUAAAUGGAGCUUGGGUUGGACUAGGUUGUAGGAACCUCAUCUAACCAGGGGGUUCUAUGUAAGAGCCGCAAGACUCAAGGAACAAGCUAAACCAUUAAGUGGACCUUCGAGGGUCUAGAUGCAAAAAGCUCAGAGCUUUCUUCCUCAUGGCCGACGGUAGCUUGUACAGCCAAAUCACUGGCGCUACGGGCGGCUGGGGUCUCCGGCGGACGGCACAGGAGCUGGAGGAGGUCCAGGGGAUCUAGUGGAGGCUCUUACCGGUGGCGGAGGUGAAGGGGGCCGGCCGAAAUUCGGAGGCGACAAUGACCGCAGCGGUGGCUCGGGCUCCGCGUGGUGGCAACGCUCCGGUGAUGGAGGGGCGUCGAGGGCUGGCGUCAGUUCUUCGUCUUGGCGCAGGGACACUCCAGGUGGCAUCAGCAUGCUCCAGUUCGAACGUUAACCGCGACAAAACAGGCGGCCAACUCCUACGGCACUUCGGCUCUGGCGAUCGACGGCGCACGGCGCUGCGUGAGCAGGCAAGGUGAGGCGCAGGGCGAGGGAGGAAGAAGGGACGACGCGGAGCCUCAAGCUUGCUAUUUAUAGGGGCGUGGGAGGUGUGCCUUGGAGUGGCGCGCACGAUGAGGAAACGACGGCAGUGGCGCAGUCCGCUUGGUGGCUGGGCUUAGAAGGGCCAAGCUGGGCCAACUAGCGGCGGACAGGUCUCAGCGGGCUGACGCGAGUCAAGCCCACAGCCUCGGCCCAAACUGAUAGGAUAGGUUUUUUUAUUAUUUUUAGAAAAUAAUUUCCUGUGGAAGGAAAAUCCAGAUAAAUCAAGAUAAUUCAAUAAAACCUACAAAAAAUACUCUAAAAAUGCCCAAAAAUUUCAGAAAAAAUCCUAGUGGUAGAUUGGGACACGAGGAAUCCAAAUAAAAUACUUGGAGCCCAUGAAAAAGGAAUUAGAGCCUUCUACUAAAUAGAUUUAUUUCUAGGAAAAUGAGAAUAAAUACCAGAAAGAUCUAGAAAAUUCUGAGGAGAAUUUGGUCGUCGUCUAAAUGCAUUUUUGAAACUUUUUCACUCAUAAAAUACUAUAAUGCAUCGGCAGGAAUGCAAAACACGUAGAAACAUUUUAUUUCUUUCAAAAUCAAUCAAUUGUUUUCCUAUACUACAUUUCCUGUCAAAAAAAUAAAUGUUGAAAUUUUUUUAAAAUUAUGAGAAAAUCAUUGUUUAAUUAUUAUUUUUAUUUAAUCACAUCCUAAAAUCUAAAAAUUUCAGGGUGUGAAUAAUCCACCCCUAUAAAUCCAUUUUUAGAGGUGGAUGAAUUGCUACAGUAACACCUAUUUUUUGGUUGGGGGGAUUUCUCAUCCAGCCAAAAAAAAUCAAGUGACACCUAAAAAUCAUUUUUUAGUAGUGAUCGUACACGCGCUUCACUGCCAUGAACGCCGCCAUGCAUACCGAUCAACCAGCCGUCGGCGCCAUAGAUGGUGGCAUUCCGGUUCUUUCCCCAGUGUGGCAGGCCGCCGUACUUGCCCAUUGCCAUCUGCAUCUUGAUCUCGUCCACGACGUCCAAGUUUUGCACUGCACUAUGGACAAAAUAGUGCCCAUUAGGUUUUCCAUGUGAAUUGGCCCAAGGUACAUUCAACUUAUUUUGGCUGGCUUGGUCCCAUAGUUUGAACCCAGAUUUUGGAUCUUUCCGCAUUUAAAUUGGUGCUGCUGCUGCAUUUAUUUGAUAAUGGUUCAAGAUAUGGAACCAUACCACAAAGGUAACUCAUCAUUAAUUUAGAAGGGUGCACAGAUUCAUGUAAUAAAUAAUCUACACCACCUAAGAUGUGUCUCUACCUCUAUAUAAACAAGAGCAAUCAAAGCAAUAUGUGCAUACUGGAACAAAAUAUCUACAGGCAUACCAAUAGUGUUCCUUUUCAUACGGCAGUGAUCAAGAGCAACGCAGUGAGGUCUAUGUGUGCUGCACUUUGCAUUCUUUUGAUAAUGUCUUCAGCCCUCUCAGAGCUGGUGGAAGUUGUGUAUCUAACUGCUUUUCUACUUCCCAUGGUUUCAUUAUAUUCGUGGGGUUUACUAGGUGCGAUGUGGAUUUCAUGCACAUGAUCACGCUGAGUGUGACCCUAUGGACUGAUGCACUGAUCCGAAAUGCGAGGAUGAAUGUCAGAACAAAAAUAUUGACCUACCUAUUGAACCUGAGUGCACCACACCUAAGGAGUGUUGCUGCACAUUUUAUCGGGAGGAAGAUAAUUCACUUCUUUGAAUAGAUUAAAAUGGUUGCCGAUGGCUAGAUUAAUUUCAUGGAUGCAGCCGAUACCAGAAUACUACGCUUGCAUGUAAUGCAUCCAUAAUAUGUUUCUACCCAAAUCUAAUAAAAUAAAUGUGUCCCAUUUGUCCUCUUUUCCUCUAGUGUUUUUUUACUCCCAAAUUCCAUGCUAAUAAAUGCUGUAUACAUGAUUUUAUUUUAAAAGCAUUUCUGAAUACAUUUAAUUUGAUAAGUUCAAACACCGAGUGAGUCUUCUAUCUAUUGUAGGCUUAUGUUUAGUGAAGUGUGCCGGGCCUACUACUUCGGUGUUGGGCUGAGCCCACAUGAGAGCAGCUCCAGCGUUGCUCUUUUGAGGGUGCUCCAAGGAGAGAGAAAAAUAUUCUCCGGCAGCUUCACGCUGGAUCAGAGGGUGCUAGGGAGGUGCUAGGGAGCAGCUGAUGAUGAGUUUUGCACCAGGCGCUACGCAUUCAAUAUAUUUUCUGAAGUAACGUGGUUGGAUGGAUAGUUGAGAUAGUGGGAAACAAAUGCAGAUGCGCUAAUGACCAUCAAUCCGAGGACUCCGCCACCCAUGCACUUAGGUAAAAAAAUUCCUCAACCACUUUCACCAAGCACUGAGAUGCCACUGCAACCGAAACAUAUGCCGUAGACUUUUGGAGCAUAGCCCAUGUACGAAGCUAGUGGAUAACUGUAAAGAUAACCUGCAUUGGAUGAGAUAAGGGUUUGUUUUCAAAUACCAUAGCAUUCUUGCAGAGCAACAAUAACAACAUAGUAGCAAUCACCCCAAGUAAAUAAUGCCCGUCAACCAAGUGCCAAAAAUAUUUUCUAGGCUAAGGGGCUUGAGAAAGACUUCAGGUGCAAACAUAUCCGUAUUAUCCUCACUGAAUGGUCAUAAGUGUUUCCCUUCGGUUGCCGACACAAGACAUCCGACGGGGAAGGGUGACUAACGCCACUACCUGGUAAACUAAGUAUGCUGGAACUUGUCCACUAAGGUUAUAGUCUAGCUAACUCAGCAUGGGUGCCCAUAUUUCUUAAUUAUGUUUCCGUUGGUUGAUAACAUACCCAUCGGCAUCCUAUCGUCAUGACUUAAUGAAUCCCAAUAUCUUCUAGACUAACGUUUACUUACAUGAGUAGGGUGUGUAUGCAUUUGUGGUUAACAGGUAUUUACUUUAAGGUCGGCUGGGCCGGCUUUCUCGAUGUGUCUAAUUAUGCUUAAGAAAAAGAACCACUAGUGGAAAACUCAGUUUUAGUCCCGGUUGCAGACACGCAUAGAUCUCAAAAAUCCAACCGGAACUAAUCAUUCAGACUGUAAUAAUAAAAUUUGUUUGAAAUCAAAUGCAUUGCAUUUAAAUUUUCAUGGGCAUUUAAACCUUUUUCAAAAUAAAUUAAUGAAUCAUAGGAGUUCGUUGUUGCAUUCACGAUGGUGCAUUAUUUUUGGUUGCUUGAAUUCAAAUUUGUGUUUGAAUUCAUUUGUUUGACUCUUUUAAACAAAUAGGAAACCCUUUUCUUUUCUUCCUUUCAGCCUAUUUCUUUCUUUGGGCCCACUUCCUUCUCUUUCGCCCAGCAGCAAAACUGAAUAUGCACUUUGAAGAUAAACAUGCGAACCAUCAAAGGGCAGCAGACAACUUAAAUACGCGACGGAGCAUUGUAAAUGGCAGAGUAGCCUUGCUGCCACGAUCCACUGAGAUCCAGCCCCACAUCGCACGAAUUCCUCCCUCCCCCCUCCACCCCCGACAACGGCUUCAGGCUCGGACCCGCUACGACGACCAAGGACAAAUGCGCUCAAGGCUUGGGAAGAAAUUAACUUCCAUUGUCGGAACACUUGUUAAGGAUUACAAGAGACCAUAUCGCAAGUUUAUCUUCUUAGGUAUGGUCCACAAUGGAAGAGAGACCUCCUAACUUGACCAAGCCGAUGUACACACUACCAUUUGGCACCAAUCAGGCCAAGUCAGAUAGGUGCCAGUGGAGUUCCAUAUUCCACUACGUCCGCCAUGUAACUCAUAAUCGACCACCAGGGAGGGACAUGUGUGGGAUGGAUCGAAGACAAGACAAUGGCCAACACACGCGUGGACAUACCGGCCACAGGGUACGAUUACGUGUUUGUUGGACCCAACACAUGAAAAUAGCUGCGUUGGCCAUGAAAAUGUUUCCUAUAGGUCACACCUAGUGGCAUCAAAACCAUUUAGUGCCACUAACUGGUUGUGAUGAUUGAUGUCACAAACGGUUCUUUGUGCGUAGCCAGUUUAUAGCUGUAAUUCCAUCGAACCUGUUCUAGUACCUUGAACAACUGGUUCUUGAUGAGUAGCCAGGAGUGACGUUCCAUUUGUAACUAUUUAUUCUCUAUUAGUCUAAUGUUGUCAUAAAUGAUUUGCGUUGUCAGUUUAUAUAUGCACUUUGGCAGCCUGGAUGUAUGUCUUUUGAAGUAUGUGUAACUUUCUCUAGAAUUGAGGAACUUUAAUUGACUAAGUGGUCUUGGAUUUACAGCAUCAACCACUAUAAUUAGCCAUUGCUCCAAUGGCCCAUUUUUUCCGUUAAUGCUAUAUGAUCCGACACCAAUAUGUGUACAGACAUAAGAGCAUCUGACGAGUAUCAUUUUACGGUGAAGACAUUGGAUCCCCACUCGCAGUAACACAUUGCAAAUGCGAAAAGCAGGACCGGGUCUCCCCCUGCAAUAAAUGCCAUUUUAACUGGUCCUAUAAACUGUUUUCUAGUGGUGUGAUGUAGUCUGUUGGAAUCAGCACCGUGGAACCAUCUGACAUUCAUACAUUAGCUUCACCAAACAAAUAUUCUUCUGUGCAUUAAAGCUUCAUACUUCAACAUGUACAAGUUCUCUAUGUAGGAUAUUUCAGCUAGAAGAUCUUCCCUUUCUUGAACUAGCCAUUUGAGCAUUAUUCAUUCUCAGGCCCAUGGUUCCAACGGCUUGCACGUUCUUGGAAUGUGUUAUCAUGGAAUGCUAGGGGUAUCGAUUCGUAGACAAGAUGGAAUGUCGUCAAGAGCAAAAUAUCUGAAUCCAACUGUGAUAUUGCCUGUUUACAAGACACCAAAAAGAAGUUUUUUGAUGCUAGAUAUAUUAGGAAUUUCUAUCCCCCACAGUUAGAUUCUUUCGAUUUCAUCCCAUCUAUUGGCAACUCAGGGGGAACUAUUAUAGUGUGGAAUGGUUCCAAAUUCAAGGGGGAACCUAUCUUUCAAAAUCUUUAUGCCCACUUUGUAGAUUUUCAGUGCAAGCUAUCAGGGGAACGUUGGAUCCUCACGAAUAUCUACGCCCCAUGUACUCCGGAGGGGAAGCUAUCCUUUAUUGACUGGUUCAAAAGGGUUGAAAUACCAGAGGAAAAAAAUUGGCUAAUAGUUGGGGACUUCAACCUUCUUAGGAAGCCGGAUGACAGAAACAAUCAGGGGGAAACAAUCCGGGAGGAAAUGUUCAGGAAAUGCUUCUCUUCAAUGAAGCUAUUAGCAGGCUUAGGCUCAUAGAAAUUCAGCUCAAAGGAUGCAAGUACACUUGGUCCAACAAACAGCAGAAUCCUCUUCUGGAGAGGCACGAUUGGUUCUUCAUAUCUAACCCUUGGACCAUCUCCUAUCCCAAUACUUAUGCCUCAUCACUGUCCAGUGACUCCUCAUAUCAUGUUCCUUGUGUAGUCUCGAUCUCUAAUACCAUUCCAAGGCCACAAGUUUUUAGAUUUGAGAAUUAUUGGCUAGAACAUGAUCGGUUCCCAACCAUUCUCCAACAAGGUUGGGCAACUCCACUUCUAGGCACAGAUAGGGCAAAGAAUAUCGGGGCCAAGUUCAAAAACCUGAGGAAGGUUUUCAGGAUCUAGAAAGCAUAGCUCCCCAGUCUGGCGAAAGCAAUCCAGAGCACCAAAGACACCAUUCAACUCCUUGACAUCAUUGAAGAACUUAGAGAUCUUACCCUGCAAGAACGGAACUUUAGAGAAGUCAUCACAUCACAUCUGAAUAGCUUGCUCCACCAACAAAAAGUCUAUUGGUAGCAAAGAAGCUCCAUCAAUUGGGUCAAAAUGGGGGAUGAAUGUACAAAAUUCUGCCAUGCAAGGGCCUCAGUCAGAAAUAGAAUCAAUUAUAUCACUUCUUUAGUUGAUGCCAAUGGACAAAUUGUCUCUAAACAUGAAGCUAAAGCCAGGAUUCUUUGGGAAGCUUAUAAGGAAAGGAUGGGGAGAUUUGAAUUUACUCACAUGUACUUUGAUCUUUCUACUAUCUUGACAUCAGAUCCAAAUUUGGAAUGGCUAGAAUCUCUCUUUAUGAAAGCAGAGAUCGACACAAUUACAGGGGAACUUCCAAGUAACAAGUCCCAAGGCCCAGAUGGCUUGAAUGGAGAGUUUCUCAAGAGAUGGUGGGACUUGAUAGCUGAAGAUUUUUAUAGACUGUCUGAAGGUUUUCAUGACAUAAGUGUGUGUGUUCAGAGCAUGAAUGCUUCAUACAUCACACGAAUCUCCCUCCUAAACUCAACCAUCAAGCUAAUAACUAAAAUUCUAGCAGAAAGGCUACAACAGGUAAUCUUAAGACUAGUGCAUAAAAAUCAGUAUGGUUUCAUAAAGUCUAGAUCCAUACAAGACUGUUUAGCAUGGGCUUUUGAAUAUCUUCACAUUUGUAAAGCCUCAAAGAGAGAAUUAAUCAUCAGCAAGCUGGACUUUGAAAAAAGCCUUUGAUAGGAUUGAGCACCAAGCCAUUUUGGAUAUCUUAAAACAUAAGUGCUUUGGGACAGAUGGAUUGGGUGGAUAAAGGACAUUCUCAACACUAGAACAUCUUCAAUACUCCUCAAUGGUGUGCCAGGGAAAGUCUUUCAUUGCAGAAGAGGUGUCAGACAGGGGGAUCCUCUAUCCGCACUUCUAUUUGUUCUAGCAGCGGACCUUUUUCAGUCAAUCCUAAAUAAAGCCAAAGAGGAAGGAAGCUUACACCUACCGAUCCCUGAAAGAGCUGGACCUGACUUCCCAGUUAUACAAUAUGCAGAUGACACCCUUCUGGUCAUGGAAGCAGAUCCUUCCCAGUUGUUGCAUCUCAAGCAUCUGCUUAAUCGGUUUGCGGAGUCAACUGGUCUUAAAGUAAACUACAACAAGACUGUUAUGGUACCUCUGAACACUUCUGAGGAUAAACUCCGACAACUUUCGUCAAUGUUCGAUUGCCAAGUCGGAAGCUUGCCACUCACCUACUUGGGGCUACCACUUGGUGCAACAAAGCCUAACAUUGAGGAAUUCCUUCCAUUAAUACAGAAGGUGGAGCGAAGAUUGGGAGGCAUCUCUAACAUGUUAUCUCAAGGGGGCAAACUCGAACAGGUAAAUUCAGUCUUUUCUUCCUCACCAAUGUUUCAUAUGGCAACCUUAAAGCUUCACAAGGGGGUUAUCACACAAUUAGAUAAAUAUAGGAAACACUAUCUCUGCAGAGGAUCUAAUUUGAAUUCUAGGAAACCCUCCAAGGCAGCUUGGCCUAUGGUGUGCCUACCAAAACAGCAAGGAGGACUUGGGGUUAUUAACCUGAACAGUCAAAAUGAUGCCCUUCUUCUCAAGUUCCUACACAAGUUCUUCACCAGAGCUGAUACUCCCUGGGUUCAUUUAUUCUAGGAUAACUAUUAUUCUAAUGGGAAACUGCCUGGACAGCACAAAAAGGGCUCAUUCUGGUGGAGAGAUGUAGUCAAGCUACUGGACAAAUACAAAGGAAUAGUGUCGGCAUGGGUAUCGGAUGGCUCUACUGUAUUGUUCUGCAUGGACACAUGGAUUGAGCAGGUCCUCUACCUGGAAUUCCCCCAGUUAUUCUCUUAUGCCAAAAACAAACUGGUAUCAUAUAAGGAGGCUACAAGCAGAAUAUCACUGUCUCAAAAUUUUCACCCACCACUCUCAGAAGAAGCUCAUCAGCAGUUGCUGAUUCUGCAGAAUAGAUUGAGGAAUACUGUGAGAGCUCAAGGCAGAGAUAAGUGGACUUACAUUUGGGGAAGGCCCCCGCUUUUCGGUAGCAAAAACUUAUAAAGUCAUAACGGGCACAAGAACCAUACAUCCAAUUCAUAGAUGGAUAUGGAAAUCUAAAUGCCAAAAGAAGCACAAGAUAUUUUUCUAGCUAUUAAUUAAAUUCAGACUGAGCACCAAAGACAUUCUAAGCAGAAAAACAAUGUAUUUGGAUACUUAUACUUGUGUGCUUUGCAUCCUCCAGGAAAAGGAGACAAUGCCGCACUUAUUCCUGAGAUGCAACUUCUCGAAAGCUUGUUGGAGCACUUCCUCCAGGCCACCCUUUCGGAUUUUUAACUCAAUCAAGGAUAAACUGAACGUUCCCUUCUACAUGGAGAUCAUCAUUUUAAUGGCCCGGAGCAUUUGGUCCGUGAGGAAUGACUGGACCUUUCAACAAUGUCCCCCCUCGGUACAGAGCUGCAAAAGGAAAUUCAUGGAAAAAAUGAAUACCGUCUGUCUACAUAGAGCGAAAUCUUCCCUAGCUCCUACCAUGAUGGAAUGGUUGUAAUCUUUUCUUUCUUUUUUCUUCCUUUGUUGUUGCCUUUUCUACCUUCUACUUCUGUUGUUUCUUGGACUCGCCUUUCAUUUAAUAUAUUUCAGUAGGAGCUUGCCCCUCCUGUUCCUUCAAAAAAAAACUUCGAGCACUUCUCCAUGGGCUUCAUCACCAUAGUUUCGAUUUGGGCAAUUUCAUUGCACCGAACCUUCCAGCUUGCAUUUUCUUAACUGAAUCUCGAGCAUGGGGCAAUAUUCUGGCAUCUACAACGGACCUGCCAUCAAGCAUUCCAAUGUAUAGAUCUAUCCUUUUUGUUUGCCUAAUAUUCGGAUGCAAUACUCCGCCGUGUGUAAAAAAAUCCAAGGCCAACGGACCAUACCGUGUUAACAAUUUUAGUGCCUAAUCCAAUACAAAAUUAGUCCCAGUUUGUACGGCUACUCAUUCAUUGCAGUCUUCAGACGAACUCUACGGUGACACAUUUUUGGAAUACUCUGGCAUGUGCAACUGACCUGCCAUCAAGCACUCCGAUGCAUGGUUCUAUCCUCUUUGGUUGCCUUAUAUUCUGUAAAAAAAAAUAUUCAAGGCCAACAGACCAUACCGUGUUAAAAAUUUUAGUGCCCAAUCCAAUACAAAAUCAGUUCCAGCACCUCCACAGUGAUUAUAUUGUAAUUCAAUCACCAAAAUCCGAAACUAUGGUCUAGUGAAGCUAUACUGUGUACGAAAUAUCAAUUCAUGGGAUUUGUCAACGAUUUUAUGAAGCUGUAUAUAUGAUACCUUCCACUACGGGAUUUGUGUACAAAAUAUUAAUUCAUGAGAUUUGUCCAUGAUUUUAGGAAGCUACAAUAUCUUCAACUACCGGAUUGCGUAUAUAAGAUAAUCUUCACCAGUUAUCACAGGUGGAAGCACGCGUUAAAUAAUAAAUGACUAAUGCUGAUUCAACUCUGAGAUGAAAAGGAUUCUGUUCUCAAGAAUCGAAAAAAAGGUAACGUGCUCAUAACAAUGUCGACUCUUCACAUCUGAGAACUACCUACCGUAUGUUAUUAAAACAUUUUUGCUGCCUAUAAAUUGGGCAUCAUUUCAGCAGGCCACCACGGCACCUGAGCUUGCCAUCUUUUCCUGCUCUAUCUCACUCAUUUGUCCCGUAGCUACUAGCUAAGCCACCAUAUCAUCCAUGGCUUCUGGUGCCUCCACCACGCUGAAGAUGGCCUCUAUCGCCGCUUGCAUCCUGCUGGUCCUGCUGUCCAAUGGCCACCCCACCGCGGCGGCCGUUGAUUGUAUUGCGGCUUGCAAAGAACCGUGCCAGGGUUUUUCUAACGGGCUCUGCGCGGGUGGAGCCACCAGCGGUUGUACGACUACGGCAGCAGCUACAGCAUGCCGCAAUUUGGCGUUCUCGCAGUGUGCGAACACCUGCUUCACAGUUUGCACUGCUGUGAGCAUCGCGCCUUGCACUUGAAGAUGCAUUCGUGUUCCUACUUCCACAUUAUUGUUACUGCAGAAUAAUAUGGGUCAGUGCACACAAGCAUACAUGAUGAGCCACUGUCGUUUUUCCAUUUUGUCAUUUACUUAUUGAAGGCAAUGUACGUUUUUCCAUUUGAUCAUUUACUUAUUGAAGGCAAUGUACGUGUCUAUCUCCUGUGUGGUUGAGCAUGUCAUCUUGGAAUUCUAUCCAAAGUUUUACAUACCACCUUGUAUUGUUGUGUGUGGGUAUCAAUAUAAUUUAUGAACUAUCUUCCUUUACCAUAGACAUAUCUAUGUUUAUUUGCAAGCGUUAGCUAAAUUUUUCCUUGAUUGUGUAUUAAUCCCAACUGAACAGAUCAACUUUCCACUGCAAGAAACUAUUUAAUCUGUGACGAAACAAAAUUGUCACAUAUCACUAAAAAAUCGUCAUAAAGCAAUGCCCGUGACGAUUUUAGAUAACGUCAUGUAUUGAGCGUCACAGAUUAAAUCGAUCGACGUUUUCUUCGAAAUCGUCACAGAUCAACACAAUCUAUGAUGUUUUUUACCUGUCACAAAACACCCUUAGGCCCAUGCAGCAGCCCAGGCCUAGUGUUUGUGAUGAAAAUAAACAUCACAGAUGGUUGCCACGUGGCUGGUGACGUGGUUGAUGACGUGGACGAUGACAUGGCUAGUGACGUCAUUGAUGACGUGGCCAGUGACGUCGAUGACAUGGAGAGGCUUCACCAUAGUAUUUUGUAUCGACGUUAGACCUAUCGUUUAUUUCCGCUGCUUCUGAACUCUGAACGCUACUUUUAUGCAUGUGAACUAUCGGCUUGUAAUAACUUAAUGUGGGACCUGUAAUAAUUUAUCUGGAUUGUUGUAAUCUUUGGACUCGUCUUCGUGCGAGUAUACUUUGUUUCGAUCCGAAACACGUGGUUGCAUCGGGUGAAACCCGACAGACUACCAGUUUAAUUCGAUUAAAGUGUCUAUUCACAUUUAAGGCAAUGUUGAAUAUACUUUAGCCGGGUUAACUUGGAUGGUUCUACCACACUAGCGCAUCCCUGAUUGGUCUGGCGCCUUCAGGUUGUCGAGCUGAAGGAGCUGUAGGGGCUCUAUAGCUACUGUCGUGUUGACUUCGGUGUAGUUUGUAUCAAAUCUUGCAUGUCGAGUAGUUUGUAGGUGUGUUCUGUCAGCGCUGCCAACUGUUCUGUGUAUCUGUUCUGGGGCAUGGCUCGAGUGAUGAGAUCAAUGGAAGCAAUGGUGGCGAGAGGAGUAUGGUGCUGCUGCGUCUGGACUGCUUUGAAGGCGUUGUCUAGAUUCAUAAUCGGGAGCCUCUCUGCCAGCCGGUGGCGACAAUCCGCUCUCGUUGCGUUCCUUGCUCGUCGUCGGGUUCUCUGAGCUUCGGUCUCCUUCCCGACAACAUUGGCAGAUAGUUCAUCUUGCGAGACAUCAUCUGGAUGAUGCUCGUGUCGAGGAUUCAUAUCUGCUUGCUCGACGUCAUCUGUAUCUGGCCCUGUGAUAAGGGUGAAGAGUUCCUUGUCUAGAGAGAGGCUUCCAGAACUUUGGGUGAUGACUUAUGUAGAGUCAUUGUCUUCAUGGAUAGAAGACAAAGGUGAUCCCUCCUAGUACAGAAGAAUGUCGAGAUGGGCCAUGAAGCGUGAUUCGUUGUCCUGGGCGAGGGCAGGUAGCCUCAUGCUAGGCCAGUAGACGAAUCUGCCUUGAGGGGUUGAGGUGAUCAUCAGGCCCUGCUGCGAACCUGUUAGUGGAGUCUCCUCGUUGGAAUCCAAAUAGUGAUCGUAGUUGUGGUCCUUAAUCGGACCUGAGUUAGAUUGCAACCCGGAUAAGGCUGCUUGAUAGGUGGAAGCUGCGUUACGGAGUCCGAAGGGGAGUUGGCUCGGAAUUUGACUUGAUUCGCACGAUGCAGAACCCGACGAGAUAACCUGCUGGGGUAUUACGUCAAUAGAUCAACCAAAAGAAUGCCCAAUAAUAUCUACCACCAAAGGACAACCCAAAAGCAUUAUCUACCUUCGGUGCCAGCUCAGUCAUCAACGAAGUUCUAUGGAGACCUUGUUUUCUUUUGCUUUGGAUUUGGAGAUAGCAUAGAACAAAAGCCUUGAACCUAAAUAAACAAAGAAAAAAAGUACUGCAGUGCUAAAAAUAAGAAAUACCUCGUAGAAAAAUACCAGUAAUGGGUUUAUGGGUUCCCCACUCAUCCUUGGGUAGCCACUUCUCUAGAGAGAUUCUUGUCUGUUCCGGUGUUGUAGUUUUCUGCGCAUGAUACAUAGCAACAUAAGGGCUAUUCCCCAACCUCAUAAUUGAUAGUAAUGUACAUCUUCUGGAAAGGACCUCUUUCUGUUGCAAGUGUGACUGCCACGCUCAUGCCAUUAAAGAAGUUAGCAGUUCGGUUAGGCAACUAAUGUUGCCCACAGGAGGAAAGUAAAGCAACCGUGGAGAGUGAAGAGGCAUCUUUCUAGCUCCAGCAUCACCAAGCACACCACACCAGGCAUCAGCUAAUCUGAUGACAUGGCAGGAAAUUUAAGAGGGGAGAGAAGGAACCAGUUUCAUCUAGAUGAAACUCUUCUCGCACAAAAACUAACUCUGAAUGUGUCGUGAAAUUAAAUGUACCCUAUGCCGCUUUUCAUGCCCUCUUAUUCGUGUUGCGUUUUCUAAGUUCAAUACACUUAGCAAGACUAUCGCAUUUGGUGACUGGCAGUCCACCUAGUGGUACCUAGAUGGUUGAUUUGUAAGCAGAAAGGAUCACAAGACCCUGAACUACUUGAUGGUAAUGCAAGGCACAACACAUAGAGAUUUAUACAGGCUCGGGCCACUAGUGUAGCGUAAUACCCUACGUCCUAUUUUGGGGGAUUGUAUUACGCCAUGUGCUCGGGUGUUGGUUGUUGUGUUGAGGGAUUGGCCGUCCUCCUAGAGGUACCCCUACGUACCCUUAUAUACUCCCCUAAUAACUCUUCUUAAUAGGAUGGAUUACCGAGUAAAUUAAUUAUGCAUGCACGCCUGCAGUAAUUGUCGCACCUAUAAGCCUUAUUUAGCGAGACUUCCUCGGGCAUCGAUGGUGUGCCAUUUCUAUAGUGAACGGUAAUGAAUGUGGACACUUUUGUGAGUGCUGGCACGAAAGGUUCAAUUUGUAUGAAUGAUCUUCUGCAGGUACACUAACCGCGCUUAUGUUACAUUAACAAAAGGUUAGAGAAUCGACUAGUUAUUAUAGGGAGAGCCAUAAAUUAUUGCCUUGCCACAAGCACUAACCCCGUAAGUCCAAGUAAUUGGCAGUUCUUUGAUUUGUGAGGACACAUAGGUCGUGCAUGCAUCAUGUUUGGAAAUUGGAACAACUUUCCUAUAGAUGAUAUGUUAACCUAAUGUCACUCUCACAAAAAUUCUUGCCAAAUCACCUAAGGAUUUUCUAGUUGUCUUGAACUGCAACUAACUACUAUCAGAAUUUUUUUUCUCCAAGCUCUUAAAUGGUCUUGGUUCCAGAAUUUAGUAAAUGAUAUGCUGUAAAAAUUUCAUAAAAUUAAUGAUAUGCUGUAAAAAUUUCAUAAAAUUUGGUCUAGUGAAACUCGAGUUAUGCUUCAAUCAGUAACCCACUGUUUGCAAACUGCCACUAAGGUUCACAGGUAGCUCUGAAUGUUCGCUUCUCUGUUGAACGUUACUCUGAAACCUAGAAAAAAAUGGUGGAACAGGGACAGCCAGUGCAGCCAAGAAUCCAUGAACUAAGGUCAAUAUCAAGAAGUAUGUCUGAAGCUAGUAGCAGUGGUUCAGGCUUCAAGUACUUCUUGCCAAGAUGGUGUCCUCCCGGGUUGACUCGUACCCAAAGGAGGAACUUGCAAAGGUUAAGGUUGCAGGAGAAGAGGGAACAGGAGCUGGAGAAGCGAAGGGAUGAGGCAUUCAACACGUAUAGACCCAUAGUCCCUCAAAACAAAAAGUGGAGAGUCAAGGCCGACACCCCAACUCCACCAGUCAAACUGGCAGAAGGACCGGUCGGACCUGGUGCGGUCGGCACAGUCGCUGGCGCGGUCAGGGCGGUCGCUGGCGCAGUCGGCGUGGUCGAUGACUCGGUCGGCGCGGUCGCCAGCACAGUCAGACUGGUCGAGGGGUCGGCGAGGAGCGGCGGCGGGGCGGAGCUUCAGCAGCGGAGGCGGCGGCGGAUGUGGAGGGGAGGUAGCGGAGGAGGAGGAAGAGGCGGAGGGGUUUGUGUCGUGCACGUUAAUCAGAGUACGAGCAUCUUUUUAUAGACACAAGAGAAAAAGAUUCAACGAACUUGGACACUGUCACAGGUGAUUGAUAGUCAUUAACCAGCCAUCAGUUAGCAGUAACCUCCAGCCGUUACUAGUCAUUAGGGUCAGCCUUUUAAACCAUGUCAGUUACUAGUCACUAAACACAGCGUCAGUUACUAGUCAUCAACUCGUGAUUAAAAACGUCAGCUCGGCUCGGCUCGGCUCGGCACGGCUUGGCUCGGCGAGCGAGCAUGGCACCCUUUCUCUCUUUCUCAACUUCUCAAUUAGUGCAGAGAUAGUGCACCUAUUUAAGUUGGUUAAGAUACUCCUUAACUACACAUUUGGAAUUAACCACGUUAACCACCUAGCGUUAAUUGUGGGCCUUGAUACUAAAUGAAAUAAAUGGGCCUAGCCCAAAUAUUCCAACAAUUCCCACCAACAUAGCGUUAAUUGUGGGCCUUGAUACUAAAUGAAAUAAAUGGGCCUAGCCCAAAUAUUCCAACAAUUCCCACCAAAUUUCUAGACACACGAGAAAUGCUUUCAUUUCCACUACUGCUUUUAUAUACCAGUUUUCGAUGGAGACUGUCAAGUUGAACAUCCACUUAGAGGAGAGGCUACACUUAUUCACAACUAAUCAAUGGACUAUGUCUUGAAUUGACAUUCUUGUGCAAACAAGCUUUACCAAAAUCCUUUUCUGGUACAGGCUGCUUAAAAGCAUCCCCGCGAUUUGGAGCGUAUAAGUCAUACUCCGACCUUUCAUGAGUAUCUAGAGAUUACCCAAUUCUCAUAGACUGUGUCCAGCAGUCGAACUCAUAUAGGUGCAAUCCUUGGACUGUGACCAGCAGUCGAACUCAUAUAGCUGCAAUCCUGACAAGAUGUAAGCAGGACCGAGAUGUAACAAUUUCGCUCAGUUCAAUAGCGCGGGCUACUUCAUUCUGCGGAUGAACAUUUGACAGCAACAGAAGAAUAUAAAGUGAUAAGCAAACGCAUUUACAUGGUUUUAGGGAAGGCAACACAGCUGCAGGAAUACGAUGGCUACCUCCUUGAGUUUCUUGUUAAUAAGAUCGGAUAUGAGAUUGGAGAUGAAACCACCAGCAGCCGACAGCAACUGCACAACUCGAGGGGCGACAGCUCUUGGACGGUUACCCCAGUAGGCUGAUAUGAUUUCUGGGCUAUACACAAGUGGCAGCCCCUCCCUCAUUGUUGUCCGCAGUUUCUACCUUGAACCAAGGAAGAAAAACAACAGAAUUCAGUAACAACCUACUGUGUACUAAUUUUCUGCUGGAAGUGAUUCUCUUUUGUGAUUGGGUAAAGACAAGAGCACUCUGUGUGAGAGGUUAAUGGAAGUGGAUCAAAGGGGUUGCAGUUCGGACCUCGACGAGGCGAAGGCGGACAUUGUCGUCGGCGAACUGCUCGUCCCGGAGGUUCUGGACGCGGAGGCCACGCAUGAGCGUGGCAAGCUGCUCGUCCUGCUCCAUCUGCUUGCGCACGCGCUGGAUCUCCUUGGACACCCCUCCGAACCUCUGCGCCAUUCACAGGCAAGCAAACAUGUCAGCGAGGUCACAGCGACAACAGUGAAGGGGAAAAGCAGCAACGUUGGAGUGGCUCGAACUUACGGUGUUGGAGAGAUCAUUAUGGGUCCUGGGGCGAGAGGAGGAGGAGGAGGAGGUGGACGGUUUCGGCUCCGUGGCGACGGCGCGGACGCAGGGGAGCUACUGUCCUCGGCGGCGGCGGCGGCGACCGGGGAGCGCCGGGAGGUGCGCGACGCGGCCGAAACCGCCGUAGUGCAGGAGAUGCGGCGCCGCCGCCGCGGCCUCCAUGCUCAGCCGCGCGGAAGGCUCCGAGAACCUGGCCGCCGCGUCUCUCGUGGGAUGGUGUGAACCGAAGCCGGCGUGGCAGGCAUGGAGGGGGUGGGCGGUGGAUGCAACCAAAGAAGGUAACAAAGUGCGAAGUGGUGGUUGGGGAAGAAGAAGAAUUGGGGCCGGUCGGUCAAUCGGUGGUGGGAGCGGACAGCGGAGGCAGCAGUGCACUCAGGCCUCAGCGCCGUGGGGUGGGGCGGCUGGCUGGCGCGCGGCCACGAUGGCCUGCGCUUGUGGUUGGCGCGCGCGCUCCCUUCCCGAGGCCCGCGUGCGCAUGGGCGGCGCACAGAGGCCGCGCCGGACAAAGACCCCACCGUGGGCUCACGCUUGCGAUGUGUCCGCGUCCCAUUCGGACGUUCAGAUCUCCAACCACAAGCUACCAGCUGCAUUGUCUGUUGAUCGAUAGCAUUCGCCGAGCCAAUUCAACAACAGCUGACGAUAGCUGCAGGAUCAAACCCAGUUGUGGGGUUGGAACUGUUCCAGAUGCAAAUCUGUCGAGCCCGUGAUGCCGAGCAAAUUUUGUUUCCUGGGUGAACAGUUUGCCUGAUAGCAGAUGGCAGGCUCUACGGUGAGUUUGCUUUUGUCGCCAUCACCGCUCAAGAGUGGUGGACACUUUCGUAAAAAAUAAAAAUAAAGAGUGGUGGACACAAAAAUUCAGUCUCACAACUAAAAUGGAUAGAAUGUGAACCAUUUGCUAGCGCCUCCUAACACGCCUUAAUAAAACUAUAAAAUGUUGUAAUAUUAUACUAUUAUACAUGAGCAGGGGAAAGGUAACCUUUUUUAUUUUUUACAAAUAAAAUUGAUACUGAUACAUGCUGCUUAACACACAACAACAUGGAAAAUAACUUGGUAAACUUUCACUUCUACAACAACACAGUGCUACAAGUAAAUUUACAGACAUCGGAGAGACAGACACCGCAGCUUCUCUCGCGCACUCGAGGAUGCCGGAUGCGCCCGUACGUCGAGGUCCGAGUCCCGGGGGAGGAACUCGUCGAGCAGGCUGGCCACGACGUCGUCAUCGUCAGGUUCCUCCUGUUCUUGGAACCGCUGGUGGUGCUGGUACUGGGGCGGAACCAACCAGAUGAGGGUGUCGCGUCGGCCAUGGUGCUGUUGCAGUGUAGUGCAUCCGGGAGACGUGUUUAACGAGCUGCUACUGUUGCUAGCGUCACUACGGGAAAGCUAAAAAUUGCCAAGCGUAUUUUUUUUCGAGUGUUUUUUUUCGAGCACUCGGCAAACAAGCUCUUUGCCGAGUGCCAAGCCAAAAACAUUCGGCAAAGAAAAAACACUCGGCAAAUCGGGACUUUGCCGAGUAUCAAAUAAAAAACACUCGGCAAACCACAGUGUUUUUUUUUUGACACUCGGCAAAAAAAAAAUUCUCUUUUCACCUUGAAAUUUUUUCUACUCCCCACAUACAACAUGUGGUACUCCAUGUUAAAAUUUGGUAUAUUUUUGAAUUUAUUUGCUAUAUUUAUUUAAUUAAUUGCAUUUCAAGGGAAUUUUUGGUAUAAGUCAAAUUUGAAUUGCAAGUGAUUCAAAUUAUGGAACAAAAUGAGUAGAAAAAUGAUAUUCAUAUUAUUUGGCCCAAUUUGAGACCUGACCCAUGAAAUAAAAAGAAAUUUUGAACAUCUUGUUCAGGAAACACGACCAUGAACGUGUGGCAGUAGUAUUUUUAAAUUGUAAAAAAAACAAGCAAAGUCUGAAAAUCAUGAGAUUUGUCAUGAUGUGAUGAUAUAAUACGUGGAGGCUGUGGAAAAAAAUUGAGAAGGUUUUGCACAUUUCAUCAUGUACGAUGAUUACAAACCGAAGCAUUUCAGAAGAAGAAUAGUAACUUUGAGAAGGAUUCGAUAAAAUUUAGAGUCGAAGUGACGAUCGAGUUCGGUUUGACUACAAAACUUUUUGUAUAGUUAGUAGAGAACACAUAUUGUUUCGUGUGAAAAUUUGGUAUUUUUUUGAAACUGUUAGAUAUUUUUUAAUUUUUUUAAAAAAAACUUUGCCGAGUGUCCUAGGGUGAACACUUGGCAAAGAAACCCUUUACCGAGUGUCCACACUGGACACUCGGCGACGUUUUUUUCCCUGUACCGGCCGGGCCCGCCUCCUCUCACCGCCCCCGCCUACCCCCCCUCGAGACACCCCCUGCCCCCCACCCCCCACCCCGCCCCUCCCCCCACCCGCGCCUCCCCUUCACGCCGCCCCCCGGCCUCCCCUCACGCCGCCCCCCUCCUCCCCUCACGCCGCCCCCCCUCCUCCUCCCCUCCCGCCGCCCCUUCCCUCCCGCCGGACGCCGCCUCCCCUCCCUCUCCUCCGGCGGGCGGCGCCCCUCCCCUCCCUCUCCGGCGGGCGGCGCCCCCUCCCGGCCCCGAUCCCCACCGGUAGAUCUGGCGGCCGGGGCGGCCUCCUCCCUCCCUCCCUCCGCCGCCGGUCAGAUCCGGGCGGCUCGAGGGGAGGGGGCUCCGGUGGGGGCCAGAUCCGGGCGGCGGUCGCGGAUCGAGGGGAGGGGGCCUGGCGGCGGCGCGCCCCUGCCCCUCCCCUACCCCUCUCCGGCGGAUCCGGCGGCGCCGACCCUCCCCUCACCGGAUCCGGCGGCGCCGGCCCUUCUCUCACCGGAUCCGCAAGCCUGCUACUCCCAUAAGACCGUGGCUGCUGCUGCGGCCGUGGGCCUCGGCGGCUGGAGCGCGUCGGCGGCGUUGACGAGGCAGGACAGUUCGUCCACUUCCACCACCGCCGGCGACGGGUGCAAGCUGACGGGUUACAGGUACCCCUACUACUCCGAGCUGGGUUCGGUCGCCGACGGCGUCAUGAUGGUCGACGCGGACAACUUUUGGAAUGUCGUCGACAACUUCUGGGUGCGGGCGGAGCUAGCGGUGGUGGCGGCCGGUGGUGGCGGAGCUGGCGGCUGGUGGUGGCGGCGGCAGCGUAACAGGAUUUUUUUUUAUGUUUUUCAAAAAUUGAAUGCCGAGUGUUUUCUGGCCACUCGGCAACGACUUUGCCGAGUGCGCGACACAAAACACUCGGCAAAUCCAGGUUUGCCGACUCGAAAUUUGCCGUGUGCCAUUUGCCGAGUGUUACACUUAGCAAACAGUUCGCCGAGUGUAUUUUGCCCUUCGCCGAGUGCCCCUGGCACUCUGGUAAUUUUCCUGUGUCCCGUAGUGCGUUGAGUUUGGUUUCCGAAUCGGCAACUUAAUUUGACACACACGACUGCUCGUGCUUGUAAUAAAAUCGCAACGGAAGUGUUACGAAUCCGACACACGACAACAUGCGAUGCGAUGCGAUGCGCGAAUCCGGGUUAAUUAUUUUCUUCUCGAGUCCGAUAAGCGCGGGAUUCAUAUUUUUAAGUGGGCCGUGUAACCUCGAGCCCAGUAAUAAUGGAUGGGCUAACCAGCCAGGCCUUGAGUGGAUUGUAGCAGUCAGUGUACUGGGCUGGGCUAGACUGGUGGUGACAGGCUGCCUGCCAGCAGUGUAUCUAUAGAGCCGGCCCAAAGGUACAAAUGACUCAAGCGAAUUUAACGGGCCUGAAAAAAAAUGCAGAGGAUCAAAGCUUAUUCCGAUCGAGUUGAAGUUGCAACCAGCCCGGUAUGCCUGUAUGACUACAGGAUAUACGGUCUAUAUAGCAGGAUCGGAAUUCAGAGCAGACUGCACAAGUGCAGAUACUGGUAUAUACGCUCGGGACAACUUCCUCGGCUGUUGCAAUAAUGGAUCAGUUAUCAUGCUUGCUUACUCGUCACUUGGCAUGCUAGGUGCUAAUAGCUCACAGGUUGACACCUGAGGUGCUGCUAGGUCGGAGCCUGACAUCUUCUCUUUCUGAACACCGUCACACCCGCCACUUGCUGGAUUAGUUCCAUUUUCCAGUUCGAUGCCACUACGCUUUGUAUGGUCACCGUCACCGUCAACAAUCGAUGGAAACAAGUUAAACCGCGUCGUCCUGCCUAGCUAGCUAAGAGUUGAAAAGCUGAAAGCCCGAAUUUUUUUUUUUACCUUCGGAAAUUCACCCGGGCUCUCAAAUCUGGAUGAAAACCAGACGCACUUGUCGAAAAACACGUACGGCCGGAGUGCUACACGCAGACGCCUAGCGCAUGUUUAUAUCCGGCCGUAUGUAUACAUGUAUAUGGCAUGCAUGUACUUUGCGGCGCUAGGUGUGGUACGGCAUCCGGAUGUGCACACAUGCCGGCCACUGCUUGGCAUGGCCGGCCACUCAGUUCUGACCUGCAUGCCACUACAUUCACGUUGACCAUCAUGCAUGUUUAUCCUAACGCCCUAGCUACUGAUCUAUGCUACGUACCCAAUGCAACCACCACUGACCAAAUUAACUGAAUUUUCCGGUCCCCUGCAAAGACAGGCAUGAUCUACGAGCACUACAGUGUGCAAGAUCGAUCUCGAUCUCUGUCUGUCUGUCCGUGUGCACGAGGGCCGGUUGGCCGGGAUCGGAUAGUAGAUGAUUGUGCGGGCAAAAAGUGGUCACACCAAUAGCAACUUUGCAAGUGGCCGGCCUCUUUGCUUGUUCACAUUGACGGCCUGCCGGAAAAGAAGCAACUGCAACAAAGUGCCCAUCGUUUGAUCUAUAGCAUAUGUACUACAUACUAUACAAACAUCUAGUGCAAUAAUUAAGCUGGCAUGCUGCUUUAACCAAUAAAACCCCAACCCUGCGCACUAUAGCCUGAGCUGCUGCCCCAACCCUGCGCACUCUAGCCUGAGCUGCUGCCUCUAAACUAGUAUCCCUCCGUCCCAAAUUAAUAUUCGUUUUGAGUUUUCUAGAUAUAUGAUUUUUGCUAUGUAUCUAGACAUAGCAUAUAUCUAGAUGCAUAGCAAAAUUAUGAAUGUAGAAAAGCCAAAACGAAUAGUAAUUUAGGAUGGAGGGAGUGCUAGAAUUAAACAGUAGUACAGGGGACUGAUGAGGUCACUAGCUGAGCAGCUAGCUAGUAGCACUACUGAUGGUCACUCACUGUGCGCUUAGCUUGAUCAGAUAAUGGAGUGGGCACUAUUGGCCAUUGGCCACUCGACCUGCACAAACCAUAGGCAUGCAUUUCCAGCUAGGAUGAUUUCAAGUAAACAAGUGAUGGCACUACAACUCCCCUUUAUCAGUAGCAGUGUAGGUUGGUACUGAAGCAAGUAGGCCGUCUGGAAAUGGAACAUGUCCACUCAGCUGGCAACCUUGCAAAGUGCUGGCACAUGGUGUUUCACUUUCAUAUAUACUAUCACUUUGACUACUACUCAUAGCUCGAGGGCUUUCACAGAUACCACGGCGCAGUAUCUUCCUUUGUGAACAAAAAAAAGGUUGAGAAAAGCUUAAUCAGCUUGAUACUAUGCAGUUUGCAAUCCAGUAGUACUACUCCUUGUGUGAAAAACAAAAUGUGAAUGAUUGCCAUGGCUGUCAUGUGGGGACUGACGACUGAUCUGGUCUGAGGAGCAUCUUUGCAUGUCUCUCUUUGCCGCAGCAGUCAAGAGCCUUAGGCAUAAGAAAAUGAUGAGCUGUAGCGGCACGGUGCCAUGGUGUUGACUUUUUAUGCUCCGACCAUCAUGUGGAAUCUCGGGGAUAAUUUAGUACUGUAGAGUGUUGAGUAGCCACUGUAGCUUGAUCAACCACGAUGUUUGCUUUCUUGGGCUAGUAAUAACAAAAUGGUUAUUUUCGUGGAAGAAGAUCAGGGACAGGUAGAGAGAGGGAGAAACUGUUUACAAGAAGGAGAUCAUCAGAGAAUCUGACAGGGGUCGCAGUCUCACAGACCCGGAGGCGGGACAGGGAGACAGACAUUCAGGCGCACCCACCAUAAAACAAAUUAACACAAGUGUGCGUAGUAUACUAGGGUAAUUACCAUUUAAUUAAGAAGAAAACCACGGUCAUGAAUCUGCUCAUAACUUGAACUCCAUCUUUUUUUUUUACAAGGAGAACUACCGAUUAUAUUAAAAAUAACAUUAAAAAUAACGAGGAGAACUACUGAUUAUAUUAAAAAGAGAAUGAAGUCAAGACCGGAUGAAACAAACAAAAAUGAAAAAAAAAACACUACAAACACCGACAGGUUAGAUUGGGUCAUCAACAUAUACCGCACCACGCCAUCGCACUUAACUCAACUUAACAACACAUCGACCAGUUAGAUUGGGAUAUCAACGUGACCGUACCACUCCACUCGACAACGGCAGCUGAACCGAAACCUAAAUGCGGCCAUCACCAACAUUCCCGCUUUUAUGUAGUGGCCGAAACCUGUGUUAACAGGGACCGAGAGAAACAGACCGCACCACACUGAGAAGGCCAUCGUCAUGCGGGAUCCUUCGCCAUAAUACCGCUGCAACAUCACACCCCACCCGUCAGAGUGAUACCACCAGAUUCGGACCUCUUUCAUGUUGCUUCACAAACACGCGGGGGCCUCGUCGCAUCCGCCGUUGGCACCUCGCUCUUGUCACCUCGAAGACACACCGCGCGCAGGGGUCUCGUCACGCCCACCACAGUACUCCAUGUCACGGAUCCGUUUCUUUUGUCGCCAUCAAAAUGGCGAGCAAUGUUGCCGAUCUCCAUCAAACAGCCAAGCUGCCGCCGCAAGUCGACUUUGCCUCGUUGCUCCACCCACGCACAUGCCUCCACCGUUGUGUCAGCAAGUCAAAGUAGUUGCUUGCGCUGUCUUCCGACGAUGUAUCGCACCGGAGUAGCCCAGCAAAUCUGAGAAACCCGACACAGUCCGCUGCAAGCCUAGUCGUCUCAUGAUAUCGUCCUUCAAUGUAGUCCCACACCGCACUGACAGUUGCUAAGCAACACCAGCCGCCGCGAUCUGCUGCAAGCAGCUCACCCGAUAAAGAAAGCAACGACCCCUGGCCGCCAUCAGAACUGCGAUCCCCUCAACGUGAGCUUAGCAACCCUCGUCAAGCUUUCCAUCCUACACAUGCCACCUUGCUGAGCCGCAAGCCCGUCACGGCGAGGCCGCUGCCACCACGAUCGCGUCACCAACAAUGGCACAAGUUGAGUUGAGCCUCUAGAGAUGACGCUAGUGGUGCCGCCAUCGCUCAUUCAGAAACUAGACAGAGUUUUCACCCAGAGAUCCCGUGCAGCAGGGAUAGAUCUCCAAGGUGACACCCCAACAGGGAAAAUGACGCCCUAGGGCGCCGUUGCCAUCACCACCAGCAAGAUACCGGCAAAGGCUUUCACCCGAAGCAUCCCACCCUUAACUUGCACGGACACAACCCAGCACUCCCUAAACGACAAGCAUGGAAACCCACCCGGGGCGGCGCCACCCCCGCCGUGCCUCCUUGCGCCGCGCGUAGACCACCUUCGACUGCGCCACCACCUGGCCAGCCUCCUUCCAGCCACACCGCCGCCGCCAGCAACCACCCAUCGCGUCGCUCUCCACAGUGGCCUCGUCGCCCCUCGCCAGGCCACGCCCACGCCGACCGUCACCUCCCACACUCACCAUCCUCAACUGCCCCUUCUCCUCCGUUGCCGGGUCGGCCACAGGACCCCUUGGCUUGCUCCUCCGCCGCCGCAGGUGCGCCGCCGUCAGGACCCCUGCUCCCCUGCUUCUCGCGCCGCCGCAUGGGCUGGCCAACGCACGCCUACUCCUCGCGUCGCCGCUGAGCUUGGUCGACACGCCCCCUCCCCUACCCCAUGCACCGUCGUGCGGGGCCAACCGGAGGUCCCCUGCUCCUCACGCCUUGGCCAAUGCCUCCACCGCCUCGCGCAUGCAUAGGUUGCAGAGCCACCGGAUCCGGCCGACGCCAUGCUGGAUCUGUGGCCCCUCAUGCUCCGCCACCGCGGGAUGCCGCCCACGCUAGCAAGCCCCCUCAGGCUGCUCUGGCGGCCGCGCCAACCCAAAUCCACCGGAGGAAGGGGAAGAGGCCCUGCCGCCACCCUCAUCGUGAGCCGCAAGGGCUUCCGGCAGCCCGCUCGGUGGCGGCUCGGCGAGAGGGGGCGGCAGCUAGGGUUUCAGUAACCGCGCGAGUCGGGGGCGACGCAGUUGGCUAGCCCUUGCUAGGAUGGCCCCCUUUCCAGUAACUUGAACUCCAUCGCACCAACACAAACCAAAUAAGUAGAGCUAGGCAGUAGGCACUCCUACAUUUGUUAGAAGCCACUCGCAUGGCAUGGCAGUAUGGCACACAUGAAUAAACCUGAUCAGCUUUACAAUCUCAUACUGCGCCGAUUACAAUCAAAAGCCUUGAAGAAAAUAGUGGUAACCCAUGCAUGUAUUAUAGACGACUAAGAGAUGUACAAACGAGGUGACGGAUCGGACACACGCGUAUACUAAUCCUAGAGAUGGAUCACGGAUACUAAUUAGUGGCAGAACUUAUAAUUAACCUAGCAGAAGGUAGAUGUACUAGCUAGAUGAGAUUCCCUGUGUCAACUUUGCAGCAUGUACUCGUCAUCAGAGACUCAAGUCCCAACCAACCGAGAUGAGGAUCUGCAGCUGCCGGUCCUCACCCUCACACGUACGUCACACGGGUUCACGGCUUGCCCUUGUGCUGGGUGUAGAUGUAGUCGAGGUGCGCGUCCCGGAGCAGCCGCCUCUGCAUGCAGUCAUCGUCGUUCCCCUCCUCGCACGCCGGCUCCUCCGCCUCCUCCUCUGCUCCCAUCACCUCAGCCUCAGCGACCGAUGAGAGCUCAUCGCCACUACCAGCGGCGCCUUUCUGAAUCACCGGCUCAUCAUCUGCAGCCACCUUGGCUCCAUUCUCUGCAAAAGAGGUUCACAAACAUUAAUUAGAGCAACUCUGAGCAGGAUCGGUCAGCAAAGAGGUUCAGAAACAUUAGAGCAACGCACCUUGGUUAACCAGAGGAGGAACAGAAACAGGCAGGGGGCGAGCCGCUGCCGCGCCGUGGAAGAAGAUGAGGAGGAGGAGCAGGGCAAGAGCCGCGAGCGGCGAAGUGAUACGGCAGCUGCAACGCCUCAUCUCUGCCGUGGCUCCAACAGUUGAAACUGCCUGCUUGGAUAGAGCGCUAGCUGGUUGGCUGCUGGUGGAUUUGGCCUCUGGGUGAUGGUGGUGGGCUGGUGGCGCCGAGCUCUAUUUAUAAUGCGAAAGCGGCGAGCGAGGAGCCGAGGAGACGGGAGGCAUCUUGCAAAUCGCAACGCCGGCACAGGGCACAUCUUCAAGUCGCACGCGCACUCGAGUCGGCAACACGUUUGUCCAUAACACGUAUUACUAGUAGAUGUAGAGAUUUGGCCGGAUGUGUGGUUCCAACCUUCCACUACCACAGUGUGCCAAACAAAAUAGUGCCUAAAAAAUAGCUUCCAUACCAGCGCUUCUUGCAGAGAUAAAAAAUUGACAUUAAUUUGAAAGAGACCAAAUAACUUCCUUUCCUUAGGGUUAAGUUGAGAAUAAAAGGAUGAGUAGGCUACACUUUCGUUUCUCAAUUGGCUAGAAUUGUCACGCCAACAAGAGCAAAUGAAAAUAGGGUAGGAAAAAAAUUACUAGAAGUACUUUGAAUAUGGGACUGAGAAGUACUGUUGUACACCUUCAAACGCAAAGUAAUGGUCCUGUUUGGAUAUACUUCUCCUAGUCACGCUUGGAUUAUAAUCUAAGCGAAUAUUUUCUCGCUUCUCACUUUUCGCUUAUCGUAGUUCAAAUCUCUGAAGCGACUUACCACAUAAGCGAGAAUCGGUGAAAAUAAGCAAAAUGUUUGGCGGGAUUCUCGCUUAUUUCCGCCGAUAAGCCGCUUAUAAGCGGAAACAAACGGACCUAUCUUUUGCUCUAACUUUUUAGCAACGCGGAGAAAAAGGAGGACGAAACAGCAGGCAAAAAUGGUGAAAGACCUAGAAGUCAAAUGUUUGCACAUGGUGUGUUAGUCUGAUUCUAGAAAUUCCAGAACAGAAACGCUUACGCACAGCUGCCGUCUUAUCGAUGGAUGCCAGCAUUUGACGCGGAGAAGAUGGGCUUGAAAAGCCAAGAGUUUUUCCUCUUCGCUCUCUCCCUUCAUCACUGCAUGAAUGCAGGAAAAACCGCAUCAUCCCUUUGCUCGUUUUUUGCAUCAAAGAAUAUUCUUGCUUAGUGUGCGUGUCACUUUUUACAUUUUUUUGUGAACCAAUCGGAAACGAGUAGAGCUUGUGGUGCUGAUCAGAAUAUGGAACUGGUGAGUACUGCUGUACACCUUCAAACGCAAAGAACAUCCUUGCUUUAACUUUUGUAGCAACUCAGAAAAAGGAGGAUAAGGCAGUAAGAAAGAAUGGCGAAAUACAUCUGGUUAGAAGAGAACUAAACUCCUCAUCCACUAGAGAUUCCAGAAACGCUUACGUCUCAUAGAUAGAUGCAGGCAUGGCAGCACAUCAGAGGCGGAGGAGGUGAGGAGGAGGAGCUUGAAAAGGCAGGAAGUUUUGGACCUUUUUCCGAACUUGGAGCCACUCAAGUCGCGUAAAGCCUGAUGCGUGGUGUGCCGUGUGCGAGAGCAAGUUCGCCUUCGCCCGCGUCGACCCUGCCCUUUUAGUGUCAACAGAAACCCAUGGCCUCUCGCAUUGCUAUCAAGAGACGUGCAGCAUGUAGUCUUGCAGAAGUGCAGAAACUCGGGAAGCGUUUUUCCGCCCUCUGUUCGUUUGCAAGGGAGGAGGCAGGCGAUGAGCAGAUUCAGGAACUGCAAGCGUAAUCGCUGCUGCGAUGCUGAGCUGAAUCCGCCGAGUGUUGACAUCGAUCGUAUACUAUUCUAGUGCAUGCAUGUUGCGUGGACCCCCCAUGCACCAUUGACCACCAUGUGUGUCCUGAGGGCCCAGAGAGGGGGUACGUCCCACUCUCACAUGCACAGCAAACCCAUGCCACGUAUAGCAAAGUCUUUUGGCACUGUCCACUCAGCUGGGCACUAGACUAGCUACUGGCAGGGCCGCCAUGCUGUGUCCUGCUGCUGCAUCUGCGGACUGCGCUCUACCUCCCCCCACUCGCUUGGGGCCAUCGGCCACCAUUUCCCUGCAACAUCAUCCAUCAUUUCCUGGAUCGGCGCCACUUUCUGGCUCCAGUCUCCUCGAUCUCGUGCGUGCUCACUGCUCGGCGAUCGGCGGUGCCCACCACCCACGGUGGGGCGACGAGCUAGAGACCGAGACGAGAGAGAGGAAGAAGUUGCGUGCAUCACUGCAUCAGCACUCGCGCGUGUGCGUUCCGGCCGUUCAUGCAUGUUCGUGCUCGUCAUUGUCGUCGUCUCCCAGCCAGCCAGACUGGGAAGUCAGUGCAUGCGGUCGCCUGCUGCUGCUGCUGGUGGUCUUACUGUGCUGGCGCGGCGCGUGAUCGAGGACGGACGGUGCGCUCGGCUGCUUGCCCGGUCUUUUCGCUCACCGUCGUCGUCUCGAUCGUCUUUUCGGGCCGCUGCUCGUACGAGUCAACGGCUCCUGGAUCGAUACGUUCCAUCCGGCCUCUGUAGCUUUCUGCAGGAUUCCACAUGUGCAUACAGCUAGCUGAUGAGAGCUAGCUGAGCGAGUCCGGGACGCUGGACGCGGACGUGGGUGCGCUGAGAGACAGCCGCGGCGCCCCACACGACGAGAUCGAUCUCAUCAUCAUCUUCAUUUCAUCUUGUUGCCGAAUCCUCGCACGGUCACGCCGGAGCUGACGCGCGUAUUUUGGUGGAAAUUAAAGGGGACCAAGUCCAAUUCCUCCGGCUAUCUAUACCCCGCGAAAGAACUUCUUACCCUAUUCUUUCCUACUGCUACGGUGGUUUGCCGGCGGCGGCCGCACCCUUAGGCUGGGGUGCUCAGAUCCGACACCGGCAGGUCCGGAUCCGGCAUCGUCCAUGACGUUUAGGGCUUUCCCUGGUUGAUCCAUGGGGCACUAGCGGAGUCGGAUGUUCAGAUUCGCAGCGGUGUGGCUCGUGGCGGUGAUGGCCCGCUACGGGGCGGCAGCACCGCGUCGGCGACGACCGAAGGCGGCGGGCCACCCACACUUGGAGCCUACCUCUCCUGGGCUAAGCUCGGGGAGGGCAUCUUAGA